RNAcentral lists this long non-coding RNA (165662 nucleotides) under Hordeum vulgare. RNAcentral's name for it is "long non-coding RNA (HVUL_LNC012430)". The record is from RNAcentral. Lineage: Eukaryota; Viridiplantae; Streptophyta; Magnoliopsida; Poales; Poaceae.
CCUUCUUGUUCACUUUGUGAAUGAAGUGAUAAAUGUAUUGUUCUUGAAACCAUAUUGCAGGGUUGGCAGGCAGAUCGUCAAUGUCCCCUCAUUCAUGGUGAGGGUUGAAUCUGAGAAGCACAUUGACUUCUCACUGACAAGUCCAUUCGGUGGAGGCCCUGCAGGCAGGGUGAAGAGGAAGAACCAGAAGAAGGCAAGUGGUGGCGGCGACGCUGGUGGUGAUGAGGAAGAGGAAUGAGGAACUAGUAGGGAUCACCUUAUAUUUAUCAAAUGUUGGUGUUGUGAGUGCUUUAGCUGAGAGGCCUGAGACUUUCAUGGAUUAUCCUCUUGUCGUUUCGUUGCAUUAUCUCUGUUGUUAGCAUGCAUGCACUUCGUUAUGUUUGGAGCUAUUUGUUCGUGAUGCAGUUAUCUAAAAAUGUUUUUGACUAUGACCUGGAAUUCUACAUCAAUUGCUUCUGUUUGCGUGCUUGUCUGACUAACUCUGUCCCAAAAUAAUUAGAAUUGUACUCCCUCUGUAAACUAUUUCUAAAAGCUUCAGACACUUAAUUUGGACGUUGGUAGUAUAUCACAAAGGAAUCAACCUUUCUUUUCGGGUACAGGAAUCAACUUUGGUGAUCUAUUUGCUGGUUUGUUUCCACGAGUUGUCUGAACGUAAUGCACCUAAUAUUCCAACACAAAACAUACUAAUACUUGUACAUUAUUUCCAUUACACAACUUAGAAGUGGCAUAACACCAUCAGCAACAUGUAUAUGACAUAUCCAACAUAGUAUGUUCACACCAAAGUUAAAGCCUACUUAGCAAUGCAGAUGAAAAACAUGAAACCCAUGCUAGGUCAGGAAAUAGAAUAGCGGAGAUAACGGUCAUGGUAAGUUGGUAACAGGGGAGCAUGAUGACGGACAGUAAGAAGUUAUGUGCGCAAAUGCUCUAUAUCACCUUGAAUAGGAAAUAAGAUAAAAAAAACCAUCUUAAAUGUUUAGGUGUGAGAUUACUUUAGAAUAUAUUAGACCGAGAAGUAAAAAAGUGCUCCAAUUCAUCAUAAGAAGAGUGGACAACAGGGUCACAUCAUAAAAAUACAAAAUCUCCUAAGUCGAGACUUCAACAAUGCUAUGCGCUUAAAGGCUACCGAAAUAUGUUCAAGUUAAACAUUUCCAGAAAUUCCAAAUUUGGAAGCAUGUCUUGAAUUUUAAGAUAUAUGAUCCUGUAUAUAUAACAAGCAGAACAUUGAUGUGUAAAGAAUUUGAGCUGCUUAUUUCUUGUGCCUCGACCAAUGUAAGGAUAGUAGCUACUACAUAUACUGGACUACACCGAUUCUGAAGGAUAUCUAUGCAUACGUUUCCUUCAGCAUAAACUACAAACCAUAAAAAAAUGUCAGUUAAAUUUUAAACUGAAGAGUAUAACAUUAGUAUUCUUUCUUUUGGCUUUCUAUCGACAUAUUAGUAGAGAAAAAGUAUGACCUUCAUAUAUUCGAAAUCAUGAGCAACACAUGUAUUCAAAAUAUGAUGUAAACGAUGUACUAUCCUUGCUCAAGGUAGUUAGCAAGUACUCCCUCCGUUCCUAAAUAUAAGACCUUUUAGAUAUUGCACUAUGAACUACAUACAGAUGUACAUAGACAUAUUUUAAAAUGUAGAUUCACUCAUUUUGUUCCGUAUGUAGUCUCCUAGUUUAAUCUUUAAAAGGUCUUAUAUUUUAAAACGGAGGGAGUAUGUACUAACAUCACAAAAUCAAUACCUAGCUUUCCGUAAGAAUGCAUCAUACAUGUGAGAGGUCUCAGCAUAAAAAAAUUGCAUCAUACAUGUGAGAGGUCUCAGCAUAAAAAAAUGGACGUACCUGAUGACAUGGCUAGUGGUGUCUUACACAGAGUUUCCUUAACAUUGUAAAAUACUGACUCAACUUACUUACGAUUUCAGGCUUUACGCCUCAUUAAUAUGUCAUCUUUGUUUUGUGCAUACCUCUCCUUUUCUCUUUGUAUUUUUAAGUCUUUAUGAUCUGCCCUUUGUCCUCCAGAUAACAACUUUAGUAUUUCAAGCAUGAUGCAAGCAAGAUUAGUGAUAUAUUUAUCAAAAUUGCCGUUCUUUGUUAGGUCCUGAAAUGGCGUAUGGAACCCAUUGGUAUGGGAGGCUGUCAACGGCUAUUGCGAGUUAACAAUAGACAGAAAGCAUCAACUUAAAAUGACAUAUUAAAUACAAAAGCGAUGCUAAGAUGCUUUAUAAUUUACAUUCAUCUGUCUACAUGAAUCAUCUUCUAUGAUGUUAUUAGUUUGUGAAAAAAUCAGACCGAAAGAUCAAUGAAACAUCACCGACUUAGUUUACAUUUAGAAAGGGAAAAGGGUUCAAUUUCAUUAUUAUGUUAAUUGAAACACACAUUUUAACAGUAAGAGAAAUACAUGUACCUCCCUCUCCUCAAAUGACCGGGUGUAAUAUGCAAAUUCAAUCAGUAGGUGGAAAAAAUACAGUCAUCUUCAUGCACCGGGAAAAAGUGCUACUCCAAACCAAAUCGAUAGUGCGGUCAACAACUAGAGAAUACAAUAUAUCCAAUUAAUGACAAAUUCCCCUAAAUACAAAACUUGGCGCCAGGAGAAUAAAAGAUAAUAUAAUAGAGGGCAGCAGAACCGAGGUAGAGCCGCACAAACACCAUGUCGAGCUCGGCCAGACCGGAGGAUUACUGCUGCUGUUAUGUUGCCAGGCAAGUGUAAACUUGGCAUCGGUCCUUUGCAGAACAAAUUGGAGUUAAAUCUAGCAUGUAUUGUUUACUUCAGAAAUCACAAGCUUCAUCUCGUCAAUAGUUUUUUUGUAAAAUCACACUACAUCUCGCUAGUGAAUGAGAAAUAAUUCAGACUUUCAGUGGAAUAGGCAGCAGACUCGGCUAGCUAGUGAUCUGUACCACCACAUGCUACAUUUAGUAGCCACAGCUAAAUCAAAGUGUUUGCUAGUUAAUGGAGAGAAAUUCAGAGGAAGAAGCAGCCUCGCUAGCUAGGGAUCCAAAGAAAGAAGAAGCAAAAUAUGCCUGUAAAUUGCAGCCACGGAGCAGUCGAUUUGUGCUCUUGUGGGAGGACGGGGAUCUUGCAAGCGGAAGAAGCAGGGGUUCAUCGGCCGCGCGGAAUCAGGGGCCGGUAGUUGGUGUCGGCGUCGGUGCGUCUAGCAACCCCAUGGCGCGAUGUGGAGGGGCACACAGCGGCGUCGUGCGGCCUCGACCAAGCGGAAAUCAGAGGGCAGCGAACCGCGCCCGCUCCGGCUGGGUGGUGGAUCGGUGGUCGGCGGCGGAAGCAAGGGAGACGGGCCGGCGUGGUGGUGGCGCGGUGGACGACAAGGUUCAGGCAGCACGAGCAGUUGGCGGUGGAAACAAGGGAGGCGAGCGGGUGGGGAGGCGAAGGCGAGCGGCGGCUGCGGGGGCGAGCGGGUGGGGAGGCGGGGCUGAGCGAGCAGAUUAGCGAGGGCCUUGAGCUGUGGAGAUACAACAAAUAACAAUUACACAAUUGACUCCACAUAUGGAAGAUACAAAGUACUAUUGGGAGUAAAGCAUGACAUACUUUUGCUGACCAUGAUAACUUACAGAGUUCCAAUAGUUACUUGGAUAUUCACGGCCUUCUUUUAUGGUCUUGAGGCAAAAGAGGGUGUUUAGGGUACUUGNNNNNNNNNNNNNNNNNNNNNNNNNNNNNNNNNNNNNNNNNNNNNNNNNNNNNNNNNNNNNNNNNNNNNNNNNNNNNNNNNNNNNNNNNNNNNNNNNNNNACUGUUUUCUGCGUGUCAAGUAUUUAUUCCUAUGACCAUGAGAUCAUAUAACUCACUGACACCGGAGGAAUGCUUUGUGUGUAUCAAACGUCGCAACGUAACUGGGUGACUAUAAAGAUGCUCUACAGGUAUCUCCGAAGGUGUUAGUUGAGUUAGUAUGGAUCAAGACUGGGAUUUGUCACUCCGUGUGAACGGAGAGGUAUCUCGGGGCCCACUCGGUAAUACAACAUCACACACAAGCCUUGAAAGAAAUGUAACUUAGUGUAAGUUGCGGGAUCUUGUAUUACGGAACGAGUAAAGAGACUUGCCAGUAAACGAGAUUGAAAUAGGUAUACGGAUACUGACGAUCGAAUCUCGGGCAAGUAACAUACCGAAGGACAAAGGGAAUGACAUACGGGAUUAUAUGAAUCCUUGGCACUGAGGUUCAAACGAUAAGAUCUUCGUAGAAUAUGUAGGAUCCAAUAUGGUCAUCCAGGUCCCGCUAUUGGAUAUUGACCGAGGAGUCUCUCGGGUCAUNNNNNNNNNNNNNNNNNNNNNNNNNNNNNNNNNNNNNNNNNNNNNNNNNNNNNNNNNNNNNNNNNNNNNNNNNNNNNNNNNNNNNNNNNNNNNNNNNNNNACUGGAAAAGGAGCAAAUCCUAGUCCACUAUUCUGCACAUCUCCAAAUCAGCCCCUCACGAAGCAACGCAUAGACUGGGGUUUAAGCUUCUGUCACUCCAGCAACCCAUCAUCUACUUACUACUUCCCAAUGCCUUCCUCUAGGCCCAAAUAUGGUGAAGUGUUAUGUAGUCGACGUUCACAUAACACCACUAGAGGAAAAACAACAUACAUCAUAUCAAAAUACCGAACGAAUAUCAAAUUCACAUGACUAUUAUUGACAUGACUUAUCCCAUGUCCUCAGGAACAAAAGUAACUACUCACAAGACAUAAUCAUAAUCAUGACCAAAGGUGUAAUGAAUAGCAUCAAGGAUCUGAACAUAAACUCUUCCACCAAGUAAUCCAACUAGCAUCAACUACAAAGAGUAAUCAACACUGCUAGCAACCUUACAAGUACCAAUCAGAGUCGUGAGAUGGAGAUUGAUUACAAGAGAUGAACCAGGGAUUGGAGAGGAGAUGGUGCUGAUGAAGAUGCCUCCCCUCCGACGAGAGGAGUGUUGGUGAUGAUGAUGGCGACGAUCUCCCCCUCCGGGAGGGAAGUUUCCCCGGCAGGAUCGUCCUGCCACAGAUCUAGAUUGGAUAUGCUCAAGUUCCGCCUCGUGGCGGCGGCGAAACCACGAAAGAGCUCCCUAUUGAUUUUUUCCAGACCAGGACGCUUCAUAUAGCAAAAGAGGGGGGCUAGUGGGCCUUCAGGCAGCCCACAAGCCUGCCCUGCGCCACCAGGGGGGGUGGUGGCGGUGGGCAAGCUUGUGGAGCCCUCGUGGCCCCCUCCGGUAGUUCUUUCACCCAGUAUUUUUUAUAUAUUCCAGAAAAAAUUCACGUAACUUUUCAGGGCAUUUGGAGAUGUGCAGAAUAGUGGACAAGGAUUUGCUCCUUUUCCAGUCUAGAAUUCCAGCUGCCUGAAUUCUCCCUCUUCAAAUAAUCAUUGCAAAAUAAGAGAGAAAAGGCAUAAAUAUGGUACCACAAGUAAUAUAACAGCCCAAAAAGCAAUAAAUAUCAACAUGAAAGCAUGAUGCAAAAUGGACGUCGCAGCCCUUGCCGCCCCCUCCUCACCCAAAGCAGCCUCAGUACGUGGACACACUCGCACGAGCUCCUUGUGCACCCCUCUUGCUCCUGCUGCCCCUGCCGCCCCUGCUUCGUCGCAGCCGCGCCGCUCGUCGAUAGCCGCAGUGUCGGCACAGCGCCACAACACCGCCCAAACGCCCCCAGCGCGCCACCUUCACUUUGGACCACCCGUUCGUCGAGCCAGAGCCUCCCCUUGAUCCAUCGCUACAUCGACCCCGUUCCUGUGCCCUCACUAGAGGCUGUCCCCGGUGAGCUUAUCCUCUCCACAGCGGGAACCGACAACCCCGGCUAUAAAUAGGAGCCCAGAGGUCGUGUGUAGACUCAAGCCCCUCCCCCGAAGCCUCACCUAGAGUCCCAAGCCUCGAUUUAAGCCGAGGCGCCUUUCGUCCCUGACUCUGGUGAACUCCAUCACCGCAGCCCCGCAGCUCGAUUCAGUCGGUUCUAAGCCUCAUCGCCCCACCCGAGCUCCCCAUUGCCAUAUCCUCGACCUCCUGAAGCUUUCCCCUAGCUCAGCCCCACCCUACAACCCUCCUAGCCAACCCCCUCAUCGGAGCCGAAGCUCCCUCUGCCGUGGAGGACGAGCCGCUCACUCUCGACCACCCCCGCAGCCACAAGGCACCAGAAUGGAUGCGUCGUGCUUCCCUGAGCAUGCCAGUGCCCUCAGCUUCACGAGUGGAGGUACCUAGCGCCGGUGAGCCGCGCUGGAGUCCCCUUCUUCCUUCGGCUGGAGGAAGGAGACGACAGGUCAAACCUCCGAGCGGGCCCCACGCGUCAGCGUCCCACCCCUCAGCCUGAGCCCGCGCUAGUGGAGGCGCAUUUUGCCAAGUACGUUUUCCCUCAUCCGCUAGCGUCUUUUGAUCCGAAGCGUUUUUCUUUUCUUUUUGAUUUUGAAAACAGAUUUAGACCAGAAUUUUGAGUGACUAUAACUUUUUAUAGAAAACUCCAAAUGAGUUGAUUCUUUUUCUCACCUCUUUCAAAUUCUUCCUCGUUUAUUUUAGUAUUUAUUUGAAAAUUUUCUAGGACAAUUUUAUGUACAGUUUUUAGAUUGAGUGUUAAUUAGCAUAUAUUUUAUAUAUAGGUUUGAAGAGAGGAGUUAAAACUUGCAAAAGUUUUGUGGUGAACCCCACCUCUUUACACUUGGAAGGCAAUCAUCCUGAACCUACUUUAACUUGGUUGCAUAAGCUUGCUUGGUGAAAGUAUCAUACGGUUAUGUUUUGUUUGUUGUGAUAUUUCAUGUGGUAAAAGAUGCAUAUGGUUUCAUGAAUUUGAAAGUAAAGGUUUCUAUGAUUGUGGUGCAUGGACAGUGGUCACUCUUUCCUAACCUGCGUACCUAUCGGACGGGAUUCAGUGAGAUUCGGUGUCUUGUGGAGAUACGACCGUGGGAUUGACACCUCGUGGACGAGAGUGGUCAACAAGGAAUGUAAGGUAGGUAAUGAUGCUGUUUGCACAUGGUUUGUCCUGAUCAUACACGUAAUAAUUGAACCUCAUAAGUCGACCAUAGAUCGAGUCUUGUUAGUAUGUCUCCUCAUUUGCAUGCUACCAUAGUUUCCUGGAUAAUUGAUUCAGUAUAGUUAGUUGCAGACUUAUUAUCAUUCACACACUAGUAGAGGGGCCGCGAUGAAGGUAUCCAUGGCCGUGGUAUAAUUCCAGUCAUCCGGUCAUGGGGCAUGGGUGUUUCCGGUCUGGAAUCAUAAGGGGGGCACUCCCCGUAAGCGCACGAUAUAAAUAUUGUUUAUCCCAUGCUAGUCGAGGUCGGAGCCUCCCCAUCUUAUGGUUUUACCUUGGCAGCGUAGUCUGAGUGAAUCCGGGCUUCGCGGAGGUAAAGUAGGUGUGUGAUGAUUCUGAGUGUCCACCUCUAAAAUGCCGUACGCGGAAUUAGUCAUAGUGACUAUUGAAAACCGCCGGCUAUGGGUAAAGAGUACACCUUCUGCAGAGUCAAAACUAUACGAGUAGCCGUUUCCACGGUCAAGGACGUUGGUUGACUAGUCAAGUGACGGUCUAAGUGUCGGUCUUCGGAGGUAGUGAAUGGAGUAUGAGACUAAUCAAGAAAUAUGGUGGAUGAUUUUAAACAGUACUUUUUGUGAACUAACCAUUAUGAUUUUUAUUGUGAAUAUCCGUCGGACGGUUCUACCUCGUAGAUAUUCUCUAUUAUUUCAUAUAAGCCCUUUAUGUGGUGUCACUGAGAUGCUCGAAUGUGGCAUGUUUGUUAUUAUUUCAUAUAAGCCCUUUAUGUGGUGUCGCUGAGACGCCCGACUAUGGCAUCUUUGUUACUAUUUCAUAUAAGCCCUUUAUGUGGUGUCGCUCAGACGCCCGACUGUGGCAUGUUUCUUAUUAUUUCAUACAAGCCCUUUAGGUGGUGUCGUUGAGACGCCCCACUGCGGCAUGCUUAUUUUUUGCACCCCAUGUUAGUAUUCCUAAUUACUGUUUAAUAACUUUCAAUAUGAUUAUUACUUCACUACUAAUGCUUGAGUAGUAAAUUGAGUUGAUGCAGUAUUACGAUAUCAUUGUGUGUGUAUGAAUAACCCUGCAAGUUAUAUGUUUGCUUCAUGAUGUUUGCGAGUACAUUCAAAGUACUAACUUGCUUGUCCCUGGCUAUUGUCUUGGCCAGAUUGCAAGCUUGGAGAGGAGGUGCUUGANNNNNNNNNNNNNNNNNNNNNNNNNNNNNNNNNNNNNNNNNNNNNNNNNNNNNNNNNNNNNNNNNNNNNNNNNNNNNNNNNNNNNNNNNNNNNNNNNNNNCAUUUGCUUGUCCCUGGCUAUUGGCUUAGCUAGAUUGCAAGCUUGGAGAGGAGGUGCUUGACGAGAAGCUUGAAGCAUAGGCUUCAAGGAUAGGAGUGAGCGAGAUAGGAGUUAACCUGGUCAGCUGUUCCUGUGGGAAAUGGAGUCUCAAAGGAGUUGGAGAUCCCAGUAAUGCUUCCACCAUCAACCACUAGAAACCCUUUUUGAUGUACUCAUUAGACAACUUUGGUCAUGUAACUUCAAUGUGUACUUUGCUUGGACAAUUGUAUCAAGGAAAGGUGUGCCAUCUAACAGUAUUCUUGGGGCUGGUAUACUUAAGGGCCAUUUGAAGGGAAAUUGAAAUCCCCGAAAAUCCGGUCCCCACAACCUUGGUAUCAGAGCUAGGCUGACCGUUGGCUAAUUCUAUCUUAGCCGGGUCAAUAAGCACUAGAAGGCCACCCAUCAAGCUAGUGACAUUGCUACCAGUCAAGUCUGCCCUAACUAGAAGUCGAACAGUGUUCGCCAACACUUUUAGGUAAGGCGGUGCCCAACCUAGCAGACUAGCCCUAUGGUCACACGCCAGUGACCACGACCCUUUUGUCCUUCUCGCAAUCUUGUGAGAGAAGACUUCGUUCUCCUUUCUAUAAAGGGAGCGAUUGUUCCGCACAACACAACACUACCACAACCACCCAAGAUGCCAGACCCCAUUGUCCACAAUGAAACCACUGCUGCGGACCAAGGAGGUUUCGUAGCCAUUUUGGCCAGCCCAGCCCAUCGUGCCUUUGCCAUGGAAGAGCCUCCGGAGUAUGUUGUGUACCAAGAGCGCACAAGUGGUGACAUUCGUCACUUCUGGGACACAGUACACAUCUACAGUAGGAGUAUCACCCAAGAGCGUCCCCAUCGGUUCACCGGAAGGUCAACUUCCUAUGAGCCCGAAGCCAUCCAGCUGGCAGCUCGAGAGGAAUAGUUCAACUCCGGAACUUGUCGCCAGGAGUUAACUGCCGCUCGUUCUACUACUACCCUAGUCGUGAAGGUUAUGGUAGGCCGAUCCAGGUCGCCAGCGGAGACCAUGAGACCAACCCCGCCUUGUUGCACCUUGUGUGCUAUGUGAGGGCAUAAGAGGCACUGUACGACCAGGUCACCCUCGACCCGAUUGCAGCUCAUGCAGAGCUGGCUCGUCUGAGGAGGAGAGAAGCGGAGCCCGAAGCCAACAACCCUAUAGUGCUGUUUGGGAGACCAAUUGAACUCCAACGGUUAGUCCCAGCUACCGACCCAAGUCACGCGCCUAUCUCCCUCGAGGAGCUUCGCCGCAUUUUGGGGAUUUCCUCCAACAGAACGGUAGCUACAGCAGCCCGCAAUGGACACCCCCGCUACCCCGACCAUGUAGCUCCACCCCCUUCCCCGAGCAACUAUGACGGCGUAGUUCCAGCAGACUUGAUGUCUGUAAGAUCUGCUCACCUAGAUGUAAACGAAGUAGACUAGGCCUUGACCGUGUUGUGGAAUUCGCUUGCACGUAAUAUAUGAGAUAGUAUGGGAAACUGUUUUUGUUUUAUUAUUUUAAGCACUGCAGGUAAUCACCUGUAUAUGCUUUUAGGCAGCAUAGCUAUAGUUGGACGUGACCACGACAGUCUAUCACAGUAAAGUGUCACGUUUCGUGAACUUUUAACGGUAGGUCUUGACCAAACCCCUUUGGAACGAAGACAACCACCGAGACCAAGCCAGCCUAAAGUUUGUGUCCCCAACCCCACCUAUAUAAGGAUCACCGUGGUCUUCCCAGCAACACUCACCUUGUGCACUACCUUCACAUCCUUCCGCCAUGCUACCCCAAGGGAGUUACCUCAGAACUCCAGAUGCAACUCCGAGCAGUUUUGUUAAAGUAUUGUGGGAUUUUACCCGCAGUACCAUGGGUUCUUCCUUCCCACCCUGGUACAAGCUGUUCAAAUCGAGGAUCACUCCCUCUACCUCGAAAUAUUGGGAAGUCAUGCACAUUUUUCUAGUAGACCUUAACCAAGACCCCACGGAAAUCUUCUUCAGCGGAAAAUCUAUGCCUACCCUAGAAAUGGCCAUAGAGGUUGCUGCCUACGAAGCGGUUACUCGCCUUCGUUAUGCAGUACCAUAUGCCAGUGAAAGGGGGUACUGUUAUUUUCCGAGCCGUGCAGAACCCGAAGGAGCAGCAUCUUUUUCGGGGACCCGUUCGGGGAGAGACCCCGUGUUGGUCAGGCUCGUGCAAUUUGUCAUCACUCAAGAGUGUUUGACACAGCCCGUGAUGGAGUUUCUCCAGGACCUCGCCAUCCAGAAUCCUCAGAUCGCCAUUGGCGAACCCCUAAGGACAAGCCCAACAGGACGCAUUCUGCGGGUCCUCCAGCCUCUCGCCCCCGAAGACGAAGUGGGUAUUCCCCUGCCAGGAAUAUUUCCCCAUGACCAUUAGGGCUUUAUUUUGCGUACGCUGUAAAUACCUUGCCGUAUAGUCAUGUUGUGUAAUGUGAUGAUUGUGCCAUGUAAUUUUAUUACUACAUGCAUGUGUUUUAGCUUGUGUGAUCUUGCCUUCAACUGUUUUCUUGCAAUGACCUUUGCAUGAUCGAUUUUUCCUACUGCAGUAAUUAGAUAACUCAACAAAAAGUUUAUUCGCAUGCGAGGUAGCUCACACCACAUGCACUCUGCUAGUGCACUAAGAACAGAACCACACACACGGGACCCCAGCUAACUACCUUGCUAACACAACAGUUCCUCCGAGAGGAAUGUAGUAUUUCUUUUUGUGGGAUUACUACCGACAAUGGUAGCCACUCCGAAUUUGUGCUCGCGCUUAGUCUUUGUGUUCCUCGCCCUUGCAGAGAGCCGCCUGUUGGGUAACGUUGCAUGGUAAACAAAAAUUUUCCUACUCACACGAAGACCUAUCAUGGUGAUGUUCAUCUACGAGAGGGAGAUCGGAUCCACAUACCCUUGUAGAUCGCUAAGAGGGAAGAGUUAAGAAACGUGGUUGAUGUAGUGGUACAACUUCGUGAUUCAAAUCACCAUCGUCCCACGAUCCAUCCACGAUCCGUCCCGAUCUAGCACCGAACGGACGGCACCUCAGCGUUCAACACACGUACAUCUCGAUGACGAUCUCCGCCUUCUUGAUCCAGCAAGAGAGACGGGGAAGUAGAUGAGUUCUCCGGCAGCGUGACGACGUGCCGAUGAUGGUGAUGAUCUAUUCCUACAGGGCUCCGCCCGAGCUCCGCGGAAAUCUGAUCUAGAGGAAGAACUACGAGGUAUAGUUUGAGUUGCACAUGGCAAAGUUGUGCCUCAAAAGCCCUAAACCUCUAGUAUAUAUAGGAGGAGGGAGGGGGCAGCCUUGGCGCCACAAGGGAGACCACCUUGUGUCGGCCGAAGUGGAGGAGGGAGGAGUCCUCCUCCAAUUCCACUUGGAUUAGGACUCCUUCCUUAUUUUCCCACCUCUUUUGGAUUUUCCACCUUUUCCUCAUUGGCUUUCCUUGGAUGACUUUGUCAGCCCAUUAUACCUUAUUGCGCAUCCAAUAAACCCAUGUGGACCCCUUGGGGCAUGGUGGGCCCACCCAGUGGGCCCCCGGAACCCAUUCGUCACUCCCGGUACACUGCCGGCAAUACCCGAAAACCUUCCGGAAUCCAAAUACCAACUUUCUAUAUAUCAAUCUUCGUUUCCCGACCAUUCCGGAACUGAUCGUAACAUCCGGGAUCUCAUCCUGGACUCCGAACAUAACUUCGGUCACCAACACAUAUAACUCAACUAUACCGAAACGUCACGAACCUUAAGUGUGCAGACCCUGUGGGUUCGAGAACUAUGCAGACAUGAACUGAGACACUCUCUGGUCAAUAACCAAUAGUGGGACCUAGAUGUCCAUAUUGGCUCCAACAUAUUCUACGAAGAUCUCUAUUGGUUGAACCUCUAUGUCAAGGAUUCAGUUAAUCCCGUAUGAUGUUCCCUUUGUCCUUCUGUAUGUUACUUGCCCGAGAUUCGAUCAUCGGUAUCUCCAUACCUAGUUCAAUCUCAUUACCGGCAAGUCUCUUUACUCGUUCCUUAAUACAAGUUCCUGUAACUAACUCCUUAGUCACAUUGCUUGCAAGGCUUGUCAUGAUGUUGUAUUACCGAGUGGGCCCCGAGAUACCUCUCAGUUACACAGAGUGACAAAUCCCUGUCUUGAUCCAUACCAACCCAACAGACACCUUUGGAGAUACCUGUAGAGCAUGUUUAUAGUCACCCAGUUGCGUUGCCACGUUUGAUAAUCCACAAGGUAUUCCUCCGGUGUCCGGGAGUUGCAUGAUCUCAUGGUCAUAGGAACAGAUACAUUGACAUGCAGAAAACAACAGCAGUAAACUGACACGAUCAUACGCUACAUUUAUAGUUUGGGUCUUGUCCAUCACAUCAUUCUCCUAAUGAUGUGAUCCCGUUAUCAAGUGANNNNNNNNNNCAACACUUGUCUAUGGUUAGGAAACCUUAACCAUCUUUGAUCAAUGAGCUAGUCAACUAGAGGCUUACUAGGGACAGUGUUUUGUCUAUGUAUCCACACAUGUGUUUGUGUUUCUAAUCAAUACAAUUAUAGCAUGGAUAAUAAACGAUUAUCAUGAACAAAGAAAUAUAAUAAUAACUAAUUUAUUAUUGCCUCUAGGGAAUAUUUCCAACACCGUCACCCGUGGAGCAGUGUCACGAUGAUUAUCUUGGAUCAUCGCUCACAACAGCGCCGAGAAACCGAUCAGCGCCACCACCUCUCCGACCAGCAGGAUGAUCAGCCACCCCGGGUACUCCUCCGCGAUUGGAGCCUCGCUUCAAGCUCCUGCAAGCGGAAAUGAGGAAGAGGAGGAGACAUGAAGAGUGAGGUUGAGAGUGAGGUAGAGGAGAGAAUGACACAACCGUUUUAUAGCCCGAGGUCGGUGCGCGAUGGACGCAGUCCAUUAGCACCGCUCGUCGCUCGAUCGUCUGUGUUCGGAAAUGAAUCCGCGAGCAGUGCCGACAAAGCACUGGCCCGCAACGCGAGUGCUCGCUGCACUGGUAGCUAGUAUGCCGCGCACUAGCAAGGUACGGCGCUAGACGCCUGCGAUCUAGACACCACACAUGGAGAAAGCAGCGUAAAGCGCGGGAGAGAGAGGAAAGAGGAGAGAAGGAGGAAGAAGAAGAGACUGACCGUGGGUCCUGGGCCCACUUGGUAGCGGGAGAGAACACUAUGCACUCGGAUACGACAAGCAAAUUUGGAAUUGGAGUAUUUUCCUUUUUCGAAAGAUUUUUGUCGUAGCCAUUUAUGGCAACACCUCGUUUUGCCAAACCAUAGCUUUUGCCUGUAUCGCCAGUGCCGCAAUGUAGCUGCACCGGUUAUUGUUUUUACUGUGAUUCCCUUGCUAUGUUUAAUUACCACUUGAGGUUUGUCUCUAACAAAUCUUGAGGACGAGAUUUUUCUUAAGGGGGUAGAGUUUGUAACACCCCAAAUUUUUGCCAAGAUUUCUAUUUAAUAAAUUUGGCCAGAAUAUUGUUAAAUUUUAUUUCUGGGUUUUCUCUUGACUUCAAAACUUCUCUUAUUCUUGGUUUUGGGGAUAAUUCCUCUAUGAGCUAAAGCUUUUGAGGACUCUCAUGUGACUUGAGGGUUUACUCAAAUACUUUCUCUCGACUGAUUAUUUUAGAAAAGAACUUUCGUUAAUAUUACCUCCUAACUCAAUUAUUCAAAACUGGUUUUUUGGGGUCCAGUUUUGAACUGCACCUACCUGCUAAACUCUUCUAAAAAAUUCCACCAUAAGCUUGAAAAUUCCCUACUAUGUUUCUGGAUCAACUUUCUCUAAUAAUAUAGCCAAUUGUUUAGACAGGAUUAAGCAAAUUAAUUAAUCUUGCUUUCUGGUCCAAUGGUAGAUUUGCACUACAACCCUUGAAUUAAUUCCCCAAAAAUUUUGUAAAAGUUCAUAGCAGCCAAGGAGUUCAUACAAAUGAGUUUUGUGAAAAAACCCAGCUGAGUGUUUUGGUAAAAUAUUGCUUUUUGCCAUCUUUUCUGUUUUGGUCCAAAUAGGUGCUUUACACUACAACCUCUUCAUUAAAGUCUCUAAUAAUUCUGUAAAACUUUGGAGAGGUCCAGUUGUUUAUAUGAAUGAGUUUUCUGCAAAAAUAUAUGUUGGUCUUUUGAAAUAUUUGAGCACCACUUCUUGUUUUAUGUUCUGGACCAGAUUGACCUUUUGAACUACAACCCCACUUUUCCCUUCCCCAAUGCUCUUGAAUUUUUUUUCUGCUUGUAGUACUCCCUGUGAAACACUUAAGUAUAUAUUUUCAGCCCCAUUGGAAUUGUUUUGAUCCCUGUUGCAUCAUCUCCUUGUUACUACCCAUAAAUGUAUUUUUGCUAAAAGUGCAUUGUGAAGUUGUGGAGUUGCUAGAUCAAGUCUUGCCAUCCUUGUGCCCCUCCAGAGAGGCCCUUGUAUGGUAAUUCUUGUGGCCAGCAAGUGUUCUUAGAUGACCUUCCACAUUCCGCCGAGCAUCUGGUGCCCAUGACCAAUUUUGACAUGCUCUUUUGAUUGUAUUCAAGACUUGUUCCCCAGAGCAAUCCAACAUGUCGAGCAGAUCCCUAGUAGAACCCUGAGCCAUCCUGGGAAGUUUCCCCUUCAUCCCCAAGCCCUAGCCUGCCCUGGCAUUUCGUCGAGCACCUGGCAGAUGUGCCUGAGCGUGCUUGAUGACCCACAAGUACAGGGGAUCAAUUGUAGUCCUUUCGAUAAGUAAGAGUGUCGAACCCAACGAGGAGCAGAAGGCUCUGAUAAAAGGAUUUCAGCAAGGUAAUAACUACAAGCACUGAAAGUAGCGGUAACAAGUGAUUAUGUAGCGAGGUGAAACGUAGCAAGCAAAGAGUAACACGUAACAAGUAGUAUAAACGGUGCAGAAAGUGGCCCAAUCCCUUUUGUAGAAAGGGACAAGCCUGAACAAAGUCUUAUAGGAGGAAAAACGCUCCCGAGGACACACGGGAAUUUCUGUCAUGCUAGUUUCAUCAUGUUCAUAUGAUUCACGUUCGUUACUUUGAUAGUUUGAUAUGUGGGUGGACCGGCGCUUGGGUACUGCCCUUACUUGGACAAGCAUACCACUUAUGAUUAACCUCUCUCGCAAGCAUCCGCAACUACAAAAGAAGNNNNNNNNNNUAUAUGUGGGUGGACCGGCACUUGGGUACUGCCCUUAAUUGGACAAGCAUCCCACUUAUGAUUAACCUCUCUCGCAAGCAUCCGCAACUACAAAAGAAGAAUUAAGACAAAGUCUAACCAUAGCAUUAAACUAGUAGAUCCAAAUCAGCCCCUCAUGAAGCAACGCAUAGACUGGGGUUUAAGCUUCUGUCACUCCAGCAACCCNNNNNNNNNNNNNNNNNNNNNNNNNNNNNNNNNNNNNNNNNNNNNNNNNNNNNNNNNNNNNNNNNNNNNNNNNNNNNNNNNNNNNNNNNNNNNNNNNNNNCGGGGCGGAUCGAGGGACGUGAGGACGUUCCACUACAUCAACCGCGUUCACUAACGCUUCUGCUGUACGAUCUACAAGGGUACGUAGAUCACUCAUCCCCUCUCGUAGAUGGACAUCACCAUGAUAGGUCUUCGUGCGCGUAGGAAAAUUUUUGUUUCCCAUGCGACGUUCCCCAACAGAGAUCAUAUAACUGACUGACACCGGAGGAAUGCUUUGUGUGUAUAAAACGUCGCAACGUAAUUGGGUGACUAUAAAGAUGCUCUACAGGUAUCUCCGAAGGUGUUCGUUGAGUUGUUAUGGAUCAAGACUGGGAUUUGUCACUCUGUGUGACGGAGAGGUAUCUCGGGGCCCACUCGGUAAUGUAACAUCACACACAAGCCUGGCAAGCAAUGUGACUUAGUGUAAGUUGCGGGAUCUUGUAUUACGGAACGAGUAAAGAGACUUGCCGGUAAACGAGAUUGAAAUAGGUAUGCAGAUACCGACGAUCGAAUCUCGGGCAAGUAACAUACCGAAGGACAAAGGGAAUGACAUACGGGAUUAUAUGAAUCCUUGGCACUGAGGUUCAACCGAUAAGAUGUUCAGAGAAUAUGUAUGAUCCAAUAUGGGCAUCCAGGUCCCGCUAUUGGAUAUUGACCGAGGAGUCACUCGGGUCAUGUCUACAUAGUUCUCGAACCCGCAGGGUCUGCACACUUAAGGUUCGACGUGCUUUUAUGCGUAUUUGAGUUAUAUGGUUGGUUACCGAAUGUUGUUCGGAGUCCCGGAUGAGAUCCAGGACGCCACGAGGAGCUCCGGAAUGGUCCGGAGGUAAAGAAUGAUAUAUAGGAAGUCCUGUUUUGGUCACUGGAAAAGUUUCGGGCUCAUCGGUAGUGUACCGGGAGUGCCGGGAGGGGUGCCGGGGACCAUCGGGAGGGGUGUCACGCCCCAAGGGGUCUCAUGGGCUAUGGGAAUAGAUAAACCAGCCCCUAGUGGGCUGGUAUAAGUUCCCACUAAGGCCCAUAAGGUUUGAGAAGGAAAAAACACAAGGUGGAAAGAGUUUNNNNNNNNNNNNNNNNNNNNNNNNNNNNNNNNNNNNNNNNNNNNNNNNNNNNNNNNNNNNNNNNNNNNNNNNNNNNNNNNNNNNNNNNNNNNNNNNNNNNUGGAGUUUCAUGAUCAUCAUCAUUAACUUCCUCCUCAACCGGCGUCGCAAUGACACAGGUUUCCCCUUGCCCUGCGCCACCAUCCAGAGGGAUGAGAGGUUCGACAACCUCGUCAAGUUCUAUCUUCCUCCCACUCAAUUCUCUCGAGAGAAACUCCUUCUCGAGAAAAGCUCCGUUUUUAGCAACAAACACUUUGCCCUCGGAUUUGAGAUAGAAGGUGUACCCAACUGUCUCUUUUGGGUAACCUAUGAAGACGCACUUUUCCGCUUUGGGUUCCAGANNNNNNNNNNNNNNNNNNNNNNNNNNNNNNNNNNNNNNNNNNNNNNNNNNNNNNNNNNNNNNNNNNNNNNNNNNNNNNNNNNNNNNNNNNNNNNNNNNNNNNNNNNNNNNNNNNNNNNNNNNNNACAGUUCGUAUGGUGUCGCCUCAACGGAUUUUGAGGGUGCCCUAUUUAAAGUGAAUGCAGCUGUUUCUAAUGCAUAACCCCAAAAUGACAAUGGCAAAUCGGUAAGAGACAUCAUAGACCGCACCAUCUCUAAUAAAGUACGAUAACGACGUUCGGACACACCAUUACGCUGUGGUGUUCCAGGCGGUGUUAACUGUGAAACAAUUCCACAUUGUCUUAAGUGAGCACCAAACUCGAAACUCGGAUAUUCACCCCCACGAUCAGACCGCAGGAACUUGAUCUUCUUGUUAUGAUGAUUUUCCACUUCACUCUGAAAUUGCUUGAACUUUUCAAAUGUUUCAGACUUGUGCUUCAUCAAGUAGACAUAACCAUAUCUACUUAAAUCUUCAGUGAAGGUGAGANNNNNNNNNNNNNNNNNNNNNNNNNNNNNNNNNNNNNNNNNNNNNNNNNNNNNNNNNNNNNNNNNNNNNNNNNNNNNNNNNNNNNNNNNNNNNNNNNNNNNNNNNNNNNNNNNNNNNNNAAGUCACUUACACGCUCCAUUGUUCCUGAGAACGGAGUCUUAGUCAUCUUGCCCAUGAGGCAUGGUUCGCACGUGUCAAGUGAAUCAAAGUCAAGUGACUCCAAAAGUCCAUCAGCAUGGAGUUUCUUCAUGCGCUUUACACCAAUAUGACCUAAGCGGCAGUGCCACAAAAAUAUGGCGCUAUCAUUGUUAACUCUAACUCUUUUGGUCUCAAUGUUAUGUAUAUGCGUAUUGCUAUCAAGAUUCAAUAUGAAAAAUCCUCUCACAUUCGGUGCAUGACCANNNNNNNNNNNNNNNNNNNNNNNNNNNNNNNNNNNNNNNNNNNNNNNNNNNNNNNNNNNNNNNNNNNNNNNNNNNNNNNNNNNNNNNNNNNNNNNNNNNNAAAGAGAGAGAGAGAGAGAUUGCCAUCUAGGUAUUGAGUAGUGAACUACUCACACAUCAUCAUGAGGGAACCAAGGUUGAUGAAGAGGCGCUCCGUGAUCUACACCCCGUGUGGAAGGGUGCCGGAACGGAGCUCCACAUGGCCUCCUGUCAGAAUAGAGACUUGCGGCAACGUCAAAAGUGUUCCGGGACUCCCUCUGGUGUUUUUAGGGUAUAUUAGAAUUUAUAAGCCAAAGAACAGAGUCGGGAGGGCCAGGAGUGAGGCACAAGCCAUAAGGGCGUGCCCCCCAGGACGCGCCCUGUUGGCUUGUGGGGCCCUUGUGAGGCCUCCACCCUUCUUUCGAUGCUCGUCGACCUUAUUUUGGUGUAGAAAAAAUCACCAAAAAGUUUCACGACAAUUGGACUUCGUUUGGUAUGGAAACCUAAAAAUUGGAAAACACGUAGAAAACAACAACCGGCACUGGGCACCGGGUCAAUAGGUUAGUGCUCAAAAAUAAUAUAAUUUGGUAAAUAGAUACCCCAAAAGUAUUCUAGAAUGAUAAUAUAUCAGCAUGGAACAAUAAAAAAUUGUAGAUACGUUGGAGACGUAUCAAGCACCCCAAGCUUAAUUCCUGCUCGUCCUCGAGUAGGUAAAUGAAAAAAAACAGAUUUUUUGAUGUGACAUGCUAUCCAUGAUGUAACCUUAUGCAUGUAUGCUCAUUGAUAAAUUAUGAGUUAACAAAUAUUAGCACAAUAGUACUUAUAGGUAUAAGCAACAAAUCAUAAUUUUUCAAAGUAUAUUACCCUCAAAGAUUGUUUUGCCCCCCAUCCAUCUUUAUUUUCUUAGCAAGGCAUGGCUCCAUCUUCACCUCAUUAAUACAAAUGUCAAGCACCACUGCGUCCAAUUCAGGCAAUCGGAUCGUACUUUUCAAUAUGCAUGAACUUUUUAUUCUUCACGCAAUACAUGACUAUGAACCAUUGGACAUAUCAUAAAGGUGGAAUAGAAUAUGUUGGUAGGUUUCAAAGGGGUAAAAGUGGAGAAGAUAGUCUUACAUCAACUAGGCGUACCAACGAGCUAUGGAGAUGCCCGUCAACAGAUAUUGAUGCAAGGAGUAGAGAUUGCCAUGCAAAUGAUGCACAAGAGCUAUAAGUGUAUGAAAGCUCCACUGAAGCUAAGUGGGGUGUGCAUCCAACUUGCUUUAUCAUGAAGACCUCGGUCAUUUGAGGAAGCCCGUCAUCGGAAUAUACAAGCCAAUUUUAUGAAAAAGUCAUUCCCAAUAGCAUAUGAAUGAUAUAACAUGAGUCUCUCUAUAUGAAGAACAAGGUGCCACUUUGAGGCACACGUGUGGUAAAGGAUAGUAGCAAAGUACCUUCUAUCGUUUUCUCUCAUUCAUUUUUUAUGGUGGGCUCACUGGGCCCCCCCAUGUUUAUUUCCUUACUCGGACAAUGCUCUAAUAAUGAUGAUCAUCACACUUUUAUUUACUUACAACUCAAUAUGAAAACUGAUAGGACGAUAUGACUCUGAAGGAAUGCCUCUCGGAGUGUACCAGGAUGUGCAAAGAUCCAGCAUGACAUGUAUCAGAAAUAUGAUGAACGGUGGCUUUGCCACAAAUACUAUGUUAGUUCUAUAUGAUCAUGCAAAGCAUUAUGAUGACGAACAAACUAGUCAUGUGAAGUGACGUGGCAUUUGCAUGGCAAUAUAUCUCGGAAUGGCUAUGGAAAUGACAUGAUAGUAGGUAUGGUGGCUAUUUUGAGGAGGAUAUAAAAACAUUUAUGUGCAAGAUAACAUGUCAUGUCACGGGGUUUGCAUGCACCAGCGAGAGUUGCACCGAUCCUCAAGGUGAGAAGAUAUGAUGCACGGUACCAAAGAGGCUAGCAAAUAUGAGAGGUGAGAUCAUGUAUGUCCAUGGUGUCAUAUUAGGCAUGAAGAACUCAUAUACUUAUUGCAAAAAAUUUCUCAGUUGUAUCACCAAUUAAAGUACUAUUCGCAUGCCCCGAGGGAGAGGGUUGGUAGGAAUUAACCAUCGCGCGACUCCGACUCGAAACAACACUAGGAUUUCAAUGAUGAAUAGAAAUGCUCACACAUCAUCAACAUGCCCUUUUAAUUUUUUAGAUGAACAAGAAGUUUAACAUAUCUUAAUAUUGACACCUAUCUGAAUUAGUAAUAGUGCAGUCACACCUUUUUCAUAUUACCACACCAAUAUCAUUAGCCCACAAUUUCUCUAUAUGUGCUACAUGAUGGUUUUAAUUAUCACUCAUUGAAUACUCAUUAUUUUUGAUCUAGACUCAUGCCCAUGAAAAUUACCAUCACUAUUUUUCCAUAUCUCAAACUAAUAUAAGUGAAGAACGAGAGCAUAAUAUUUCUAUAAAAUCUACAUGCCAUCAUGCUCAAAAGAUAUAAGUGAAGUAAUAGAGCAAAUGCUAAGCUCAAAAGAUAUAAGUGAAGCACAUAGACUAUUCUAACAAAUUGUUGUGAUGUUUUCUCUCUCUCAAAUAGGUGUGUACAACAAACAAUGAUUGUGGCAAACUGAAAGUAAAAGCAAACAAAAGCACUUCAAGCAAAACUCAUAUCAUGUGAUGAAUAAAAAUAUAGCUCCAAGUAACAUACCGAUGGAUUGAGACAAAAAGAGGGGAUGCCUUUCGGGGCAUCCCCAAGUUUAGACGCUUGAGUCUUCCUAGAAUAUUAUCUUGGGGUGCCUUGGGCAUCCCCAAGCUUAGGAUUUUGCUGCUCCUCAAUCCUUUGUCCAUCGGGACAAUACCCAAAACUUGAAAACUUCGAUCACAUAAACUCAACAAAACUUCAGGAGAUCCGUUAUGAUAAGCAACAUAUCAAAUACUUUUAGGUACUGUUACAAGUUGAUUCUUAUUUAUUUUUAGCAUAGGGUACUGUAUCUUAACUCCUCCAUGGCUUAUACCCCAUCAUACAAUCCAUAGCAUCAUCAAAACAAGCAAACUACGCAUGCAAAAACAGAAUGUGACUAAAACAAAACAGUCUGUAGUAAUAUAAAAUGAACCUAUACUUAUGUAACUCCAACAAUUCUGAAAAAUUAGCAUGACCUGAGGAAUUUUUAUAGAAAUACUUUGUAAAAUAUUCAACUUACAAAGAUUUUCAGGUAAAAUUAUAGAAAUGCUGCACUGGACGUCAAAGUUUCAAAGAAAUGCUGCACUGGACGUCAUUAACAUUCAGAGAAGUAAACAAAGAUUCAAUAGGAGAUGUACCAAUCAUUUUAAGAUCUUCAUCACGAUUUGUAAUGGGGAAAGUUUCUCAUUUAGCAGCCAUCCUAUUUACUAGAGUGGUUUACUUAUCGUAGAUUUUUCCUAAUAAAUCUAUGGUGAGUGAAACUUGUGAUUGGAGGCUAGACACUUAUUUAUUAAUUUCAUCAAGUUGUUUACUUAUAGCAUCUAACAAAGUUGAAUGUUCCAUUACCUCAGAUGCAAAUAAUUUAUUGUGCUCAUAUUGCCAAGUCAUGAAGGUCUUCGUGGAACCUUCUAUUUCUGACAUGCUUUGAUAGUAAGAGAUAUUCUGGAAUCCAUCUUGAGACAUGGUGACCGAGCAAGCAAAUUGACAAUGAAAACAAGCAAACUAGAGAGCGAAGAUGCAAUCUAGUGACGAGCUAAGCAAGCAAAGAUAAAUAUUUUUGUAACUUUAUCUUUUUAUGAGACAAAAUAAAUAUACCGGCAAAUAAAAAGAGGAAUAAGUGAAUGAAAUUUGGUGUGGAGUUACUUGGUAGUUGGUGAUGAUAUUCCCCGACACUUGGUAGUUAAUGAUGAUAUUCCCCGACAAUGGCGCCCAAAAUUCUUCUUGAUACUUGUGAUCUGUGUUGGGUUUUCCAUGAAGAGGAACAUGUUAUCGAAGCACAAUGUGGGUAGUAUUUCCCCCAGUUAUGAAACCAAGGUUUAUCGAACCAAUAGGAUUAUCAACCACAACCGUCUUUAGCGGCUGCACACGAAAGAACAAACAACUUGCACUGAACGCGGGCAAGAGGGUUGUCAAUCCUCUUGUCUUGUUAUUUGCAAGCAAGUGAGGUGUAUAGAUAAUUGUAGAUAGCAAGAUAAAAUAAAAAAAGUAAAUAACAACAAGGUAAUGAAGGUUUUAUCAAUAUAUUGUUAAUAGACCCAGGGGCCAUAGCUUUCCCUAAUGGCAUCUCUCACAAAAAAUAACAUACAAUGGGUAGUUGGGCAUUUGACAAAAAAGAAGUUAGUUAUGCGAUAUUCAUGGCAAUGAUAAUGUGUAUAUAGGCAUCGCGUAUAUAAACAAAUAGGCCGACUCCUGCUUAUACCUAUUACUUAUACUCCACUCAUCGAGCGCUAUCUAGCAUGCAUCUAGAGUAUUAACUAAAACAGAGUAAUACAUGGAGAACAAUGACAUGAUGUAGACAAAGUAAACUCAAGCAAUAUGAAUAAACCCCAUCAUUUUAUCCUUAGUAGCAGCAACAAAAAGACGCAUCUUGUCCCGUUCUAUUACUGGGAUGUAGAAAUUCGCCAGGUUGAACUUACCACAAUGCACCUCUCUCACCAGAGAAAUAUCGAUCUAGUUGGCCAAACUAUUUCAACAGAUCGGAGAGAAUUACGAAGUUAUCAUAAUCAUGCACAUAAGAAUCAUAUAAGUAUUUAGAGGAGACUCAAAUAUUUAUCAUGAAUAAUCUGAACAUAAACCCACAAUUCAUCAGAUCCCAACAAAUGCGCUGCACAAAAGGAAUUACAUCAUAUGGAUCAAAGCGAAGAUGCGAUGAUCAUUAUAUUGAAGAUCAAAGAGAGAGAGAGAGAGAAAGACUGUCAUCUAGGUACUGAGUAUGGACCCGUAGGUCUAUGGCAAACUACUCACACAUCAUCAGGAGGCAACAAGGUUGAUGAAGAGGCCUUUCGUGAUUAACCCCCUCUGGUAGGUUGCCAGAACAAAGCUCCGGAUGGCCUCCCGUCAGAACAGAGACUUGCGGCAGCGUCAAAAGUAUUUCGGGACCCCCUCUCGUGUUUUUAGGGUAGAUGAGAAUUUAUAAGCAAAAGAACAGAGUUGGGGGGCCCACGAGGGAGGCACAAGCCAUCAGGGUGCGCCCCCCAGGUCGUGCCCUGUUGGCUUGUGGGCCCCUCGUGAGGCCUAUAGCCUUCUCGUGAUGCUCGUUAGUCUUCUUUUGGUACAGAAAAAUCACUAAAAAGUUUCAGGGCAAUUGGACUUCGUUUGGUAUGGAAAACCUGAAAAGUGGAAAACACGCAGAAAACAAGAACUGGCACUGGGCAGUUGGUCAAUAGGUUAGUGUUAAAAAAAAUACAAAUUGGUAAAUAAAUACGUGAAAACUAUUCUAGAAUGACAAUAUAUCAACAUGGAACAAUCAAAAAUUAUAAAUACGUUGGAAAGUUACCAUUACUUAAUGUUAUGGUUGCUAUUUACCUUAAUGAGCUUUAGUAGGUGGGGAUGCUUGCUACAGUUCCAGUCAUAAGAGCAUAUGAUCCAAGUACGGAAAGUGUGUUAGAGUAUGCCUCUCCUUGCUUGCAUAUGAUACAUAUUUAUCAUGCUAUAUUUAAUUGCCUAUGGGCAAUCUUUCUCAUCGUUCUACAAAAAGCUUACUACUAAACAACUAACUUUUAUUAUCUUGCAAAUUAUUCGUAGUUUUAUUCUAGUUAAGUACUCCUACUUUUAUUCUUGCAAACUUAUUCUUUUACACCUACAAAGUAGUUUAAUUCUUGUUCUAGGUAAAGCGAACAUUAAGUGUGCGUAGAGUCAUAACAAUAGUUGAUAGAACUUAAAGGGAAUAUUAAUUCUACCUUUGGCUCCUUGUUAGGCUCGACACAUUUACUUAUCGAGAAAGGAUGGAAUUGAUCCCCUAUACCCGUGGGUUAUUAACCCUCAUGAAGAAAAAGCAUGGCAUUAGAAUCGAGGGCAUCAAGUUCAACAAGGCUCCUCUAUGGUCCAUGUGAAUCUUGGAAGAUGAUGAGAUUCGAACACCCCCGCAAAGACAAUCAUGACCACCACUUGUCCUUUUGUAUUGCUUCAUAUUGAUCUCUUUGAUCCUACUUAUUAUGUCACACUGACUAACAUUACAUCCUAUAUGUCUUUGUAAUAGUUGACGAUUUUCAUGCUAUACAUGGAUGCACAUCAUUAUGUACAAAAUUGAAGUGCAUGAUAUCUUUAGGCGCUUCACAAAUCGGGCCAUGAUGAAUUAUGGUGUCAAGAUCAAGCAUAUUAGGAGUGGUAGUGACACUGAGUUCAAGAACACAAGUCUUCAUGACUAUCUUGAUGAACUCAGGAUCACUCAUGAGCUCUUUGUUCCCUAUACCCCUCGGUCGGCAAUGUGGAGCAUAAGAACAUGGUCUCAUCGAGAUCGAUCGCACUAUAUAUGCUUGACGAAUGCAAGAUUCCACAUCAUUGAUGAACCAAGGUAAUUGACACCACAUGCCACAUCAUAAGUAAGGUAUAUCCUCAAGAGGACUUCAUAUGAGCUUCUUAUUGAUAGGAAACCCAAUGUGAGUUAUUUUAAAGUCUUCGCUGCUAAAUGCUAGACACGGGAUCGACAUCACGGUGCGCCGAAAGCACAUGGGGGUUUUUACGCUUGGUUAUGGUCAGGAUUCACACACCUACAAAGUCUUCAACACUUACCACAACAAGUUUGUUGAAACUGUAGAUGCCUGGUUUAAUGAAACUAACGACUUGCAAAGUGAGCACCUGCCUCCAAUGCUAGAUGAAUUACCUCCUCAGGAAUCUAUCAAGUUAAUGGGCUCUCGUGAAAUUGUGCCAACUUAGCAACGUGUGACGAGGACAUCCCUAGUCCUUUACCAUAUUCUCCCAUUUAUCAUGUUGUUCCACACGACAAGUCCAAUGAAAUGAGAACUAGACCAAUUACAAGGGAACGAGCAAAGCUACUAGAACAACAAGUGAAUUCACUCUUAGUUGAAUCUGCCAUUUGUAUAAUGAGAAUUUAUACUACCAAAGUCUUUGCAUUUUUCAUGAUUAGAUUUGAAAAUGAGAACCAAAUUCAGAUUGACUGCUAGGAGGCCCAAAAUAAUAUACGUGCAAAAUCCAUGUCCAUGCUUUAAAUAAGGCAUGCAAAUACAAUUUGGAAAGCUUGACUCAUGUGCUUUCCAAACUGUUUACCCACAACCCCCGAUUCGAGGUGACCGAGUCGUAGUCGUCACAACAAUUCAUCGAUUAUUUGUACCAGGUUUCGAGAUAGAAUCAUUUAAGUUAAGAAACUUACACAUAAGGUUGUUUUUGACCCCAACACUAGGUUAGACGUCGAGGGGUCUUUCUAUACCCUUGCAAGUCAUUGAUUUUAGGGUUAGACCAUUUUUUGGUUAAACCCAUACUAGACUGAAUUGCUUUAACAAUCCCUCUGAAGUCAUAUAUCUCUUUACAUCGAUCAGGAAUAUUGACCCACUCCAAGUUUGCUUUGAUUUGGUGUUUUGCUACCGAAAGUCCCGUGUAAUCUAUUGUUCCACUGGGAAUUGAUAGAUUGCAAACCGAUUUGUGGUCGACGCCUACGUGUGCAAGUGUGGGGUGUGGAAAAUAUCCUUAGAGUUUAAGAUUUGUUGCAUUGGCAACAGGGGAACAAUCAGAGAGUUCAAGGGUGUCUCACAAGUUAUCCAACAAGUUCAUCUUCGUCACCAUCUGCUCACUUAGAAGAUCUGGCCACCCCUUAUAAUAUUGGUACCAUAUUUCUAGAGUUUACUCAGUGAGCAUCCAUCAAAUCCCUUAGAUUAGUUUUGUUUUCAUCCUAUAUAGAAAAAGCCAUACACAAAUAUAAGUUUAGAGUUUUUCCAUAGCAUAGCUAGCAUUUGUUCCAUGUUUUAGUAGAUGAUCAUAGUAUUUUAUUUGCAUAACUUAUUUUAUGAUUUGAGUCAUAAUAGAUUGUGAAGAUUUGUUUUUCACAAGUCGGGGUUGUCUGGUUCCUAUAAAGACGGUUCGUUUGAGUUAGUUUAGUUUGCUUAGGUUAACAAUAGGAAUCAGAUUGUGCUUGGUUUGAUAACCAUAGUCACCCAUUCUUAUUUUUCUUAGCACUUUGCUAUUGGGAGUAGAAUAUCCUUUGCUUUAUGGGCUGCUCAUAGAGGAUUUUGGAGAGGACAUAAUUCAUUUUAGAAAAUUCAGAUUGGUUACUAACUUCUGUGUUUCUGUUGAUAAAAAAGGAGAAAAGAGAAAGCAAGAAAAAAAUGAAAGAAAAAGGUGAAAAAUGAUGUGAAUUAAAGUUGUAUAUAACAUUGGAGAGUUUGUUUUAGNNNNNNNNNNNNNNNNNNNNNNNNNNNNNNNNNNNNNNNNNNNNNNNNNNNNNNNNNNNNNNNNNNNNNNNNNNNNNNNNNNNNNNNNNNNNNNNNNNNNCGCAAUGCAAGGAGUGUCUGAACGUCGUAAUCGCACCUUAUUAGAUAUGGUACGAUCUAUGAUGUCUCUCACCGACUUACCGCUAUCAUUUUGGGGAUACGCAUUAGAAACUGCAGCAUUCACUUUAAAUAGGGCACCGUCUAAAUCCGUUGAGACGACACCGUAUGAACUGUGGUUUGGCAAGAAACCUAAGUUGUCGAUUCUUAAAGUUUGGGGCUGCGACGCUUAUAAACCUAAGUUGUCGAUUCUUAAAGUUUGGGGCUGCGAUGCUUAUGUGAAGAAACUUCAACCAGAAAAGCUCGAACCCAAAGCGGAGAAAUGCGUAUUCAUAGGAUACCCUAAGGAAACUAUUGGGUAUACCUUCUAUCUUAGAUCCGAAGGUAAAACCUUUGUUGCCAAGAACGGAUCCUUUCUAGAGAAAGAGUUUCUCUCGAAAGAAGUAAGUGGGAGGAAGGUAGAACUUGAUGAGGUAAUUACACCCCCUCUCGAACAGGAAAGUAGCGCAGCGCAAGAAGUUGUUCCUGUGGUGCCUACACCGACUGAAGAGGAAGUUAAUGAUGAUGAUCAUGAAGCUUCGGAUCAAGUUACUACUGAACCGCGAAGGUCCACAAGGGCNNNNNNNNNNNNNNNNNNNNNNNNNNNNNNNNNNNNNNNNNNNNNNNNNNNNNNNNNNNNNNNNNNNNNNNNNNNNNNNNNNNNNNNNNNNNNNNNNNNNNNNNNNNNNNNNNNNNNNNNNNNNNNNNNNNNNNNNNNNNNNNNNNNNNNNNNAGAUUCCAACAAAUGGCUUGAGGCCAUGAAAUCCGAGAUAGGAUCCAUGUAUGAGAACAAAGUAUGGACUUUGGUGGACUUGCCCGAUGAACGGCAAGCCAUAGAAAAUAAAUGGAUCUUCAAGAAGAAGACUGAUGCAAACGGUAAUGUAACCGUUUACAAAGCUCGACUUGUGCAAAGGGUUUUCGACAAAUUCAAGGAGUUGACUACGAAGAGACUUUCUCUCCCGUAGCGAAGCUGAAAUCAGUCCGAAUCAUGUUAGCAAUUGCCGCCUUUUAUGAUUAUGAAAUUUGGCNNNNNNNNNNNNNNNNNNNNNNNNNNNNNNNNNNNNNNNNNNNNNNNNNNNNNNNNNNNNNNNNNNNNNNNNNNNNNNNNNNNNNNNNNNNNNNNNNNNNUCGCAGCCCUGCUCCUCUCCCUCGUCCUCUCUGCCGGCGCUUGGCGAAGCCUUGCCGGGAGACCUCGUCUCUCCACCAACACCACGCCGUCGUGUUGCUGGUCUUCUUCCCCAACCUCUACCUCCUCCUUGCUGGAUCAAGGUGCGGGAGACGUCACCGGGCUGCACGUGUGUUGAUGNNNNNNNNNNNNNNNNNNNNNNNNNNNNNNNNNNNNNNNNNNNNNNNNNNNNNNNNNNNNNNNNNNNNNNNNNNNNNNNNNNNNNNNNNNNNNNNNNNNNNNNNNNNNNNNNNNNNNNNNNNNNNNNNNNCUUCCGCUUAGCAAUCUUCAAAGGUACGAAGAUGCUCUUACCCCUCUCUCGUUGCUGGUCUCUCCAUAGGAAGAUCUGAAUAUGCGUAGGAAAAUUUUGAAUUUAUGCUACGUUACCCAACAGUGGCAUCCGAGCCAGGUUUUCUAUGCGUAGAUUCUAUGCACGAGUAGAACACAAAAGUUGUGGGCGAUGGUUUGUCAAUUUGCUUGCCGUUACUAGUCUUAUUCUUUUCCGGCGGUAUUGUGGGAUGAAGCGGCCCGGACCGACCUUACACGUACACUUACGNNNNNNNNNNNNNNNNNNNNNNNNNNNNNNNNNNNNNNNNNNNNNNNNNNNNNNNNNNNNNNNNNNNNNNNNNNNNNNNNNNNNAACCGUGCAUAAAGGUGGCUAGCGGGUGUCUGUCUCUCCUACUCUAGUCGGAUUGGAUUUGAUGAAAAGGGUCCUUAUGAAGGGUAAAUAGCUUUGGCAUAUCAUCGUUGUGUCUGUCACGUAGGUAAGAAGGCGUUCUUGCUAGAAACCCAAAUCAGCCACGUAAAACUUGCAACAACAAUUAGAGGACGUCUAACUUGUUUUUGCAGGGUUUGACAUGUGAUGUGAUAUGGCCAAAGUUGUGAUGUUGCAUGUAUGAUGUAUGAGAUGAUCAUGUUAUUGUAAUAGGUUUCACGACUUGCAUGGCGAUGAGUAUGACAACCGGUAGGAGCCAUAGGCGACUUGCAUGUCGAUGAGUAUGACAACCGGCAGGAGCCAUAGGAGUUGUCUUAAUUUAUUGUAUGAGAUGCAACGCCAUGUGCUUGCUACUUUUACUUCAUUGCUAACGGUUAGCCAUAGUAGUAGUGAUAGUAGUAGUUGGCGUGACGACUUCACGAAGACACGAUGAUGGAGAUCAUGAUGAUGGAGAUCAUGGUGUCACGCCGGUGACGAUGAUGAUCAUGCGAUGCCUGAAGAUGGAGAUCGAAAGAGCAAAGAUGAUAAUGGCCAUAUCAUGUCACUAUAUGAUUGCAUUGUGAUGUUUAUCAUGUUUUACAUCUUAUUGCUUAGAACGACGGUAGCAUAAUAAGAUGAUCUCUCUUAAAAUUUCGAGAACGUAUUCCCCUAAGUGUGCACCGUUGCGAAGGUUCGUUGUCUCGAAGCACCACGUGAUGAUCGGGUGUGAUAGAUUCUAACGUUCGCAUACAACGGGUGUAAGCCAGAUUUACACACGCGAAACACUUAGGUUGACUCGACGAGCUUAGCAUGUACAGACAUGACCUCGAAUACAAGAGACCGAAAGGUCGAACAUGAGUCGUAUGGUUGAAUACGAUCAGCAUGAAGUUUCUCACCAUGGUGACUAGUCCGUCUCACGUGAAGAUCGGACACGGGUUAGUCAACAUGGAUCAUGCAUCACUUAGAUGACUAGAGGGAUGUCGAUUUAAGUGGGAGUUCAUACUUAAUUUGAUUAAAUGAACUUAAUUGUCAUGAACUUAGUCUAAAAGUUGUCCUUAUAAAUAUUGUAGAUGUCCAACGUCAACCNNNNNNNNNNNNNNNNNNNNNNNNNNNNNNNNNNNNNNNNNNNNNNNNNNNNNNNNNNNNNNNNNNNNNNNNNNNNNNNNNNNNNNNNNNNNNNNNNNNNCUCACUUAAGACAAUGUGGAAUUGUUUCGCAAUUGACACCGCCUGGAACACCACAGCGUAAUGGUGUGUCCGAACGUCUUAAUCGUACUUUAUUAGAAAUGGUGCGAUCUAUGAUGUCUCUUACCGAUUUGCCGUUAUCGUUUUGGGGUUAUGCAUUAGAGAGCAUUCANNNNNNNNNNNNNNNNNNNNNNNNNNNNNNNNNNNNNNNNNNNNNNNNNNNNNNNNNNNNNNNNNNNNNNNNNNNNNNNNNNNNNNNNNNNNNNNNNNNNNNNNNNNNNNNNNNNNNNNNNNNNNNNNNNNNNNNNNNNNNNNNNNNNNNNNNNNNNNNNNNNNNNNNNNNNNNNNNNNNNNNNNNNNNNNNNNNNNNNNNNNNNNNNNNNNNNNNNNNNNNNNNNNNNNNNNNNNNNNNNNNNNNNNNNNNNNNNNNNNNNNNNNNNNNNNNNNNNNNNNNNNNNNNNNNNNNNNNNNNNNNNNNNNNNNNNNNNNNNNNNGAGUGGGAGGAAGAUAGAACUUGAUGAGGUUGUCGAACCUCUAGUACCUCUAGAUGGUGGCGCAGGGCAAGGGGAAACCCGUGUCGAAGCGACACUGGUUGAGGAGGAAGUUAAUGAUGAUGAUCAUGAAACUGCAGAUCAAGUUCCUAUNNNNNNNNNNNNNNNNNNNNNNNNNNNNNNNNNNNNNNNNNNNNNNNNNNNNNNNNNNNCAUGUCGACAAGAUCACGUACUACUCCUAGUGGUACGGUAAUCAUGUCUUAUCAAUGAUGUUGUUAGACAACAAUGAACCUGCAAAUUAUGAAGAAGCAAUGGUGGGCCCGGAUUCCAACAAAUGGCUGGAGGCCAUGAAGUUCGAGAUAGGAUCUAUGUAUGAAAACAAAGUGUGGACUUUGGAAGUAUUACCUGAAGGCCGCAAGGCUAUUCAGAACAAAUGGAUCUUUAAGAAGAAGACGGAUGCGGACGGUAAUGUGACCGUUUAUAAAGCUCAACUUGUGGCAACGAGUUUUUCACAAGUUCAAUGAGUUGACUACGAUGAGACCUUCUCACCGGUAGNNNNNNNNNNNNNNNNNNNNNNNNNNNNNNNNNNNNNNNNNNNNNNNNNNNNNNNNNNNNNNNNNNNNNNNNNNNNNNNNNNNNNNNNNNNNNNNNNNNNGAGAAACUCCUUCUCAAGAAAAGCUCCUUUUUAGCAACAAACACUUUGCCCUCAGAUUUGAGAUAGAAGGUGUACCCAACUGUCUCCUUUGGGUAACCUAUGAAGACGCACCUUUCCGCUUUGGGUUCAAGCUUUUCAGGCUGAAGCUUUUUGACAUAAGCAUCACAUCCCGAAACUUUAAGAAACGACAACUUUGGCCUUUUGCCAUACCACAGUUCGUAUGGUGUCGUCUCAACGGUUUUUGANNNNNNNNNNNNNNNNNNNNNNNNNNNNNNNNNNNNNNNNNGGUUCCCUAUUUAAAGUGAAUGCUCUCUAAUGCAUAACCCCAAAACGAUAACGGCAAAUCGGUAAGAGACAUCAUAGAUCGCACCAUUUCUAAUAAAGUACGAUUAAGACGUUCGGACACACCAUUACGCUGUGGUGUUCCAGGCGGUGUCAAUUGCGAAACAAUUCCACAUUGUCUUAAGUGAGCACCAAACUCGAAAAUCAGAUAUUCACCCCCACGAUUAGAACGCAGGAACUUGAUCUUCUUGUUAUGAUGAUUUCCAACUUCACUCUGAAAUUGCUUGAACUUCUCUCAGACUUUUGCUUCAUCAAGUAGAUAUAUCCAUACCUACUCAAAUCGUCAGUGAAGGUGAGAAAAUAACGAUAUCCGCCGCGCGCCUCCACACUCAUCGGACCGCACACAUCGGUAUGUAUGAUUUCCAACAAGUCACUGGCACGCGCGCCUCCACACUCAUCGGACCGCACACAUUGGUAUGUAUGGUUUCCAACAAGUCACUUGCACGCUCCAUUGUUCCGGAGAACGGAGUCUUAGUCAUCUUGCCCAUGAGGCAUGGUUCGCACAUGUCAAGUGAUUCAAAGUCAAGUGACUCCAAAAGUCCAUCGGAAUGGAGUUUCUUCAUGCUCUUUACACCAAUAUGACCUAAGCGGCAGUGCUAGAAAAACAUGGCGCUAUCAUUGUUAACUCUACAUCUUUUGGUCUCAAUGUUAUGUAUAUGUGUGUCAUCGCUAUCAAGAUUCAAUAUGAACAAUCCUCUCACAUUGGGUGCAUGACCAUAAAAGAUAUUACUCAUAGAAAUAGAACAACCAUUAUUCUCCGACUUAAAUGAGUAACCAUCUCGCAAUAAACAAGAUCCAGAUAUNNNNNNNNNNNNNNNNNNNNNNNNNNNNNNNNNNNNNNNNNNNNNNNNNNNNNNNNNNNNNNNNNNNNNNNNNNNNNNNNNNNNNNNNNNNNNNNNNNNNCCUAAGGGUAGAAAUGUAGAAAUGAUAACAAAAAGGAACUCAUAACCUCCAACUCCAGUUGACCAUUCAGUCCUGUUUAACAUUGUGCAACUCCAAGUGCACUGGCCAGAGGUGCGCCUACAUAUAGCUCCAAGGGGGCUGGAGCUACUGUGGGGACGUAGGCAAACGUGCUUAUAUACUGCUCCGCUGUCCACCGGCGGCUGCUUUGAACGCCAAUCCCGUUCAACAGCUUCGCGCACCCAAGAUCAAGCCCGUGAACACCUUUGCUCAUGAUCCGGUGAGCGUACAGUGUUCCGUUCUUCUCCUGCAUGAACAGGUGCCCCCGGUGCAGGGCCUGCCGCCCUGGGAGUCGUCGGCCGUGCGUUAGGUUCACGAUAUCGACCUCAUACGCCAUGGCGUUAAAGUUAUGCGGCCAAUCGCCGCCCGUGGACUCGCCGUCGCCGACCAACCACCUUAUUUGGAUGAUGCACAGUUCAUCGCGCCGCCACCAUGGAUGAUGGCAAACGAUCGGCAAACUGUGCCCCCGCCGGCUCUCGACCGAUGUGAUCUCCUCCGUCACCAGGUCGAAGUGCGCGUAUCUGUUAAAGAUCCCGUGCUCAUUGUCCUGCAGGUACCUCCAGUAUACGGCUCCGUCGUUGCACGCCGGGCCGCCCUCCUCCCAGGAGGCAUGGGUGAUCUUCACGGUCCUCCAGCCCUCGUCUGCUCCGACGGUGAACACCUCCAGCUGACAUUCGUGGCCUUUGUGGACAAUCUUGUAUUGCCUGGCGGUGGCGUCGUAGCCGAAGCAGUACUGCUCCGGGCAGCGGCUCCACAUCGAUCCUUUUGGCAGCGGAACGGCGAUCGACUCGCCGGUGAAGGGCUCUAGGACCUCGACGACGCCCUGGAAUUUGUCGUGGAAGCAGAGCAGGCCGUUGCACGUCCUAUCAGGACCUGCGAUUCGACGACGUUCAUCCUUGCCGUGAGUCGCCAUUGCUCGUCGAAGAGGAACGGCUGCCGGCACGCUGCUCGGAGGGGUGAGCGAACACGAUGGUGUGGGUGGGGGCUCGCGGUCCUUGCACCAUGUGCGCUUCGAUGAAGACAGUGUCCGAGAUGACAUCGCGCCACUCCUUGCAGACGCGGCGCAAGAGGCGGAGNNNNNNNNNNNNNNNNNNNNNNNNNNNNNNNNNNNNNNNNNNNNNNNNNNNNNNNNNNNNNNNNNNNNNNNNNNNNNNNNNNNNNNNNNNNNNNNNNNNNUUCGGUCCGGACUUCGGCUCGGAGGCAGAGACAACCUUCUCCAUGCCCUUCGCCUUACCCUUUUUCUUGGACCAACUCUUCUUGAACUCUGCCGAGUUCUGCACGAUCAACACUUGAUGCAUGCCUUUCUUAAUAUCCUACUCUGCCACCUUGAGAAUCACAUGCAAUUCAAUGAGCUUAUUAUCCAUGCUGUGCAUAAGAUAGUUCAAGAUGAGCGUCCUAUAGCUAGCUGGAAGAGAACCCAUAAAUGCAUCAGUCGUCACCUCAUCCAAGAGUGGGAAGCCCAACUAAUCCAAAGCUUGCACGUAUCUGAUCAUAUUGAUCACAUGCGGGCUCAGUGGAUCACCUUCCUUCAUCUUACAAUCCAUCAAGGACCGCCAGAUGUUGAACCUUUUGGUCCUAGCCUGCACCUAAAACAUGCUCUUGAGACUCUCGAUCAUAUCGAAAGCAGCAAUAUCUUUGAAAUUCUCUUGCAAAUCAGGCUCCAUACAAGCCAUCAUGAGGCAACUGAUCUCGUUCGAUUCACCAACGAGUUUCUGGUAGGCAUUCUUGGUUGUGGCAUUAGCAUUAUCGGCAGGUACCUCUCGAAGUGGAUCCUCUAGAACAUGUUCUGUCGUCGUUUUCUCACAGGGGUACGCCGUCACGGCAAAUGCCAUGGGAUGGCUUCAAGUGGUGAGAGAAAGGCUGCCACGGAGAUUCGGGAUGGGAUAGAGUAAGAGUAAUAGCAUGCGGUGGAGGAACAACACUGCGCGAAUGCGGGCGAGCGGCGGCAGGGCCAAUGCACGGUCGCCGAGGAAGCGGCGAGUAACCCUCGGAGCAUGGCUGAGCGACCGUGGAGGCGAGGCUGCGGACUGGAGUGACGGCGUGGUGCCACCACUCACUAGGACGCGGCGUGCAGUGGGAGGAGGCGAGAACAGUGCAGCCGAAGGAGGAACCACGACCUAGAGUGGAGGUAUUGGCGAUGGGGAUUUCCUGUGUGGAGACGGAACUAGCAUGCACGAGCCUGCUUUUGUGGGAAGGAGAUCGACCAUGAACUCUCGUGGGAUUUUUUCUGUGAUGUAGAGAAAAUGUAGGAGUCGAGCGACGACCGCUGCAGUCGCCGGAACGCGUUCGGGGCCGUCGCGAGCACGCUGGCUGGGAGCAGCACUAGCGAGGAGGACACGGCAGCGACCCUUCACGGCCGCGAGAGGCUGUCNNNNNNNNNNNNNNNNNNNNNNNNNNNNNNNNNNNNNNNNUCUCUAGCGCGAAUUUGGAGAGUUGGGGAAGUGGUCGGCGAGGCGAGCGCGUCGGGGCCAGGCACGGGCGAAGGAACGCAGGACCGGUGACGCCGACACGCAGCACCGCGAUGGUGGUGGUGAAGAAGGUCCUGCCCGAACCGCGAUUCCAACAGCAACGGCCCCCACGAUGGUCGCCAACUGUCAUCGUUUUCUCACAGGGGGUACCCCGUCACGGCAGAUGCCAUGGGAUGGCUUAAAGUGGUGAGAGCAAGGCUGUCGUGGAGAUCCGGGAUGGGAUUGGGUAAUAGCACGCGGUGGUUUACCCAGGUUCGGGGCUCUUCGGAGAGAUAAUACCCCUACUCCUGCAUGUNNNNNNNNNNNNNNNNNNNNNNNNNNNNNNNNNNNNNNNNNNNNNNNNNNNNNNNNNNNNNNNNNNNNNNNNNNNNNNNNNNNNNNNNNNNNNNNNNNNNCGCUCAAGCUCGCCUGCCGACGCCGGCAAGUCGGACAAGGAGGGCUUCUACGCCGCCGCGCUCUGGAUGCACGAGAACCACCCCAAGACGCUCGCCUGCAACGUCGCCGCGCUCGCCGAGUUCGGCUACCUCAAGGACUUCCCCGAGCUGCUCUUCCGCCUCAUCCACGGCCCCGACGUGCGCAAGGUCGCCAAGGCAGCCGCCGAGGCCGACAAGGCGCGGAAGACGGAGAAGGAGCUCGUCAAGCGGCGGGCGGCCUUCCGCACCAGGUUGGCCAGUCGGCCGAGAAGGAGAAGGCUUGUCUGCCUCGACGACGAGCUGGCCUCUCCGCCAUUGCCACCGGUGCCACCCAAGGCCACCUUGGGUGAUUUCCUCGCCGCCGCGCUCUACAGAUCCCGCAAGGCCGUAGUGGUUGAGGCCGUCCCUGUCUCCGUCGCCGUACCGGAGGCAGCCGAGCAGAAGCCGGAGGCGAUGGAGGCCGUCCCUGUGUCCGCCGUGGUCCCGGAGCCAACCAACCANNNNNNNNNNNNNNNNNNNNNNNNNNNNNNNNNNNNNNNNNNNNNNNNNNNNNNNNNNNNNNNNNNNNNNNNNNNNNNNNNNNNNNNNNNNNNNNNNNNNNNNNNNNNNNNNNNNNNNNNNNNNNNNNNNNNNNNNNNNNNNNNNNNAUCGGAAGAAGACCCCACGUAAGUGGCAGAUGUCCAAGAAGGUCCGGAAGGUGGCCAAGCUCGCCGUGCAGUCGCUGGAGACGUACUACGGCGAUCGUACCUACCGUUUCUUGUUCGACGCCGUCGCGGACUUCUUCGCCGCGCUCCUCUCCUCGGACCUCGAACAGCUUGCCCACGGCGGGAAGAAGAGGAAGAUCGGGCUCGCCGCCAAGUGGUGUCCCACGCCGGGCUCGUCGUUCGACCGCAGCACGCUGCUCUGCGAGGCCAUUGCUCGUCGCCUCUUCCCGCGCGACUCGGACCCCGAGUACGCCCAACUCUCGGACGAGCACUACACGUACUGCGCCCUCCAUCGCCUCCGCCGUGAGGUGCUGGUGCCGCUGCGCAAGGUCCUGAAGCUUCCGGAGGUGUACAUGAGCGCGCAGCGGUGGUCCGAGCUCCCCUACGCUCGAGUGGCAUCGGUGGCCAUGAGGCGCUACAAGUUGCUGUUCAAGAAGCACGACGAGGUGCGCUUCGGCAGGUACAUGGACGACGUGAAGGCCGGCAAGGCCAAGAUCUCGGCGGGCGCGCUCCUGCCACACGAGGUCGCGGCGGCCGCCUUCCGGGGACUGGAGGACGACGUGUCGGAGCUCCAGUGGCGACGCAUGGUGGACGACCUCCGCUCCAAUGGGUCGCUGCGCAACUGCAUCUCCGUCUGCGACGUGUCGGGCAGCAUGACCGGCACGCCGAUGGAGGUGUGCAUCGCGCUGGGCGUGCUCACGUCGGAGCUCAGCGAGGAGCCGUGGAAGGGCAAGGUGAUCACGUUCCAUUCAAGGCCCUCGAUCCACCUGAUCAAAGGCAAGACCCUGCGGGAGAGGAUGAAGUUCGUGGAGCGCUUGGAGUGGGGCGGGAGCACCAACUUCCAAGGGGUGUUUGACCAGAUCCUCCGCACGGCUGUGGACGCCGGACUUGCGCCGGAGAAGAUGACGAGGACCGUGUUCGUGUACAGCGACAUGGAGUUCGACAUGGCGUCAGGCGCCUGCUACGGCAGCGGGCCAUCGUGGGACACUGACUAUGAGGUGAUCUGCAAGAAGUUCAGAGCCGCCGGCUACGGCGAUGUGGUGCCGCAGAUCGUCUUCUGGAACCUGCGCGACUCCAAGUCGAUGCCGGUGACGUCGACCCAGCCCGGGGUGGCCAUGGUGAGCGGCUUCUCCAAGAACUUGCUCAAGAUGUUCCUGCAGAACGACCGGCGUGGUGAACCCGGAGGCCAUCAUGAUGCAGGCCAUCGCCGGCGACGAGUACCAGAAGCUGGCCGUGUUCGACUAGAUCGAUUGUCAUCAGCUUAGCUUCUUUUCUGAAUCGUAUUGUGAACAGCUAGCUGUCUUUGCACGGUCACGGAACGUUGUACUACUGGUCCAUGAAUAACGGAAGUAUAAGCUCUGAGAGUUGCACAAGUUAUUUAAAAGAAGAAAUUGGCGGUUCAUAAUUUGUUUGUAUUCAAGGUGGUGGAGGGGCUUCCNNNNNNNNNNNNNNNNNNNNNNNNNNNNNNNNNNNNNNNNNNNNNNNNNNNNNNNNNNNNNNNNNNNNNNNNNNNNNNNNNNNNNNNNNNNNNNNNNNNNAUCAUUCUAAAGCUUCAACUGUGAUACGUAGAGGCUAUAUUAGAACACCUACACCCCCUGAGAAAAUUAGAGUUGAACCUAGCAUUGAUAUCAUCAAAGAUCUUCUGUUCGACGAUGUUGAGGAACAUAAUAUUCACUUCUGUGAAGAUGCUGCUAGAAUUGCUAAACCUCACGUUAGAGACAAACAUAGGCCUGUUGUUGGCAUGCCUGUGGUUUCUGUUAAAAUAGGAGAUCAUUGUUAUCAUGGCUUAUGUGAGUGGGUGCUAGUGUUAGUGCAAUACCUCAAUCCUUAUAUGAUGAAAUCAAAGAUGAGAUUGCACCUAUUGAGAUAGAGCCCAUUGAUGUCACUAUUCAGCUUGCCAAUAGAGAUACUAUCUGCCCUGUGGGAAUUGUUAGGGAUGUUGAAGUCUUAUGUGGUAAAACGAAGUAUCCUGUUGAUUUCCUCGUUCUUGCUACUGCACAAGAUAGCUUUUGUCCCAUCAUAUUUGGCAGACCUUUUCUCAAUACCGUCAAUGUUGGCUUUGAAGGCGUGUCACAUGUGUUCAAUUUCUCCAAGUUUGGUAGACAACCUCAUGAAAAGGAGUUGCUUAGUAAGGAUGAAACUAUUGCCUUAGCCUCUAUUGUCGUGCCUCCUACUGAUCCCUUAGAGCAAUACUUGCUUGAGCAUUAAAAUGAUAUGCAUAUGGAUGAAAGGGAUGAGAUAGAUAGAGUUGUUGUAACGACCAUGAUGCGGUCCUUUCCGAUCUGGGGGUCGAGGCCCCCGAAUAGGAAAGAAGCGCAUCUAAGCGUUUCGCAAGAAAGUAACAUAGCACAAAUAAUAAUACAAGUAGACAAUUCGGGAUUCAACUGUCUUCUUAUUAAUAACUCAGAGUACAUCACAGAUACAAUCAAGGUAGUUCCGCUACGGACUACAAAACAUGGAAAAUCUAUGCUACCCUGCCUGCAGGCCCACGAUCACGACCACGCCUUAGUACUCUGGAUAGUUCACGUAGAGGUGGUCUGUCUCCUUGUCGUACUGCCACGCCAGCUGGGUGCCGUCGGGAUCAUCUGUCUCCNNNNNNNNNNNNNNNNNNNNNNNNNNNNNNNNNNNNNNNNNNNNNNNNNNNNNNNNNNNNNNNNNNNNNNNNNNNNNNNNNNNNNNNNNNNNNNNNNNNNNNNNNNNNNNNNNNNNNNNNNNNNNNAUCUAAGACCUUGGUGCCAGAACUAGUCAUGUUAUUAGGUAGGGUAAGGGUGAAGUGUAUCAGGCUACAGCAUCCUAAGCUUGAUUAGGUGGCUAACUUACGCAAAGUAGAAAUGAAGGUGGUCUACACUAGCGGUCGGGACUACUUGAUCACUAAGUGAUCCUGAACACCUACCUAAGGCAUUCAUAACCCCACCGUGUUCCCGAUCGAAGAGAGAUCUUCGAAGGGACAGUCACGGUUACGCANNNNNNNNNNNNNNNNNNNNNNNNNNNNNNNNNNNNNNNNNNNNNNNNNNNNNNNNNNNNNNNNNNNNNNNNNNNNNNNNNNNNNNNNNNNNNNNNNNNNCAUGAAUCCUUGACACUGAGGUUCAACCGAUAUAAUCUUCGGAGAAUAUGUAGGAUCAAAUAUGGGCAUCUAGGUCCCGCUAUUGGAUAUUGACGAGGAGUGUCUUGGGUCAUGUCUACAUAGUUCUCGAACCCGCAGGGUCUGCACACUUAANNNNNNNNNNNNNNNNNNNNNNNNNNNNNNNNNNNNNNNNNNNNNNNNNNNNNNNNNNNNNNNNNNNNNNNNNNNNNNNNNNNNNNNNNNNNNNNNNNNNNNNNNNNNNNNNNNNNNNNNNNNNNNNNNNNNNNNNNNNNNNNNNNNNNNNNNNNNNNNNNNNNNNNNNNNNNNNNNNNNNNNNNNNNNNNNNNNNNNNNNNNNNNNNNNNNAGUUUCGGGCAUUUCCGGCAGUGUACCGGGAGUGACGAAUGGGUUCCGGGUGUUUACAGGGAAGGGCCCACCCACCCGGGAGUGAUCCCAUGGCCUUAGGGUGGCGCAGCAAGUCCUUAGUGGGCUGGUGGAGUCAGCCCAAGAGGGCUAUGGCGCCACAAGCAAAAAUAUCAAAGGAAAGGAAAAAAAGGAAAGAGGGAGGUCAGAAGGAAGAGGAGGACUCCUCCUUCCCAAACCGAAUUGGAGGAGGAGUCCUCCUCCACCCUUGCGGCCGGUGCACCCUUGGGUCCCUUAUGCCCCACAGCUAGCCCCUCCCCUCAUCCUAUAUAUAUUGGUGGUUUAGGGCUUUUUUGAGACACAACUUUGCCACGUGCUACUCAAGCCUAUUCCACAUAGUUUCACCUCUAGAUUGGAUUUCUGCGGAGCUCAGGUGGAGCCCUGCAGGAGUAGAUCAUCACCACCACCGGAGCGCCGUCACGCUGCCGGAUAACUCAUCUACUUCUCCGUCUUGCUAGCUGGAUCAAGAAGGCCGAGAUCAUCGUCGAGCUGUACGUGUGUUGAAUGCGGAGGCGUCGUCCGUUCAGCGCUAGAUCGGAACGGAUCGUGGGACGACGGUGAUUUGAAUCACGAAGCUGUACCACUACAUCAACCGCGUUUCCUAAUGCAUCCCGCUUAGCGAUCUACAAGGGUACGUAGAUCUAAUCUCGUCUCGUAGAUGGACAUCACCAUGAUAGGUCUUCGUGUGCGUAGGAAUUUUUUUGGUUCCCAUGCAACGUUCCCCAACAACAACUUGUUCCCUGACGUCAACAACCUCUUCGACAACAUAGUUGGUGACGACGUCAAUGGCAAUCCUCCUCCUGCUGCUGCAAUUCUGUACGUGUUUGUGUUCUUCUUGUUUGAGUUCCUACCGCAACUUCUUGUUCUAGUCUCUGUUCNNNNNNNNNNNNNNNNNNNNNNNNNNNNNNNNNNNNNNNNNNNNNNNNNNNNNNNNNNNNNNNNNNNNNNNNNNNNNNNNNNNNNNNNNNNNNNNNNNNNGAUCUCCAUCAACGUGUUGCCAUCGGGGUUGUCGUGCUACUCAUGCUAUUACUACCAAAGCUACAUCCUAGCAAAAUAGUAAACGCAUCUGCAAGCACACAUGUUAGUAUAAAGACAACCCUAUGGCUCCUGCCGGUUGCCGUACCAUCGACGUGCAAGUCGAUAUUAUCUAUUACAACAUGAUCAUCUCAUACAUCCAAUAUAUCACAUCACAUCGUUGGCCAUAUCACAUCACAUGCAUACCCUGCAAAAAAAAGUUAGGCGUCCUCUAAUUUGUUGUUGCAUGUUUUACGUGGUGACCGAGGGUAUCUAGUAGGAUCGCAUCUUACUUACGCAAACACCACAACGGAGAUAUAUGAGUUGCUAUUUAACCUCAUCCAAGGACCUCCUCGGUCAAAUCCGAUUCAACUAAAGUUGGAGAAACAGUCACUUGCCAGUCAUCUUUGAGCAAAGGGGGUUACUCGUAACGAUGAAACCAGUCUCUCGUAAGCGUACGAGUAAUGUCGGUCCAAGCCGCUUCAAUCCAACAAUACCGCGGAAUCAAGAAAAGACUAAGGAGGGCAGCAAAACGCACAUCACCGCCCACAAAAACUUUUGUGUUCUACUCGAGAAGACAUCUACGCAUGAACCUAGCUCAUGAUGCCACUGUUGGGGAACGUCGCAUGGGAAACAAAAAAUUUCCUACGCGCACGAAGACCUAUCAUGGUGAUGUCCAUCUACGAGAGGGGAUAUUCGAUCUACGUACCCUUGUAGACCGUACAGCAUAAGCGUUAGUGAACGCGGUUGAUGUAGUGGAACGUCCUCACGUCCCUCGAUCCGCCCCGCGAACCGUCCCGCGAUCAGUCCCACGAUCUAGUGCCGAACGGACGGCACCUCCACGUUCAGCACACGUACAGCUCGACGAUGAUCUCGGCCUUUGCGAAAACCUCAAAUUGUUGUCCUUAUAUUGUAUAACGCGAAAUUCCAUAUUGUCCGUCCCGCCGGGACGCGAAAACCUCAAACUUAACCUAUGCCCUCCAUCGGCUACAACUAGUAAUGAAUUUGCAGAGAAUCACAAGUCGACGCGCAGGUCGUUAUACAAUAUAAGGACAACAAUUUGGCUCCUGUCGGCUGAGAAUCAUGGCACGCAGGUCAUGUUAAAUUACACAAAUGCAUCACAUACAUAUGAGCCAUACUAUUCACAUCAAACCUGCAAAACAAACUUGUGCAUAGAAUCCCCUUAUCACAUACAUAUGAGCCAUACUAUUCACAUCAAACCUGCAAAACAAACUUGUGCAUAGAAUCGCAUUCUACCGUUUUAUGUGAUCGUGUACGAAAUACAUGGCGCUACGCACACGACGGCCCCGCUUUUGGAAAUAAUAGAUCGAAUCUGUGCUCCGAUCACGUCGAAUUUUCUGAUCUGACCGAUCUUAUCGAUCAUCGCGAACCUGAUUCGGAUUUACGUUUCGCUGUUAAUCACGAUGAUGGAAACCGACCGGUAGGGGUAGGUUGUGUCACAACCUCAUUGAUUCCGAUUGACAGAAAACAUAGCAUCAGUGACCCCGAUGUGCAGUUUAUCACAUCAACCNNNNNNNNNNNNNNNNNNNNNNNNNNNNNNNNNUUUAUCACAUCAACCGUGCACAUAGCCGAUCUCAAGAACGACAAUGGAUCUCAUAUGUCGCCUCCACAUAUAAAAUAUGCAUCCGAUCUGAAGCCAAAACUUAUAGAAGAGGCUCUGAUAGCACUAUUGGGAUCUACCGUAGGUGCAUCGCAUGAAAAUUUAAAAUGUCCUAUGCGUAGAACAACCAAGAACAUGCUACGGAGAUGGAUCACACAUCGUCACCANNNNNNNNNNNNNNNNNNNNNNNNNNNNNNNNNNNNNNNNNNNNNNNNNNNNNNNNNNNNNNNNNNNNNNNNNNNNNNNNNNNNNNNNNNNNNNNNNNNNGCAUUUGCUAGAGAACUUGAGCAUUUCAACUGUAUGUUACUUGAGAAGUAUGUUGUCGGAGGUAGUAUCACUAAGCUUCCUCCCUCAUGGAGGAACUUUGCUACCUCGCUGAAGCAUAAGAGGCAGGAGUUUUCCGUUCCAGAUCUCAUUGGUACUCUUGAUAUGGAAGAAAAGGCAAGAGCAAAAGACAUACGUGCUCGAGGUAUGGAGGGAGGUUCUAGUGCCAAACUGGUACAGAAGAAAAACUUUCAGCCCCACAAGUUCAAGAACAAGGGCAAGUUUGAUGGUAAGGGAAAGUUUGAUGAGAAGAACAAGGCUUCGCAGCACACCAACUUCAAGAACAAGACUGGCAAGAAGAAAGGUGUUUGUCGUGUCUGUGGAGAUCCUGAUCAUUGGGCACCUAGUUGCCCUAACCAUUAUGACAAGCGUCAACAUGGGAAAGGCGACAAGAUUGCCAAUGUUGUCAUUGGUGACGCUGAGAUGGAGGAUGUUGGGUGUAUACUUCCCACUUUUUUUCUCAUUAUGUCGUUCUCCUGAUUGGUUGAUUCACACACGGGUGCUAAUGUGCAUGUAUGCGGUGAUAUUUCCAUGUUUUCUUCAUAUCAGGCCGUAGGGACUACUUUCAUCCUGAUGGGUAACAGUUCAAGUGCUUCUAUUCAUGGUGUUGGCACGGUCGAUCUGAAGUUUAUUUCGGGAAAGGUCGUGCGGCUGAAGAACGUGCAUUAUGUCCCCUCCGUGAAUAAAAAUCUUGUUAGCGGAUCUCUUUUAUGUAGAGAUGGCUACAAUCAUGUCUUUGAGUCCAAUAAAUUUGUAAUAUCCAAGUAUGGAACCUUUUUUGGUAAAGGUUAUGAGUGAGGAGACUUGUUCAGACUAUCCUUGUCAGAUGUUUGUAAUAAAGUAUUUAAUCAUGUUUGCAAUAAUAUUGAAUCAAAUGUCUGGCAUUCACGUCUUUGUCGUGUUAAUUUUGGUUGUAUGACGCGGCUAGCCAAGUUGAACUUAAUCCCCAACUUCACUACUAUCAAGGGAUCUAAGUGAUAAGCUUGUGUGCAAGAUAAGCAACCUCAUAAGUCUCAUACAACUAUGGAAACAAGAAAUCUUGUGCCACUAGAACUCAUACAUUUAGAUCUUUGUGAAAUGAAUGGUGUUUUGACGAAAGGUGGAAAGAAAUAUUUUAUGAUGUUAAUCAUUGACUCCUCUAGAUACUACCAUGUUUAUCUUUUAAAAUCAAAAGAUGAGGCUUUGAAUUUNNNNNNNNNNNNNNNNNNNNNNNNNNNNNNNNNNNNNNNNNNNNNNNNNNNNNNNNNNNNNNNNNNNNNNNNNNNNNNNNNNNNNNNNNNNNNNNNNNNNUGAGUCCCUUGUGGCUCACAGAUUACUACAACACCAGUUGCAGGUACAUGUAAAGGUCACUCGACGCGAGCGUGUUGAUUGUUCAUUUGGAGUUGCUUCUUCUUCUUCUUCUUCAUCGAUCUAUGAUGGGUUCCAGGCCAGCAGCCUGGGAUAGCAAGGAUGGACGUCGUUCUUCUUUUCUCAUUUGUUUUCGUCCGUAGUCGGACCCUGCUCUUCUUCAUGAUGAUUAUGUACUGUACUGCUAUGACUCUGAUGUAGCUUGUGGCGAGUGUAAGCCAACUCUAUAUAUAUAUAUAUAUAUAUAUCUUCUUUUCAGUACAUGUACUUGUAACGAUAUCCAUUCUUGCGACACGACGAGAUGCGCUUCUAUCCCUGACGAGGCCUUCGUGCCAAAUUGAGGAUAGGGUCGCAUCUUGGGCGUGACACUACGGUAUGAUCAAAAAGGAUUUGGUGACUCGCCAAUGGGUGACAUACAUCAUAACCCGCUAUUCGGGCGAUUCAUGGAAGUAUAUUUGAAGUAUUGUAACUCGCUCUUCAAUUGGAAAGGAAGGGGGCAUAGCUAUGGUGAUAAAUUUAAGUCGCUAUGGAAGCUGGACCUAAACGGCGACUCUCAAGGGUCCUUUUUCCUUAGGGAUGUUCUCAGGAGACGAACAAACAUGUUUCUAAAAACAAGCAGUAAACUAUGGAUCUACGAGUGGAUCAAAAUAAAGGAAUACUGCUCAGAAAAAUGGUGAAAGGCUAUGAGCAUAAGGCAGUGACGGUAUUGGAUCCACGGCGUGAAGGCUUAAGAUAACAAAAGGACACGAUAAAGUGGCCAUGUUUUGCUACUGCCUAAGUCUAUUACGAAGAUAUAAAGCGGAUCUAGAGCAGGAAAGAACGUUUGUCGCGUCAUGGAGCUAGCUCGCGGGAACAAUGGCCAUGGCAUUCUCGUCUUAACCCUAAUAAGGGAAUGUGUGUACCUGAGGAAAGGAGAUCGGUGCCGGGGACGAAAGCGGAGGACUUCGUGCUUCUUGGCGCCCGGAAGACCACGGUCGACGGAGGAGCUCCACGAGCCGAUGACGACGCCGGUGUGCUGGCGCGGGAAGAGGAAGAGCGCGAUGAAGACAAGGGAAGAGAUGGAGGUAGGUGACAGUCCCCCCCCAUUUCUCGUGCGGUUAUUUAAAGGGCCGGAAUGGGAAUCGAGGCUGUGAAGGCGGAGAUCGAGGCGACAAGUCAGAAACUGCGAUAAUGGCGCCUAGAUUUUCGGGAUAAGUGAUUAUGGAGCAAAAGAUCCGUUGGAUGGUUGCGGUGUUAAAAACCCCGGAAUUAAGGGGAUAAGGUGAUGUCAUCAAAGAUUACACGGCGGGUCAGAUAAAAUUACAACGAGUGGCGAAUUAUUGUUCGUCGAAAGAUAGAAAUGGUAAGAGUCGCCCCAAAUUGGUGAAGGUUUAUUCACAUGAAUUAAUUCAAGACAAUCUGGGGCCUAAUGUUGGGGAUAUUACCUGCGGAUAACCCGCCCUUAGUGGGCCAGGUCAUCAAAGGGGCGACUUACCAUUCAACGCGUGUCUCGUGGCCCAGAAGCUGGAUGGCGGUUCAAGAGGUCGUGCGGAUGGAAGAUUACCAAGGGAGUUCCCAAUCGUUGAGAGCACGGCGACUUAGAGAUAGGGAAAGCCACAAGGAGUAGCAUGGCAGGACUUUGUAAACCCUAGGGCCUCAACCUGUAUAUAAAGGCGAGUCCCGGGGAAAGGUUAAGCGAGUUAGAGAGAAUCGAGAGCUAGGUCAGGUGAGUUAUGCCCUCCUUGUAAUUGAAAUCACCAUUAAUCCACACAAAGCAGGACGUAGGCUUUUACCUCCUCACGAGGGGCCGAACAUGGGUAAAUCUGAGUCUCGCUUUUGCUUACCCCCUUCUAGUCACCACCAAGGUGCGACGGCUCCAUCUUUAAGUCCUUUCACGAGGACAUCUGCCGUGACAAAACCACGACAAGUACCGAGCAGAGAUUUCUCCCAUUAACUUGUGAUGAGCAUCUGGGAUUGCUAUUUAGUUUGAAUGCUGAUAGCCGUUUCGGUAAAAUCCAUAUCGGUGUGCUUCAGGCACGCAAACAACGUAUCCCUAAGGGUGUUCGGACAUCAUCUGUCUCUGCUAAUAGCGAGCGUUCUCGCACUCCUUGUAGGCCGAGACCAAGUAAACCUAGUGGUUCUGAAAGCCACAACAUGCCGGCUGCCGCUAAUUCUGCCACUUCUCCUCUUCCUUCUGCACCUGAUGUAGAAGUAGAUGCGGAGCCUGACGAGGAAGUGCCUCGACAUGAUGAUGAGGAUGAGAUUCUAUUCCCUGAACUGGUAGAUAGAGUCAGGCAAGAGGCAAUGGAAGAUGAAUAUGCAGAGGAGCCUAGCAGACGUGCUAGAUUUGAUGACACUGAUGAUGAAGAGAGGGAGGAGAACAUCGACUCCUUAGUUUUACAAGAAUAUGAUGGUGAGUACAUGCCAACAAUUGAGUGGAAUACGGAGAAUCCUGACCUUACUCCAGGAACCGUAUUCGAUUCGAUGGUGGACUGUCGUAAUGCAGUGACUACAUAUUGCAUUAUCACUGAAAACUCUUAUGAGGUUGAUAGGAGUGAGCCAGGAAGAUUCACUGUUCAUUGCCCUUAUGAUAGGUGUAGGUGGAGGUUGCAUGCAUCCACUAUGCUAAAGAGCAAAUUGAUUCAGGUAUUACAACUCAAUAUUAAUUGUACUGUUUAUUAAUUGUAUUUGACAUCAUUUUUCAUUUUGUUUGAGAUAAAAAGCAACCCACACGGGCACACUUGCCCACAUGGAGGGGGAGGGGAAAGGACAAAUCUAAGCUUGUAAAGACUAGGUGGGUGUCAGAUGCAAUAUUGGAUUGGGUGAGGGAAACACCAACAAUUGGUCCAACAACACUCCAUGGGAAGCUAUUUGAUAAGUACAAGAUUAAUGUACAAUACAUGAAGAUUUUCUAUGCUAAGGAAACGGUUCUUGAUAGGAUUAAUGGUCCAUGGAAUGAGAGUUCUUAGUUGCUUUACACCUUCAAAGCUGAAGUGCAAACUAGUCCAGGUAGUGUUGUAGAGAUUGACAAGCAUACAGUUAAGUACAAAAUAAAAGGGAAGACAAUGGAGAAGGAGUGCUUUAGGAGGACUUUUGUUUGUUUCAAGGCUUGCUGGAAGGGGUUUCUGAAUGGUUGUAGGCCCUAUGUGGCUGUCGGUGCGAAGGCCCUAUGUGGCUGUCGGUGCGACUGCUUUGAAUGGAAGAUGGAGAGGACAGCUAGCAGCAGCUUGUGCAGUUGAUGGACACAACUGGCUAUUCCCAGUUGUUAGAGCAUAUAUCUCCAUAUGUGGUUUUGGUAAUUGAUGACAAUUCNNNNNNNNNNNNNNNNNNNNNNNNNNNNNNNNNNNNNNNNNNNNNNNNNNNNNNNNNNNNNNNNNNNNNNNNNNNNNNNNNNNNNNNNNNNNNNNNNNNNUGAUGAAAUCUUCUUUUGUGGUCUGUUUGUCGAGAUCCGAUGAAUUGUGGAUUUAUGAUUAAAUUAUCUAUGAAUCUUAUUUGAGUUUCUUCUGAUCUCUCUUAUGCAUGAUUUCAUAUCCUUGUAAUUCUCUUCGAGUUGUGGGUUUUGUUUGGCCAACUAGAUCUAUUAUUCUUGCAAUGGGAGAAGUGCUUGGUUUUGGGUUCAUACCGUGCGGUGACCUCACCCAGUGACAGAAGGGGUAGCGAGGCACGCAUCGUGUUGUUGCCAUCAAGGGUAAAAAGAUGGGGUUUUCAUCAUUGGUUUGAGAUUAUCCCUCUACAUCAUGUCAUCUUGCUUAAGGCGUUACUCUGUUCGUCAUNNNNNNNNNNCCAGGGGUAAAAAGAUGGGGUUUUCAUCAUUGGUUUGAGAUUUUCCCUCUACAUCAUGUCAUCUUGCUUAAGGCGUUACUCUGUUCGUCAUGAACUCAAUACACUAGAUGCAUGCUAGAUAGCGGUCGAUGUGUGGAGUAAUAGUAGUAGAUGCAGAAAGUAUCGGUCUACUUGUCUCGGACGUGAUGCCUAUAUGUAUGAUCAUUGCCUUAGAUAUCAUCAUGACUUUGCGCGAUUCUAUCAAUUGCUCGACAGUAAUUCGUUCACCCACAGUAAUACUUUCUAUCAUGAGAGAAGCCUCUAGUGAACACUAUGGCCCCCGGGUCUACUUCACAUCAUAUUUUCAGCUCUACACUUUCACUUUGUUGCACUUUGCACCUUCAGAUCUCACCUUGCAAUUAAUCGUGAAGGGAUUGACAACCCCUUUAUAGCGUUGGGUGCAAGUUUGUUUGUUUUUGCGCAGGUACAUUGGUGACUUGUCUUGAUACUCCUACUGGAUUGAUACCUUGGUUCUCAAUCUGAGGGAAAUACUUACUGCUACUGUGCUGCAUCACCCUUUCCACUUCAAGGGAAAAACCAACGCAAGCUCAAGAGGUAGCAAGAAGAAUUUCUGGCGCUGUUGCCGGGGAGUAUCAAGUCAAGAAUAGUCUUCCUACAACGUGUCAAUUUCUGGCACCAGGGACUAUUCUAAGUGAAGCUUAUCCAAGUAACUAUCGCAAACUCAUCUAUUGCAUUUACUUUUUUUGCCCUUUGCCUCUCGUUUUCCUCUCCCCCACUUCUAGAAAACAAAAUUUACAAAAAUAUUUGCCUUUUUCAUUCGCCCUUUCUUUUGCUUGCUUUCUGUUUGCUUGUGUGCUAUGUGCCUUCAAUAUGCUUGCAUCUUCGCUUGCUAAAAAUCUAUUGAUAUGGAUCCUCAUCCACUUGCUAAUCUCUUUAGAGAUCCAAUUGUGUUGAACCAAUUGCUAGUGAGUUGAGUGCACUUGACUAUCUUUAUGAAGUUUUGCUUGAGAUGCGUGAAUCUGAAAAUUGGGAUGAAGAAAUUUAUGAAGUGAUUCACGAGGGCUCCUUGAAUGAAAAGCAUGAUUGCAAUGGAUUCACUAUGAAUUCUAUUAAUGUCAAUCAUGCUAAAAAUAUGCAAAACCCUAAGCUUGGGGAUGCUAGUUUUGCUACUUGUUGCAAUGAUCAUGAUUGGGGUGAUGAUUUUUCUUAUGAUCUUGAAAAUUUGUUUAAGCCUCAUGAUGAAUAUGAUAUUGGCAAUAAUAUUGAAAGUUAGUUUGGAGAAGUCACGACUUUACUUGAUGAUAAUCCCACUAUUNNNNNNNNNNNNNNNNNNNNNNNNNNNNNNNNNNNNNNNNNNNNNNNNNNNNNNNNNNNNNNNNNNNNNNNNNNNNNNNNNNNNNNNNNNNNNNNNNNNNGAGUGUUGUGCUUCGAGUGAUUACCGAGUAGUAGUGCGAUAGAAACUCCCCCUCUCUCCCCUCUUAUUUCAUUUUUUGUGGUUUUGCUAAAGUUCCGUUUUAACCCCUUUUAAAAAACGUCUUCUUUUAAAAAUCCUUUAAUUAAAUGUGGGGGCAACCCUUGGGUUUUCUCUUAUUUCCUCUUUUGUUUCAUUUCAAACUAGAGUUGCAUUUUUAUUUAUAAAAGGGGUUUGAAUUUUAUUCUUUUGUAAACGGGUUUUAAUUUUUAAUUCUUCAAAAGGUUUUAUUUUAUUUCUUUUAAAAAUGCCCAACUGUUUCUUAUAGUCGGGAAUAUAUUUUUCAAAGGGGUCAAAAGCAUUUAUUUUAUUUUUGUUAAAACCUUUCUUUUGGGGUUGUUUUUCGUUUAAAAAAAAGUAAACCAAGUUUUGAAAAAAAAAAGCAAAAGAGUAAAGGAGCCUGCCCAAGCCGAGCUUGUGCCAACCGACCCAAGUGCCCACUCGGCCUCCCUCCCCUGCCCUAGCGACAGGGAUCAGGGAGUGCCCAGCCUCCCAUUCCCUCCCGUCCGCCUCACGCUGUCUUCCCCUCUCGUUCUUCCUCCCGCAGCGCUCCUCUCCUCCUCUUCNNNNNNNNNNCUAUUUCUUUUAAAAAUUCCCAACUGUUUCUUAUAGUUGGGAAUAUAUUUUUUUCAAAGGGGUCAAAAGCAUUUAUUUUAUUUUUGUUAAAACCUUUCUUUUGGGGGUUGUUUUCUGUUUAAAAAAAAAAGAAAACCAAGUUUUGAAAAAAAAAAGCAAAAGAGUAAAGGAGCCUGCCCAGGCCCAUCUUGUGCCAACCGGCCCAAGUGCCCACUCGGCCUCCCUCCCCUACCCUAGCGAGAGGGAUCACGGAGCGCCCAGCCUCCCAUUCCCUCCCGUCCGCCUCGCGCCGUCUUCCCCUCUCGUUCUUCCUCCCGCAGCGCUCCUCUCCUCCUCUUCCCUAGUCUCUCACCCCGAUCCCUCCUGCCCCGCCGUCGAGCUGCCCUCCCCGCGCUGCCCUGUCGAGCCGCCUCCCGCGCCGGAGCCUCCCCUCGGCCUCGCCCCUUGAAGUCGCCGGCCUCCCCAUGCCCAGUGCUGGCCCGUUCUCGCGCGCCCACCUCGUGGCUCCCUCUCGCCGCCGUUCACCGCGCGCCGUCGAGCAGCCCUCCGCCGUGCCACUCGCCCUGCUACCGCCAUGGCGUUCCUCUCGCGCCUCCCCGAGCUGCCAUGGCCUUGCGUUGGCGUCCCUCGUCCCUCGUCCCCUGUCCGCGCCGGCUUGCCGAGACGCCGGCGUUACUCGGCCUCCUCCUGCUUGCCGCGUGCUGCCGUGCCGAGUUGCUAUUGCCUGAUGGUUGUUGUGCUUGCUAGUUGCCAAGUUGUUGCUGCUGUGCUUGCUUGCUGUAGCCGCAUGCUGCUGCUGCCUCCUUGGCCUCUCCCAUGAUGUGUCGUAGCGUAGCCUGCUUGUUGUUGUGUUGGUUGCUGUUGCCAUGUUGCAUGCUGUGUUGCUGCCGCCGAGCAGUAUCGUUGCUCGUUGCUUGCUUGUGUUGCUGCUGCCUGAUGCUUUGCUAGUUGUUGUGUAGCUAGUCGAUGCUUGCCUGCUAGUGUUGCUGUUCCGGUUGCCUGCUAGUUGCUAUGCUAGCUGCUGGAGUUUGUUGCUUGCUGUUGCCCUAUUGCCGAUGCAUCGUGCCGCUGCCUGUGCAUGCUUGCCUGCCUGUGUUGUUGCUGUUUGCCUUGGUGGCUUUGCUAGAUGCAACUAGGUGUAGUUGCUAGGAUAGGUUAUUGUUGCUAGUGCUAGUUGUCACUUUGCUAGUUGAAGUUGUUGAUGUGUCGCGUGCCGUCGCCGCGUGCAACAUCCCCGCCUGCCAUGGUUCGUCGACAAGUUUGCCGUGAACAUCGUCGCCCGCGUCGACCCCGGGAACGUGUUCGACUACCGAUGUGAACACCGUAACCGACGCCGCAGACCGUGAACCACGGCACCGAGCGAACGACUACCUUCGACGAGACCCGACGACCACGACUUCCACGACGUCCGCUACGAACCGNNNNNNNNNNNNNNNNNNNNNNNNNNNNNNNNNNNNNNNNNNNNNNNNNNNNNNNNNNNNNNNNNNNNNNNNNNNNNNNNNNNNNNNNNNNNNNNNNNNNGACCACAUCUCCACUGCUUUGCUGUUAUCUGAAAACAGAACCAGUUCCUCGGACAUCCGGCUUCCUCCGGACGUCCGAGGGUCGGACGACCGACUGCCUCGGAAANNNNNNNNNNNNNNNNNNNNNNNNNNNNNNNNNNNNNNNNNNNNNNNNNNNNNNNNNNNNNNNNNNNNNNNNNNNNNNNNNNNNNNNNNNNNNNNNNNNNNNNNNNNNNNNNNNNNNNNNNNNNNNNNNNNNNNNNNNNNNNNNNNNNNNNNNNNNNNNNNNNNNNNNNNNNNNNNNNNNNNNNNNNNNNNNNNNNNNNNNNNNNNNNNNNNNNNNNNNNNNNNNUCGGACGUCCGGUCACUGUUUAAUUCAAAAUAGUUUCAGUCGUAUCUACAGGCCUCGGACGUCCGACCCCUGUCGGACGUCUGACCCCUCGUGGACGCCCGGACUUCCGACAACUGUCGGACGUCCGGACCCUGUGUAACUUAAAGUGUCCCCAGUAUUUUCAGUGAUAUCUUCAGGCCUCGGACGACCGACCGCCGUCGAACGUCCGACCCCUCGCGGACGCCCGGACUUCCGACAACUGUCGGACGUACGGACCCUGUGUGUCUUAAAGUACCUCCAACGGCUGGAUUUCACUCCACACUAUAAAUAACCCCCUCCCACUUCAUGAGAGGGUAGCCCAACAGAGCCUUAUCCUCAUAAGAACACAUUUCCACCUCACACACAUUUGCUCACUCCAAAUCUUAGAUCCCAAGAGCAUUUGUGAGCCCCUUUGAGAGUUGUUCCAAUCAAAAGAUAGAUCGUCUUCCUCUCCUUCUCUCAACCCAAGCUAUUUGUGAUUUGAGCAAGUUUUGAGCAUUCCCCGUGACCUUGUUACUCUUGGAGGUUGGAGACUCCUAGGCGGUAGGAGUUCUUCGNNNNNNNNNNCUCCAAUCAAAAGAUAGAUCGUCUUCCUCUCCUUCUCUCAACCAAAGCUAUUUGUGAUUUGAGCAAGUUUUGAGCAUUCCCCGUGAUCUUGUUACUCUUGGAGGUUGGAGACUCCUAGGCGGUAGGAGUUCUUCGGAGAGGAAUCAAUUCGUGUGANNNNNNNNNNNNNNNNNNNNNNNNNNNNNNNNNNNNNNNNNNNNNNNNNNNNNNNNNNNNNNNNNNNNNNNNNNNNNNNNNNNNNNNNNNNNNNNNNNNNAAAGGGUGGGAGGGCGGGGAAAACAAAGACAACUUGAGACAGAUGAGACGAACUCCAGAAAGAAUUGAGAGAAUGAUCUGCAAAAACUGGAGAAGAUUGAAUUCAGUUGCAGAUAAGCACACCGGUUGAAAAGAAUUGAUACGAUGACUCCGGUUGAAAAGGAAUUGACAUGACAAUAUGAUUUGAGAAACAGAAUUAGUACUCUCAUAAAAAAUAUGAGAACACCACUUAGGAAAGAUCUGAAAUCACCACUUGACAUCGAAGCAACACGAAUUUGUUGGAAGAUCGUCCUAUAAGUAACUACUUGAAUUCCCACCUAAGAAUUCCCGAAAUAUAUGGUCAUGCAAGCUGGUACACGGAUACAAGGAGUAAUAAUCACACAACUCCAAUACUAACCCGUCACCUGUAUCACAUCCGUCAACACACAACCAGAAUCUCGGACCUUCAUCUACAACAGACCCUCGUGAUCACAACGAUACAAAGUAUGGCAGUACUCUCGAACAAUCUGCACCAGUACUGGGGACAUUGGGGUUAUCUCGCCACUACUAGUAUUGAAGCAAUUACGAACAUCCUUCGUUCUGAGAUACUAAUAAAUCUGAAUGAUAACGAUGUGCUCAAGAAUCCCCUGGAGCUCAACUCCCCUGAAACUCAAAGCAGAUAGGAGGCACCAAGACAGAACUCCGUCACAUCAGCAUCAUAUAGAUCCCAAAAAUAUUCACGUGAUCCUAAUUUUUUUUUGAGUGAGAACAGGAGUAGAAUUAAAAUAUUACGUCAAGAUUCCUCACCAGAGCAUAGAAGAGGAGAAAAAGAAUCCUACUCUCCGAUAUAUAACUAGACUCAAAGCAGUUUUUCACUAGACUCGACUCGGCCAAGUUCGAUCAAUCAAGGGGGCUGCUAGGUCGGUACUGCUCUGAUACCAACUUGUCACGCCCAAGAUGCGACCCUAUCCUCAAUUUGGCACGAAGGCCCCGUAAGGGAUAGAAGCGCAUCUCGUCGUGUCGCAAGAAUGGAUAUCGUUACAAGUACAUGUACUAAAAUGAAGAUAUAUAUAUAUAGAGAGAGUUGGCUUACACUCACCACAAGCUACAUCAGUGUCACAGCAGUACAGUACAUAAUCAUCAUGAAGAAGAGGAGGGUCCGACUACGGACGAAAACAAACGAGAAAAGAAGAACGACGUCCAUCCUUGCUAUCCCAGGAUGCCGGCCUGGAACCCAUCCUAGAUCGAUGAAGAAGAAGAAGAAGCAACUCCAAAUGAACAAUCAAUGCAUUCGCGUCGAGUAACCUUUACGUGUACCUGCAACUGGUGUUGUAGUAAUCUGUGAGCCACAAGGGACUCAGCAAUCUCAUUUCCAAAGGUAUCAAUACUAGCAAAGCUUACUGGGUGAGGUAUGGUUAAGUAGUGAGGUUGCAGCAGUGGCUAAGCAUAUAUUUGGUGGCUAACUUACGAGUACAAGAAAUAAGAGGGGGAAGAUCUACGCAUAACGGAUGUGACUACUGAUGAUCAAAUGAAUGAUCCUGAACACCUACCUACGUCAGGCAUAACCCCACCAUGUCCUCGAUCGGAGAAAGAACUCACGAAAGAGACAAUAACGCUUACGCACACAGUUGGCAUGUUUUAAUUAAGUUAACUUCAAGUUAUCUAGAACCAGUGUUAAACAAAGUUUCCACUUUGCCACAUAACCGCGGGCACGGCUUUCCGACAAGAUUUAACCCUGCAGGGGUGCUCCAACUAGUCCAUCACAAAUUACCACAAGACGCAUAGAAAUCCUCAAUCACGAAGCUCGCGAUCUCGUCGGAUUCCCUAGUGGAAAACCUCAACUCUGGGAUUACCCAAAGCAUCACCGGAAUCCCGAUGCACAAGAUAUUUCGUCAAAGGUAAAACUAAUCUAGCAAGGCCGCCCGUCAUGUCGACGAUCCCGAUAGGAGUCGCGUACCUCGUUCUCAGGACACGACGGAUGAGCUAGACGUCGGGAUCGCUAAACCUCCGGGUGACNNNNNNNNNNCAAAACCUCAACUCUGAGAUUACCCAAAGCAUCACCAGAAUCCCGAUGCACAAGAUAUUUCGUCAAAGGUAAAACUAAUCCAGCAAGGCCGCCUGACGUGUCAACGAUCCCGGUAGGAGUCGCGUACCUCGUUCUCACGACACGACGGAUGAGCUAGACGUCGGGAUCGCUAAACCUCCGGGUGACCACAGGGGCGCUGGACAUCGCUCACGUGGGGCCAACACUCAUGAGGAGCACUGGCCCGGGGGUUGAUUAAAUUAUCCUCGGGUUAAUUACUCCCUAUGCAAUUCAUUAGUUCUUAGGCAAAUGUAGUACCAAAGUUGGGCGUUGCCAGACCAACUUUAAUCUAAAAUGAAUUAUCAAGGGGGUCCCCAUAACAACCCCGAUCGUGUUAGGAGCGCUCGUUUAUGGAAGAUAACACCGGUAGCCAAAAACUAAGGGGGCAAAGGUGGAACAAAACACCAGGCUAGAAAGGCCGNNNNNNNNNNAUUAGGCAAAUGUAGUACCAAAGUUGGGCCUUGCCAGACCAGCUUUUAUCUAGAACGAAUUAUCAAGGGGGUCCCCCUAACAACCUCGAUCGUGUUAGGAGCGCUCGUUUAUGGAACAUAACACCGGUAGCCGAAAACUAAGGGGGCAAAGGUGGAACAAAACACCAGGCUAGAAAGGCCGAGCCUUCCACCUUUUACCAAGUAUAUAGGUCCAUUAAAUUAAAUAGCAUUUAAAAUGGUGAUAUAACGAGGAACUCAUGCUUUCACAUGGAAGCAUCUGCACGUGCAACUAGCAACGCUAUCAACAGGGUUAAGCAAGCAGUAACAUAGCCAAUCAGUGGUUUGCUAGGUUGAAUAGGUUGAAGGUUUCAUGGCAUUGUUGAGAGGUUGAUAUUUAACAUGUGGUAGGCAACGAGACAUAAUCGAUAGAAGCGAUAAAACUAGCAUGGCAAUGAUAGUAAUGGUAUCUGGGNNNNNNNNNNGGUUUCAUGGCAUUGUUGAGAGGCUGAUAUUUAACAGGUGGUAGGCAACAAGACAUAAUUGAUAGAAGCGAUAAAACUAGCAUGGCAAUGAUAGUAAUGGUAUCUGGGGAAAUGGUCAUCUUGCCUCAAAUCCCGCUAGGAAGAAGAACAACUCCAAGAAGUCGGCGAACCAUCGUAGUCGAACGGGUCCUCACAUUCUGAGACGCUUGCGGAACUCUAUCGAGACGGAGCAAACCGGUAACAAACAUCAACAUAGAUAUUCACCACACGAUGCACAACAUGAUGCACAACCUAGUAUGAUGCAUGAUCAGUUCGACGAUGCAAGGGAUGGCAUGGCAAUUCACCUCACACAAACUCUACACANNNNNNNNNNAUCCGACAUGCUUGCGGAACUCUAUCGAGACGGAGCAAACCGGAAACAAACAUCAACAUAAAUAUUCACCACACAAUGCACAGCAUGAUGCACAACCUACUAUGAUGCAUGAUCAGUUCAACGAUGCAAGGGAUGGCAUGGCAAUUCACCUCACACAAACUCUACACAUUAAGUGAAGCUCGAUAUGCAACGAGUUACAUAUCGACGAAACUUCACGCUUAAUUAUUUAAUUCACUCCCGUUUAUUUACACGGCAAUAUUUAAUUGUUGUUAACAUGGCAAGGGGUGAAGCGACGGUUCUACGUGGCAUCCUAGACGGUUAACACACGAGACUUAGAACGGAGCUACGGCACAAGAGACAUGCAACACAAUAUAUUAUGCCAUGAAUGCGCCAUGCAUGCGAGUUCAAACAUCACGAGCAAGAAGAGAAAGAAACAGGUGUCGCCACGGUGAGCGAGAGGGAACCAUGGUGGCAAGACGGAAACGAUGCCACGACAACGUUCCUAUCCCAAUAACUCGUCGAGAUAUCGUGCCAACGUACUGGGAACGCGUGUGGGAACGAUAAAUAAAGAUGGGGUGAUCCCGGUUACCGGGUUCCCAUGUGUCGGGGNNNNNNNNNNNNNNNNNNNNNNNNNNNNNNNNNNNNNNNNNNNNNNNNNNNNNNNNNNNNNNNNNNNNNNNNNNNNNNNNNNNNNNNNNNNNNNNNNNNNCACAGCUCGGCGGCAGCAACACAUCAUGCAACAUGGCAACAGAACCAACACAACAGCAAGCAGGCUACGCUACGACACAUCAUGGGAGAGGCCAAGGCGGCAGCAGCAGCAUGCGGCUACAGCAAGCAAGCACAACAACAACAACUUGGCAACUAGCAAGCACAACAACCAUCACGCAACAACAACUCGGUCCGGCAGCACGCGACAAGCAGGAGGAGGCCGGGUAACGCCGGCGGCUCGGCAAGCCGGCGUGGACAGGGGCGAGGGACGAGGGACGCUCGCGCAAGGCCAUGACGGCAACUCGGGGAGGCGCGUGAGGAACGCCAUGGCAGCAACAGGGCGAGCGGCGCGGCGGAGGGCUGCUCGACGGCGCGCGGUGAACGGCGGCGAGAGGGAGCCAUGAGGUGGGCGCGUGGGAACGGGCCAGCAGUGGGCAUGGGGAGGCCGGCGAGGUCGAGGGGCGAGGCUGAGGGGAGGCUCCGACGCAGGAGGCAGCUCGACGGGGCGCAAUGCGGGGAGGGCAGCUCGACGACGGGGCAGGAGGGAUCGGGGUGAGAGACUAGGGAAGAGGAGGAGAGGAGCGCUGCGGGAGGAAGAACGAGAGGGGAAGACNNNNNNNNNNNNNNNNNNNNNNNNNNNNNNNNNNNNNNNNNNNNNNNNNNNNNNNNNNNNNNNNNNNNNNNNNNNNNNNNNNNNNNNNNNNNNNNNNNNNGGAGAGGAUCUAAAACACACAUAUAUUGGUGACAACAUAAUAGGUUCAGAUCUGAAAUCAUGGCACUCGGGCCCUAUUGACAAGCACUAAGCAUGGCAAAGUAGUAGCAACAUCAAUCUCAGAACAUAGUGGAUACUAGAGAUCAAUCCCCGUCAAAACUAACUCGAUUACAUGAUAGAUCUCAUCCAACUCAUCACCGUCGAGAAAGCCUACGAUAAGAUUACUCACGAACGGUGAAGAGCAUCAUGGAAUUGGCGAUGGAGGAAGGUUGAUGAUGACGAUGGCGACGAUUUCCCCUCUCCGGAGCCCAAAACAGACUCCAGAUCUACCCUCCAGAUGAAGAACAGGAGGUGGCGGCGCCUCCGUAUCGUAAAACGCGAUGAAUCCUUCUCCCUGAUUUUUUGGGCGAAACGGAAUAUAGAGCUGAGUUUGGAGGCGGUGGAGCCUCGUGGGCCCUACAAGCCUGGUUGGUGCAGCCUGGGGGGUGGCCGCGCCCCCUGGGCUUGUGGCCCACUGGCUCACCUCCUCCGGUGGAUCUUUGUGCAGGUGUUUUUCAUUAAUUCCAGAAAAAUUCUCCAUAAAUUUUCAGGUCAUUCCGAGAACUUUUAUUUCUGCACAAAAACAACACCAUGGCAAUUCUGCUGAAAACAGCGUUAGUCGGGGUUAGUUCCAUUCAAAUCAUGCAAAUUAGAGUCCAAAACAAGGGCAAAAGAGUUCGGAAAAGUAGAUAGGACGGAGACGUAUCACGGACUAAUGAUCUUCCGAGGAAAUGGCAUGUGCCGGAUGUUGACUUGUGAUCCACACGGUCACCAGCAUAAUCAAAAUCAGAGUAUCCAACGAGCUAAAGAUUUGAGCCCUUGGGGUACCAUAAUCCUAGUGUUGGUGUGUGAGCUAGAUACCGAAGAAUAUGUUUCACAACCUUAUGGUGUGAUUCCUUCAGUUUUGCUUGAAAACGAGCACACAUGCAAACACUAAGCAUAAUAUCUGGCCUAGAUGCACAUAGGUACAAUAAAGGGCCAAUCAUAAAACGAUAUACCUAUUGAUCGAAAUCUUUACCAAUUUUUGUCAGUGCAGAGGUAGCCGUUGGUAGGCAUAGGAAUCUUGACGCCUUUGCAUUCAUGCAUGUCGAAUUUCCUCAGAAUGUCCUUGAGGUAUUUCUCCUGAGAUAUGAAGAUGUCAUUGCGUUGUUGACGAAUUUGCAAGCCUGAGAAGAAUUUCAGCUCCCCCAUCAUGGACAUUUGAUAUUCUUCACCCGUCAUGUAGGCAAAUUCAUCAUUGUAACGUUUGUCAGUACAACCAAAUAUAAUGUCGUCGACAUAUAUUUGGCACACAAAUAGUUCAUUGUCAUAGGAUUUUGUGAAAAUAGUAGGAUCAAGUGAAUCGGGUUUGAAGCCUUUCUUCAUGAGGAAUUCCUUCAAUGUAUCAUACCAUGCCCGAGGGGCUUACUUGAGGCCAUAGAAAGCCUUUUUGAGUCUGAAGACUUUGUCAGGAUACUUCGGGUCUUCAAAACCUGGGUGCUGAGCAACAUAUACUUCUUCCUCAAGCUUACCAUUGAGGAAUGCACUUUUCACAUCCAUUUGAUAUACAGUAAUAUUGUGAUUGUUAGCAUAAGCAAGUAAUAUUCGAAUAGCUUCAACUCUAGCAACACGUGCAACAUUUUCAUCAAAGUCAAUUCCUUCAACCUGUGUGUAGCCUUGGGCUACAAGCCGUGCCUUAUUCCUCACUACCUGGCCAUCCUCAUCUUGCUUGUUUCGUAGAUCCACUUGGUGUUGAUGAUAUUGUGCUUGCGAGGAUAUGGUAUUUUGACAAGUUCCCACACGUAAUUUAGCUUAAACUGAAGAAGUUCAUCUUGCAUGGCUUGAAUCCAUCAGGUUCUAUGAAGGCUUCAACAACUUUUGAGGGUUCUGUGAUAGACACAAAAGAGGAAUGCCCACAAAAGUUAACUAAAUGUGAAGCCUUUGAGCGAGUGAGAGGACCUGGCGCAUUGAUGUCAUCGAGGAUUUUCUCAAGUUCUACUUCAUUUGCAAUCCUUGGAUGAGCUGGUUGAAGACUUUGGUUGGGCUGAGGAAUUUGAUUUGUAGCAUUUUCCUCAGGUGCACCUGCUUGAAUUUCCUUACUGUUGGGGACGACUUCUUCAACAAGGGGUUGUUCCUCAGUAGGAAUGAUAUCUUCAGUUGCCUUGAGCUCGAUAGAUUCCUCCGGAGGUGAUUUAUCUGACACAGGAGGUAGUUGCUCUCUUUGUGAGCCAUUAGUUUCAUCGAACCGCGCAUCUACAGUUUCAACAACCUUGUUGUGAUAGAUGUUGAAGACUUUGUAGGUGUGCGAGUCCUUUCCGUAACCAAGCAUAAAACCCUCAUGUGCUUUAGGUGCAAACUUUGAGCUAUGGUGAGGAUCUCUAAUCCAGCAUCUUUCACCGGCGAUGUUGAAAUAACUUACAAUGGGUUUCUUAUCACUGAGGAGUUCAUAUGAGGUUUGCUUGAGGAAUCUGUGAAGAUAUACCUAGUUGAUGAUGUGGCAAGCAGUGUUGAUUGCUUCCAGCCAGAAGCGGCGAGGAGUCUGAUAUUCUUCAAGCAUAGUCCAUGCCAUUUCAACCAGAGUCAUGUUCUUGCGAUCAACGACACCAUUCUGUUGAGGGGUAUAAGGAGUAGACAAUUUGUGAGUAAUACCAAGUUCAUCAAGAUAAUCAUCAAGACCAGUAUUUUUGAAUUAUGUCCCAUUAUCACUCCUGAUGUGUUUGAUGUUGACGUCGAAGUUCUUCGAGGCCCUUGAGGAAAAUCGUUUGAAGACUUCCUGCACUUCUGUUUUAUACAGAAUGAUAUGUACCCAGGUAUAGCGAGAAUAGUCAUCAAUGAUGACAAAGCCAUAUAAACAUGCUGCAUUGGUUAGAGUAAAAUAAUGAGUAGGUCCAAACAAAUCCAUGUGAAGCACUUCAAACGGACAAGUAGUGGUCAUGAUAGUCUUCGAGGGGUGCUUGGAUCUGGUUAUUUUUUCAGACUCACAAGCACUGUAGAGAUGGUCCUUGAGGACUUUGACGGAUUUGAUGCCAAUGACAUGCUUCUUCUUCGCGAGUGUGUGCGAAUUCCUCAUGCCUGCAUGACCAAGUCAUUGAUGCCAUAGCCAGCCUUUUGAGGUUUUUGCUAGUAAGCAUGUGGCUGGUUGAGGACCUAUGGAAAAAAUCAACAAUGUACAAAUCUCUUCUCCUAAAGCCUGCGAAGGCUUUGGAUUUGUCAGAUUCCACGAUGACUACGCAUCUGUAUUUUCCAAAGAUAACAAUCAUAUCAAGAUCACAAAGCAUGAAGACUGACAUGAGGUUAAACCAAAGGGAUUCGACAAGCAUGACUUUGUCCAUGUGCGUGUCCUUGGAGAUAGCCACUUUGCCAAGUCCUAAUACCUUGCUUUUACCUUUAUGAGCAUAAGUGAUUUGCUUCAGUGGUGAUGGAGUCAGAGGCAUAUUCAUCAACAAGCUUUUAUCACGAGUCAUGUGAUUUGUGCAACCACUGUCAAGAACCCACUUUGUGUUCUUGGGUUUGUUAUCCUACAGAUGAAUUAGUACAACUUACCAUCUCAUAUGCUUCAGAUUUGAAGAAUAUGGUAUCAAUUUCAUCAGAUAAGAAUUUCAGCAUAAACAGUAAAUUUGAGGACGUGUGAAAUGUUAUCAUUUCAUUAAUUUUAGCUUGUGUCCAAUCAAGCAAUUUCCUCAGGUCUCCGGCAAAUUCUUCAGAUGAUGACUUUCAUCUCGAGACCUGACCUGCAGAAGAGAUUAGUUCAAUUUCUUCACCACCCACAUCUGAAGGGGUGGCAAAGAGUUUAUCAUCCUGCGAGCACCAUAUGAGAAUGGAGGCAUUGAAUCUAAUGCACUUCUUUUCACAGCAGGGGGUUAGAGUACUCAAAUGAAUAGGCAGAGAAAUUCUUUGAGGACUUAUGAACAUAAUGAUUUGAGGAAUAACGCUCAUAUUCAUGUCCCUUGUAAUUUCCCUANNNNNNNNNNNNNNNNNNNNNNNNNNNNUCCCUACAUAUUAGAAGCAUUAGCGAGAGUACGAGCAUAAUAUUGACCAUUUGAGGAAUUUUAUCCUCGUGAAGACUUUGGUCCACAUGAGGAAUUUGAUCUGGGGUUCUGGUUCUUCACUAGUGGUGUCAUGAGGACAUUCACCUGAAGAUUUUCCAUGCAACUUUUGGCGAACCAGAUUUUCCUCAGGGGUGGUCCAUUCUUGCAGUUAGUUCCAACAUAUCUAGCAAAUAGUUCACCAGAUUGAUUUUUAAUCAGUUUAUAGUUGGAUUCAAAUGACUCAUGAGAGGAAUAGGAUAUUUCACAUGCAAAGCUUGUUAGAGUGGAUGGAUCGACGGGAGGGCCUUUAGCAGCAACCCAUGAGGUUUUCGGGUACUGCUCAGGUUUCCAGUAUGAUCCAUCGGCAUUUUAUUUCCUCUCAAAGGCAAUGCCUUCUUUCCUCGGGUUCCUGCUCAGAAUCUGCUUUUUGAGCACAUCGCAAAGGGUUUGAUGCCCUUUGAGACUUUUGUAUAUGCCUGUUACAUACAAUUCCUUCAACCCUGCAUUUUCCUUACUAGCAUUUGUGGUUUCCUCAAGUGAAGAAUUUGAUACCACAGGAACAGUUGAAGAAUUUGUAGCAAUAGAAGCAUUUGAUGAUUCUGGUGAAGAAUUAGCAGUUUCACGCUCGAUACAUUCCAAACAUGGUGGAACGAAUUCAACCUGAGCGGUAAUGAUCUGUUAAGCCAGUAAUGAAUCAUUUUCUAUUCGAAGAUCAUCAUGAGACAUUCUCAACUUCUCAAGAUCAAGCUUCCUCUGAAGAAAUUCAUAGGAAAGUUUCUCAUGAUCAGCCAAGAGUGUGCCAUAACGAUCUUGAAGACUAUCAAAUCUAGACUGAAGACUUUUCACAUCUUCAGUGAGGACUUGAGUACGAUUCAUUUCAUUGUUCAACAGAUCAUCGCUUAUGUCUAGCAGUUUCUGAAGCUUUUCAAUGGCCCUUUCUUGCUUAGUGGCAAUGUUGGCAAGUUUAUAGUAACUGGGUUUUUGAUAAUCAUCAGUUUCAUAGUCACUAGAAUCAGAGGAGGAACUAUGGUUUGGUACCUUUGAACCUUUUGCCAUGAAGCAAUAGGUUUGAGCGAAGUCAUGAGCUUAUUCAUGGGUGUAGAUAGUGUUGUCAUUUUCUUCAAGGUUGAAGAUUGAGUUGUUGACGAAUGUGGUAGCCAGUGCAAGACUUGCCACACCAGACUCUGACUCCUCUUCAGAACCUUCCUCUUCAUCACAUUCCUCAGAUUCUUCUUCAGAGUCCAUUUCCUUGCCAAUGAGUGCCCGAGCCUUUCUGAAACUGGUCUUGUUGUGUGAUGAGGACUUUGAAGAUGAGGAUUUUGAAAAUUUCUUCUUUUUCUUCGAGUCAUCAGAACUUUCAUCCUUGUAUUUCUUCUUCCAUGAUUCUUUCACCCAGCAAGGACAAUCAGCAAUGUAGUGACCUGAUUUCUUGCAUUUGUGGCAGGUUCUUUUCUUCUAGUCCUCAGAUGAAAAUUCUGAUCUCCUCAUAUCUCUUCUUGAAGAUUUACCAAACUGGCCACGCUUAGUGGACUUCUAGAAUUUCCUCACGAGCAUAGCAAGUUCCUGUCCAAGUUCUUUAGGGUUACCGAUGCUGCAAUCCGAGUCUUUUUCUUCAGAUGAGGAAAUAGCCUUAGCCUUCAGUGCACGAGGUCUUGAGUAGCUUGGUCCAUACAAAUCUCUCUUUUCUUCUUGUUGGAAUUCAUGAGUAUUGAAUCUCUCAAGUAUAUCAGCAGGAUCAAGCAUCUUAUAGUCUCUUCAUUCUUGAAUCAUCAGAACUAGUGUGUCAAAUGAUGGAUCAAGUGAUCUUAGCGGUUUCUUCACAACUUCAUGGUCAGUGAUGUCUCUAGAUCCCAGUGCCUGCAGUUCAUUUGAGAUGUCAGUGAGGCGAUCAAAAGUAUAUUGGCAGCUUUCAUUGUCAAGCCUCUUGAAGCGAUUGAAGAGAUUGCAAAGAACAUCGACACGACAGUCAUGCUGUGUUGAGACUCCCUCAUUGACUUUGGACAGCCUAUCCUAGAUAAGCUUAGGUGUGCCCAAAGCACUCACUCUGCCAUACUGACCUUUGCUCAGAUGGCCACAUAUGAUAUUCUUCGCUUGCGAGUCAAAUUAUUUGAACUUCUUCACAUCAGCGACAGAGAUAGUAGCAGUGAUGGAGGGAAUGCCAUUUUCCAUAAUAUACCAGAGAUCAUUGUCAAUAGCUUGAAGAUGCAUCUGCAUCUUGGUAUUCCAGUAGGGGAAGUCCUUUCCUUCGAAGUUAGGACAUCCUGCAGUAACCUUGAUCAUACCAGCGGUCGACAUAACUAAAACUCCACGUGGUUAAACCAAAAUCACACAACACAAGGGAGUACCUUGCUCUGAUACCAAUUGAAAGUGCGUUAUAUCGACUAGUGGGGGUGAAUAGGAGAUUUUAAUAAUUUCAUCAUUGAGGAAAUUCCUGAUGAGGAAAGUCAUCAAACAUGAACUCAGUGCAGCGGAUAUAGUACAGUAUGAGGAGUGCAAAAAUGACUACAGCAAAGUACUCAAUGAGAUUUCUGAGUUUAGGUUUGCACAGUUCGCAAGUACACAGUAAGCAGGUGAAGAUUAACUCGAGUGAAGAAUUUGAGGUUGAGGAAAUUCAGAGAAAGUCUUGAGACAAAUUCUUCAAACUGCACACACGAAAGUCUUCAACAUACAAUUGUGGAAACGAAAGAAUUGAAGAAAUAGAACCUGUAGCUCGACGAAGACAGUUGUUGAUGACCCAAUUCCAAUUGCGAUGAUAGUUGUACGUCUAGUUCGGAGCGGCUUGGUAUUGAAACCAAAAGGACACACAGUCCCGGGACACACAGUCCCUACCGUAUUCUCCUUGAGCUAAGGACACACAGUCCUCGCCCAACACUCGUGGUAAGUCUUCAGGGCAGACUUCCAAACCCUCACAAACUCGGUCAACCGUCCAUCCACAAUUGACUGCUGGAUGCUCUAGACCUUGACGUCUAACCGUUUGGAGGAUGCACAAUCCUCAAAGGUAAAAACCAUCGGUUCCACACAGGAACAACUUCUCCAGUGAUGCUUAAUCACUUAGGAUUUUGGUUUGGUUUUGGUGUUUGGGGUAUUUCCUCACUUGAUGAUUUUCUCUCGAAGACUCUCAGGAAUAUGGGUUGCUCUAAAUGACAAGUGUCAGUUUCUCUUGGAGCAGCCAACCAUCUAGUGGUUGUGGGGGCGGCUAUUUAUAUCCUGGGAGCAUCCCGACAUGAUUUGACAUAAAUGCCCUUAGAUAAUAAGACCGUUGGGUGGAUAAGAUCAGUGAGGUGACGCGUGGUGCGGCAAUGGUCGGAACUUUCAACUGUGAAAGUCCUCAUGUCUCUCAUAUUCCUCACUUUGAGGCUUUUAUAGAUUUAGGCUUGGGUUGAGCAUCAUGAGGAAAAUCAUUCCGUAGUUUUACCUUGACCCCCUUUAACAGUACGGUGUUCCUAUGACUCAAGUGUAAAGAAAAUGAAACAAAAAGAAUAAAUCCUCACGCUUCAAAGUCUUCAGAGUGUUUUCUUGAGGACACACUGAAUUCCUCAUCUUCAAUAUCUUCAUGAGGAAUAUCAAUUUCAUCGCUAUUUCUUCGCGAUCAAAGUCUUCAAGGAAGGACCAAAGUUUUCACCCGAAGUCAUACAUUUUUAGGGGUCGAUAUUCAUCGGAUAACUCAAACUCUUCAGCGACUUAUAGAGUUUUUAUACACUCACAAACAUAUCAGUCUCUUAACCUAUAAGUCUUCAAACCACCAAAAUCACUAAGGGGCAAUAGAUGCACUUACAAUAACCUAUGAUCAAGCAAGCUUUCUUGGCUCCUUAAGUCAAUAUACUCUAAUAUAGGUGACCUAGUCACCGACCAACAUCUAGAUGUCUUGUAUGGUUCAUAUUAUUGUUGCAUACUUUCUUGGAACCAUUCAAUUCUCAUCUAGUUGUGAGAAUUCAUUGCAAAUCUUUUGGAAAUUCCUUGAAAAUCUUUUGAAUAUUUUUGAGAGCUUUGGCCAAAAUGUCAUAUAUACUUCACAUUCAAAACGGCCAAGAUGGAUUUUCGUGUGAUGAAGGACGCCCCAUAUUUUCAAGUAGUUAAGAUUUCUAUUUGCAACUCGAUCCCUCCGAACUGGGAAAAUCGGCCAUGCCGAUUUCUCCAAGAGGCCUAAGAUCAUUUUCGUUUCUACCGAAUUGUUUUUUGAGAGACUCCGAAUUUUGACACUACUUGAUUUCUUUGCUUUUAUCUCAACUAAUUUCUUGAUGUAGCAAUAAUUAUCAAAAGGGGGAGAAACAUCAAGGAUCCCUACUCAAGGGGGGAUAUCAAGGAACCCUUAUCUAUAUCAAAGGAAGAAAAAUCCAGGAUCCCUUACUCUCAAGGAACCCUUACCCUGUGACCUUUUUGGAAAUUAAUGCCGAAGGGAGAGAAAUAUCAAAGCUUAUGCUUCAACGGAGAGAAAUCUUUAAGGAGGAGAGAAAGUUUUAUUUAAGUUUCAGUAGUAGAAUGCCCGUGCGUUGCCACGGGCUCUUGAAAUAUUUUUUACGGGUUAUACAAUUAUAAUGCAUGUGAAUUUUCACACAUAGAAAAAGUUAUAAUAUGGGCACACUUGCUUAAUAAUUGAAGUCCACUUCACUUGCAAUGUAAAUCCAUAAAAAACAAAUUAACGACGUGUUUGUGUAAGAAACUGCGCGAUGAUACAAGUAAAUCCAUUACAAAUUACUAAGAUCUACUUGAUGCGCUUAAGAAAUUCUCGCAAAAUAUUAGGAGAGUUGUCUUUAGCUUCAUUCCCACGAUGUUUUAGCAAGUAUAAUAAGAAUUGCUUCCUCAACUCAUACCCAUCCUACACAAGCACUACAUGUAGUUAGCGCAAAUAUUUCACGUCUAAUGUCUUAAAACGUGUAAAGGACAAUACUCACCGUGCAAACCGGCUUCACCAGUUCUUUAUCGUUCCACUAGAGCAUAAAGUGAAAAAUAAAAAAGCCAGACACAUCCCUGCAAAUUCCUAAAUUUAUAUUAUAUACAAUAUAGUGAUGAAAAAUAAAUAUUUGUAUUAUGAAUUUAUUACCCGUCCAUGCUCGUUGGAAUAUUAGAGGGAAAUAAAUGUUGCCAUUUAGAUAUAUUGGAAUUCCAGCCGUGUUGCUUUAUUUCGAGUGCUUCUUUGAAUUCGCUCAUAAAACCUUUUAACUUCACUACAUGCCUUAAAAAAUUCUCUAACGUUUGUGAUGUAUGAAUAGGGUCCAUAAUGCAUACACUAUGUGCCUCUUUGUCGAUGAUGUACAUGACGUAUCGGCCUACGGAUGCAUAGGGAAUAUAAAUCUACAAGUGGUGACAAUUAACAACAACAAUAAACCAUGACAACAAUAGCCAAAAUAUCUUACUUACCAUGUUGCACAAUGAAAUGUUGUUGUCUAUCCUAGGCCAGCUAUCAAACAAUGUUGCCAACGUCUAAAUUGUUUCCUUCCCGUAAUUUUUUUGAUCUCGUGUUGACUCUAGCAUCAUGGACCGGGUAAAAAAUAAUUGUUGUUUCAACAUGUUGACACUAAUGACACUGAAUGAAGAAUUAUGAUAACUUACACACAAAUGCAAAUCCAUGUAGUGUAUAGGAGGGUUUGUGAACAACACUCCCUCGUCACAUGCUAGUAUACGCACGGCAAUGUUAAAACAAUCAUUGUCCAUACCUUGCUCAAUGUUAAGUAUGCCCCGAAGUUUUUUUAGACUUAAACACAUUGGAUGUGGUGUCGAGAUUCAGACCCAUUCAUUCCUGAAAAAUGGAUGGUACAAAUAGAAAUAGUAAUAAUGUAUAAUUGUAUAUUACAUAAUUAUAAAUGUAAAUGAUGUUUAUUCCAGAUACAUAGUGUCAUCGAUCGACAUGAUGUAGUUGCAUAGGCCGACAAGUAAAUCACCUUGAUCAGUGGGCCUGAUGCCAAUUUGGGUAGGACGUUUGUCUUUGCAUCCAUCAGGUGGAUUAUCCAGGAUCUCAAGAUCAGAAUUAGGUAAGACUGCUUCAUUGUCAUUGGCAAUAUAACGUGCAUCCUUUUAGCUUAUUAAGUUCUGAAUCAAUCAAAAUGACAGUUAAUUUUGGUCGAAAGUGUUUCAUGUCCUCCUCAAAAAUAUUUAAAAACAAUUUUAAUAAUGCUUUAGAAUAUCAGCAAGACGAACGAAAUAAGCAUGUAUCAACUAAUAUAUAGGAUACACUAUUUUAUUAUCAACAUUUUUUAUUACAUGAUAUCUUUGUGUUCAUGAGUACCAAACAUAAUAAUUUUUAGUCUCUGACAAGUGCUUACCCAUCCGUUUGUAUUGCAUUCUUGAACUGUUCCACAACCUUCCAUUUUGUAACAUUGAGAUCGGUCCACUUAUGAUCUUUGUUAAACUCCGGACUCUGUUCUCCAAGUUUCAGACGCUUCUCAAGUCCUAGGAACUAUUUUAUAUGUGAAAAGACAUUAAGGAUUAAGCCAAACAAAACAUAUGUCAAGAGGACCAAAAACAAUAGAUAGUUACCGUAGUGGCAAGUUCACUCUGUUUUUCUAAGCACCAAGUGAGUCCAACACGUGAAUCUCAUUUUUUUUGGCAUUGACGACUGCUAGAUACCAAUGGUACCUUGAAAUGUUAAUUCCUACCUCUUGAGCUUGCGUUGCUUUUUCCCUUGAAGAGGAAAGGGUGAUGCAGCACAGUAGCAGUAAGUAUUUCCCUCACUUUGAGAACCAAGGUAUCAAACCAUUAGGAGUAUCAAGACAAGUCACCAAUGUACCUGCGCAAAAACAAACAAACUUGCACCCAACGCUAUAAAGGGGUUGUCAAUCCCUUCACGGUUAAUUGCAAGGUGAGAUCUGAAGGUGGAAAGUGCAACAAAGUAAAAGUGUAGAGCAGAAAAUAUGAUGUGAAGUAGACCCGGAGGCCAUAGUGUUCACUAGAGGCUUCUCUCAUGAUAGCAAGUAUUACUGUGGGUGGACGAAUUACUGUCGAGCAAUUGAUAGAAUCACGCAAAGUCAUGAUGAUAUCUAAGGCAAUGAUCAUACAUAUAGGCAUCACGUCCUAGACAAGUAGACCGAUACUUUCUGCAUCUACUACUAUUACUCCACACAUCGACUGCUAUCCAGCAUGCAUCUAGUGUAUUGAGUUCAUAACAAACAGAGUAACGCCUUAAGCAAGAUGACAUGAUGUAGAGGGAUAGAUUCAUGCAAUAGAUAUAAACCCCAUCUUUUUACCCUUGAUGGCAACAACACGAUGCGUGCCUCGCUACCCCUUCUGUCACUGGGUGAGGACACCGCACGGUAUGAACCCAAAACCAAGCACUUCUCCCAUUGCAAGAAUUAUAGAUCAAGUUGGCCAAACGAAACCCACAACGAAGAGAAUUACAAGGAUACGAAAUCAUGCAUAUAAGAGAUCAGAGGAGACUCAAAUAAUAUUCAUAGAUAAUAUGAUCAUAAAUCCACAAUUCAUCGGAUCUCGACAAACACACCACAAAAGAAGAUUACAUCAGAUAGAUCUCCAUGAAGAUCAUGGAGAACUUUGUAUUGAAGAUCCAAGAGAGAGAAGAAGCCAUCUAGCUACUAGCUAUGGACCCGAAGGUCUGUGGUGAACUACUCACGCAUCAUCGGAGAGGCAAUGGUGUUGAUGAAGAAGCCCUCCGUAUCCGAAUCCCCCCUCCGGCAGGGCACCAGAACGGUCCCCAGAUGGUAUCUUGCGGCGGCGAAAAAGUAUUUCCGUGGCUCUCUCUCGUGGUUUCAGAUUUUUGGAGAAUUUAUAGGCAGAAGAAGUAGGGCAAAGGAGCCACAGGGGGGCCACAAGCCUGGUAGGCGCCCCCCCCAGGCCGCGGCUAGGGGGCUUGCGGCCUCCCCCGGGGUCCUUUGCCUUGGUUCUCAAGUUCCCUGCGUAUCUUCUGUUACGGAAAAAAUCAUUCCGCAGGUUUUAUUCCGUUUGGACUCCGUUUAAUAUUCCCCUCUGAAAAAGGUCAAAAACACGGAAAAAACGGGAACUGGCACUUGGCACUGAGUUAAUAGGUUAGUCCCAAAAAAGAUAUAAAAUAGCAUAUUCAUGCAUACAAAGCAACCAAAGUUGACAAGAUAAUAGCAUGGAACCAAAAAAAAUUAUAGAUACGUUGGAGACGUAUCAAACAUCCCCAAGCUUAACUCCUCCUCGUCCUCGGGUAGGGAAGUGAUAAAAACUGAAUUUUUGAUGUGGAAUGCUACCUAACAUAUUUGUCCUUUGUAACUUCUUUCUUGUGACAUGAAUGUUCACUUCCGUAAGAUUCAAAACAAUAGUUUACUAUUGACAUGAAAACAAUAAUACUUCAAGUAUACUAGCAAAGUGAUCAUGAAAUUUUGAAAUAACAAGGCCAAGGGAAGUUAUCCCUACAAAAUCAUAUAGUCUAGCUAUGCUCCAUCAUCCCCACACAACGAAUUUAAAUCAUGCACAACCCCGGUAUUGGACAAGUAAUUGUUUUCGCACUCUUACUUUCUCAAACUUUUUCAACUCUCAUGCAAUACAUGAGCGUGAGCCAUGGAUAUAGCACUAUAGGUGGAAUAGAGUGUGGUGGAGGUUGUGAGGCAAAAAGGACGAGAUGGUCACAUCGACUCGGCGUAUCAACGGGCUAUGGAGAUGCCCAUCAAUAGAUAUCAAUGUGAAUGAGUAGGGAUUACCAUGCAACAGAUGCACUUAGAGCUAUAAGUGUGUGAAAGCUCAAAAGGAGAACUAGUGGGUGUGCACCCAACUUGCUUGCUCACGAAGACCUAGGGAAAUUUUGAGGAAGCCCGUCAUUGGAAUAUACAAGCCAAGUUAGAUAACAAAAAUUCCCACUAGUAUAAGGAGGUGUCAAAACAAGAGACUCUCUAUCAUGAAGAACAUGGUGCUAUUGUGAAGCACAAGUGUGGAAAAAGAUAGUAGCACUGUCCCUUUUCUCUUUUUCUCUCAUUUUUUGGGCUCUUUGGCCUCUUUUUUUCAUUUUUUUGGAGGGCAUAUUUGGCCUAUUUUCAAAAAAAAAAUCCUCACAUGGGACAAUGCUCUAAUAAUGAUGAUCAUCACACUUUUAUUUACUCACAACUCAAUACUUAGGGCAAUGAUGAUUCUAUAGGAAAUGCCUCCGGCAGUGUACUGGGAUGUGCAACGAUCUAGCUUAGCGUAUGACGUUGAAACAUCUCGCUAGCUAUCUUACGAUCAUGCAAUGGCAAUAUGAAAGUGAUGGCACAAGUCAUGAGAUGGAACGGUGGGAGUUGCAUGGCAAUAUAUCUCAGAAUGGCUAUGAAAAUGCCAUAAUAGGUAGGUAUGGUGGCAGUUUUGAGGAAGGUAUAUGGUGGGUUUGUGCACCGGAUAAAGUUGUGCGGCACUAGAGAGGCUAGCAAUGGUGGAAGGUGAAAGUGCAUAUAUACCAUGGACUCGCAUUAGUCAUGAAGAACUCAUAUACUUAUUGCGAAAGUUUUAUUAGUAAUCGAAACAAAGUGCUAACCGCAUACUCCUAGGGGAAGGGUUGGUAGGUGUUAACCAUCGCGCGGUCCCGACCGCCACACAAAGGAUGACAAUCAAUAAAUCAGUUAUGCUCCGACUUCCUAACAUAGCGGUUCGUCAUACGUGCAUGCUACGGGAAUCACUAACUUCAACACAAGUAUUUCUAGAUUCACAACACCCUACUAACAUAACUCUAAUAUCACCAAAUCCAUAUCUCAAACUUAAUUGUUAGGAAUCAAACUUCUCUUACUAAUCAAUGCACUUGAAUAUGUAAGUUUUUAUUAUAUCCUCUUUGGAUGCCUAUCAUCUUCAGGACUACUUUCAUAGCACAAGCCAAUUACCGAGUUACUUAGAGAGAGCACUCUCAAAAAGAUAUAAGUGAAGACCGAGAGUUUUUAUUUCCACAAAAUAUGACACCGCGAUGCUCUAAAAAGAUCUAAGUGAAGCACUAGAGAAAAGUUAUCUAGCUCAAAAGAUAUAAGUGACGCACAUGCGAGCUAAAUUUCCUAACUCAAAAGAUAUAAGUGAAGCUCAAUGAGUAUUCUAGCAAAUUCACGAUGAGUGCAUGUAUCUCUCAAAACGGUGUGCAGCAAGGAUGAUUGUGACACAACAAAAAGAAAAGACUCCUAUAAUACAUGACGCUCCAAGCAAAACACAUAUCAUGUGGUGAAUAAAAAUAUAGCUCCAAGUAACGUUAUCGAUGGAUUGAAGACGAAAGAGGGGAUGCCUUCCUGAGGCAUCCCCAAGCUUAGGCUUUUUGGUGUCCUUGAAUUUGGAUUGGGAUGCCUUGGGCAUCCCCAAGCUUGAGCCCUUUCCACUCUUUAUCCCAUUGUCCAUGAGAACAUCACCCAAAACUUGAAAACAUCACAACACAAAACAUAAACAGAAACUUGUGAUAUCAUUAGCAUAAGAAAACAAACUACCAACUCUUUAGGUACUGAAGUAAACUUGAUUUCUAUUUAUAUUUAUGUUAGAUUAAUGUAUUCUCACUUUUCCAUGGCAAGUACCCCCCGAUACUAUCCAUAGUUUCAUCAAAAUAAGCAAUCAACACAACAAAAACAGAAUCUGUCAAAAACAGGCCAGUCUGUAGCAAUCUGUAUACUUCGUAUACUUUUGUUAUCCCAAAACUUCUGAAAAAUUAUGAAAAUUAGGGCACUUCACAUAUCAACCAGCAGCAAAAAGAAUCCACUCAAAAGCUCUUUCUGGAUAGGAAUUAAAAAUAAUUUCGUGAGCGCAAAGUUUCUGUCUUUUUCAGCAAACAACUAUCGCCAAAACUAGUCAUAAAGGUUCUACUUGGCACAAAAACAAAAAGAAACAUAAAAACACAAUCAUAACAGGAUUAUGAUGGUGUGGACACAACAAAAAAGAAAUCAAAAAUAAAAAAUAAAUUUAUUCAUUGGGUUGCCUCCCAACAAGCGCUUUUCUUUAAAGCCUUUUAGCCAGGCAUUGAUAAUCAAUGAUGCUCACACAAAAGACAAGAAUUGAAGCACAACGAGAGCAUCAUAAAGCAUGUGAAAAUCACAUCUAAGUCUAACAUAUUUCCUAUGCAUAGGCAAUUUAUAGGAAAACAAAUUAUCAAGACAAGCAAUAACUACCAUACGCAAGGAAGAAGAAAGAGACAAUAUCAAUCUCAACAUAAUGAGAGGUGAUUUAUUAACAUGAAAGUUUCUACCACAAUAUUUUCGUCCCUCAUAACAAUUACAUGUGGGAUCAUAUUCAAAUUCAGCAAUAUAGCUAUCACAUAGGAUAUUCUUUUCAUGAUCCACAUGCAUGCAAACUUGACGCUCUUAAANNNNNNNNNNNNNNNNNNNNNNNNNNNNNNNNNNNNNNNNNNNNNNNNUAGUGGGAUUAUCAUCAAGUAAAGUCGUGACUUCUCCAAACUAACUUUCAAUAUUAUUGCCAAUAUCAUAUUCAUCAUGAGGCUUAAACAAAUUUUCAAGAUCAUAAGAAAAAUCAUCACCCCAAUCAUGAUCAUUGCAACAAGUAGCAAAACUAGCAUCCCCAAGCUUAGGGUUUUGCAUAUUUUUAGCAUGAUUGACAUUAAUAGAAUUCAUAGUGAAUCCAUUGCAAUCAUGCUUUUCAUUCAAGGAGCCCUCGUGAAUCACUUCAUAAAUUUCUUCAUCCCAAUUUUCAGAUUCACGCAUCUCAAGCAAAACUUCAUAAAGAUAGUCAAGUGCACUCAACUCACUAGCAAUUGGUUCAACACAAUUGGAUCUCUAAAGAGAUUAGCAAGUGGAUGAGGAUCCAUAUCAAUAGAUUUUUAGCAAGCGAAGAUGCAAGCAUAUUGAAGGCACAUAGCACACAAGCAAACAGAAAGCAAGCAAAAGAAAGGGCGAAUGAAAAAGGCAAAUAUUUUUGUAAAUUUUGUUUUCUAGAAGUGGGGGAGAGGAAAACGAGAGGCAAAGGGCAAAAAAAGUAAAUGCAAUAGAUGAGUUUGCGAUAGUUACUUGGAUAAGCUUCACUUAGAAUAGUCCCUGGUGCCAGAAAUUGACACGUUGUAGGAAGACUAUUCUUGACUUGAUACUCCCCGGCAACAGCGCCAGAAAUUCUUCUUGCUACCUCUUGAGCUUGCGUUGGUUUUUCCCUUGAAGUGGAAAGGGUGAUGCAGCACAGUAGCAGUAAGUAUUUCCCUCAGAUUGAGAACCAAGGUAUCAAUCCAGUAGGAGUAUCAAGACAAGUCACCAAUGUACCUGCGCAAAAACAAACAAACUUGCACCCAACGCUAUAAAGGGGUUGUCAAUCCCUUCACGAUUAAUUGCAAGGUGAGAUCUGAAGGUGCAAAGUGCAACAAAGUGAAAGUGUAGAGCUGAAAAUAUGAUGUGAAGUAGACCCGGGGGCCAUAGUGUUCACUAGAGGCUUCUCUCAUGAUAGAAAGUAUUACUGUGGGUGAACGAAUUACUGUCGAGCAAUUGAUAGAAUCGCGCAAAGUCAUGAUGAUAUCUAAGGCAAUGAUCAUACAUAUAGGCAUCACGUCCGAGACAAGUAGACCGAUACUUUCUGCAUCUACUACUAUUACUCCACACAUCGACCGCUAUCCAGCAUGCAUCUAGUGUAUUGAGUUCAUAACAAACAGAGUAACGCCUUAAGCAAGAUGACAUGAUGUAGAGAGAUAGAUUCAUGCAAUAGAUAUAAACCCCAUCUUUUUACCCUUGAUGGAAACAACACGAUGCAUGCCUUGCUACCCCUUCUGUCUCUGGGUGAGGACACCGCACGGUAUGAACCCAAAACCAAGCACUUCUCCCAUUGCAAGAAUUAUAGAUCAAGUUGGCCAAUUGAAACCCACAACUCGAAGAGAAUUACAAGGAUACGAAAUCAUGCAUAUAAGAGAUCAGAGGAGACUCAAAUAAUAUUCAUAGAUAAUCUGAUCAUAAAUCCACAAUUCAUCGGAUCUCGACAAACACACCGCAAAAGAAGAUUACAUCGGAUAGAUCUCCAUGAAGAUCAUGAUAUGCACUAAAAGUGUUAAAAGUGAUGAAGACAGCUAUAUGCUAUUGUUUUAUUAAGAAAAAUUUGCACACAUAUUAAUGAUAGCUAAAGAGACCACAAUAUUUAAGAGUGUGUUUGGUUGAUCUCCUCGUCAUUGAUGUGCGUGGAACCUGUCUGGUCAUUGUUUGGUUGGCUCUGUGAGAAAAAAUAAUUGCGUGGCCUAGCCUUCCUUGUACUGUGAUUAGCGUGGCCUUCCUUGUACUGUGAUUAGCCUGGCCAGUGAAAUAAAAAAAUAAAAGCAGAAAGUACUUAGAGCAACUCUAGCAGACCCCGCAUCCGCCCCCGACCCGCAAAAUAACCGCCAAAAUGCGGGUCGGGGCGGAAAAGCCUGCCCGAUCAGACCCCGCAUCCCGUCCCGGCCCGCAAAAAAGUUUAGGGGGGGCGGCAAAUUCCUGACCCCAACCUAGGAAAACGCGGGUUUCCCCCUCGUGACUGCGGUGCCCUGCAUCACACGGAAGCUGUUGGCGGGAAGGGCAUUUCAACCCGCGCUAUUUUUCCCUUCCUUCCGUCAUCAUCCCGCCCUUGGUUCCGCCCGCCGCCGGUGAUUCCGGCCUUAUCUGUAGGCGAGCCGCUACACGGCCCCUCCGGAUCCGGCGAGAAGAUAAUAGCCGCCCCCCGCCGCCGCCGUCGGGGAUCGACCACCGCCUCGUAGCCGCCCGGGAUCACCCGCCGCCAGUUAGUACCUUUUGUGGUUUUUGCGAGCUGUGCGAGAAGAUGGAGUUGGCCCCGUGUGAGAAGUUCCUACUAUCUGAUUCGUCCGAUUCGGACGGCUCGUAUGUUGAUACCAUGCUUGCGACCUUUCGUCAGCAAACAUUAGUCAUGGCGCUUGCCGUGAAGGCGCAUGAAGACUAGAACCGAAAGAGGAGGCGAGGAUAGACCGUCAGGCAUUUGUGCAUUCCUCGGAAUCGCCAUCUUGGGAACGAGAUGUUGAUGCAAGACUAUUUUGUGGAGAAUCCUACAUAUCCUCUGCACCUCUUCCGGAGAAGGUACCGAAUGCGCCGAUCCCUCUUUGUGAAAAUUGUUCAAGCUUGCGAGGAUAAUUGCCGGUAUUUUACUCAAAGAAGGAAUGUCGCGGGCUUAAAGGGAUUUAGUGCAUAUCAAAAAAUCUCCGCAGCUAUGCGGGUGAUUGCAUAUGGCGUUACAGCUGACUAUGCCGAUGAGUAUCUUCGCAUUGGUGAAGAUACCACAAUUGAGUCUGUGCGUAGAUUUGUUAAAGUGAUCAUCCGUGUCUUUGGUCCUGAGUAUCUUCGGGCACCCAAUGAAGAUGACACAAAGAAAUUGAUGGCAUCUAAUGAGAGGAGAGGUUGGCUUGGCAUGCUAGGUAGCAUUGAUUGUAUGCAUUGGAAUUGGAAAAAUUGCCCCAAGGCUUGGCAAGGAAUGUAUUGUGGCAAGUCUCGUGAUGCAACAAUUGUGCUAGAGGUCGUAGCAUCCGAGGAUUUAUGGUUUGGCAUUGCUUUUUUGGUAUGCCAGGCACUCUCAAUGAUAUCAAUGUGUUGCAACGGUCUCAUUUGUUUGCUAGGCUUGCUAGUGUUGAUGCUCCUACUUGCAACUACACUAUCAAUGGGUAUGAAUACACAAAGGGGUACUAUCUUGCAGAUGGUAUAUACCCUCCUUGGUGCACAUUUGGCAAGAGAAUCAAAGAACCCAAAACAAAAAAACAAUGUGAAUUUGCAAAGGUGCAAGAGGUAGCACGCAAAGAUAUUGAAAGAGCAUUCGAUGUUUUGCAAUCUAGGUUUGCCAUUGUCCGUGGUCCUGCUCGUUUUUGGGAUAAGAAAACCUUGAAGAACAUCAUGACAUGUUGUGUUAUCCUGCACAAUAUGAUUCUUGAAGAUGAGAAAGGAUUGAACUUAGAAUUCUUUUAUGACAACGUGGGUAGCCGUGUCAAACCAGCUAGAGCCCAAACCGCAUUAGAGCUUUUCUUCAAACAUACAAGGAGAUUGAAAAUGCAGACACCCACUUUCAACUUCAGAAAGAUCUCAUUGAACAUCACUCGCAAAGGGUUGGACAGUGUAUUAUUUUUGUAUUCAUUUGUAUUUGUAUUCAUGACAAGUUUUGAAUAAUUAUUUGUAAUGCGGAUGAUUAUUGUAUUAUGUUUGAUUCGAAUAAUUCCGUUUGUUUUCGACUGUUGAAUUAUGUUGUAUUUAAUAUUUGCGGGUUGAUGAUAUGCGGGAAGCAGCGGCGCAAAGAGGACACCCGCAAAGCCGACCCGUAAAAAAGUAUAUUCCGUGAAUAUACUUUUUUACGGAUCCGUUUGGGGGUCUGCAUCUGUGCCAACCCGGGCCAGCCUGCAAAAAUUGUUUUACGCGAACUGCAAACGCGUUUUGCGGGCCGGCGGGAUGCGGGGUCUGCUAGAGUUGCUCUUAGCCCAGGCAGCGUGACUUGCGUGGCCGAGGCGUCCCAUCCCAUAUGCCUGGACAUACUUUUGCAUGAGCCUGGAACUAAUUGGAGCCACUAACUGCAAAGACCCACUAUUUAAAAAAUCUAUCUAUACCUAAUAAUAAAGCGGCUAUUGCUUCCGUCGGAAAACCCACCGCGGCAUUUUUAUAAAAAAGCCCCUGUAAUUUUUGUUAUUCAACCCGCGCUCCAUCAUUUAUCAGCAAUGCAAAAGGAAAAAACGAUUCGCUGCAAAAAUUCUACCCGUACGCAUCGCCUCCUCCCAUCGAUCCUGGGCCACCCUGGCAUGUGCCCAGGUCGCCGCCACACCACUCGCCGCCGCGGCCGACCUCAACCGCCACCGCUACCGGUCUCAACCCACCCGCCUCCGCGGCCAUACCUCUCCCCGCUCACUUCCCCUGUUGCGGCGCUCGAGCGCAUCGCGUCCACCCUGGUCCACCCUGGCAUGUGCCCAGGCCGUUGCCACACCACUCGUCGUCGCGCCCGGCCUCAACCACCACUGUUGUCGAUCUCAACCCACCCGCCUCCGCGGCCGUACCUGUGCCCUCUUGAUGCCCCCGUUUCGGCGCUCCAGCACACCUUCUGGAUCAAAUCAACGCGACAGCUACACUGACUAGGAAUAAUGCGUCUGCUCGAUGCAGAACGGCGGCGGCGCGCGGAUAAGGCGCGGCGGAGAGAAGUACUUGCAGGUGGAGGCGGGCCUGCAUGGCUCACACAGGGAACUCCGAGGUUAUGGCGCGGCAACAACGACUCCUUAUGGCCAGAUAGAGGGGCCUAACCCUUGCUCCCCUCAUCGUAUCCCCUCCUCCGGCAGGAACUCAUCAUCUGGUGAGAUCCCCUCCCCAUGCCUCCAAUCGUGUGCCAAGCACCGACAAGAAAUUUUCUUUUGUGGGGAUUUGUUUGCUGAUGAAUGAAUGUAUUGAAUGUAAGAUUGUAUUGUUGUAGAGACAGAAAAUGGAACACCACCUUCAGUUUGUCAUCUGAUCCCACAUUCUCUACCGCAUGAGUGAAAUAAGAUAACAGUACAUUGAUCAAUUCACGUAGCCUCUUUGUUUUGCUUUGUUUGUCCCGCUCAAUUUCUUAUCAUGGUGGAAUUAACAAUGGACGGGUUGAUUUCUCAACAAAAUAGGAUAGGACUGACUACAUUAGUUAGUUAGCUUCUUAUUUUAAUAAAUCAAAAUAAUUAUAAAAAGAUUAAAAACGUGUGGUAUUUUUUUCUCCCGUUGCAACGCACGGGCCCUUUUGCUAGUAAACACUAAACGACGGAGCAUCCUGCUUAGACAGGAACUAAAUGCCCACCUACCAGACUAGCAUGGCCAGGCCGAAUUUUCAGUCAUCCCACGCGUUAUCCAGGCACCAGUUUUUCUCACGCAGACCGCCCAGGCCUUCAACCAAACACGCUCUAAGUCUGUCUAAACAAUACUAACCGAACUAAAACAUAUAAACUAAAAAUAUGUUGGCUAUACCUUGCAUCUAGAGAUGUUCAAAGCAUAGCUGUACUGGAUGUAAAAGAAGUAUAGAUGCAUACUCCAAAUCCUCAGAGUCUGAGCAAAACGUGGUGUACUCGAAGAUGAAUUAGACCGAAUGAUUGACGCCAUCAAAGCUGGGCAUUGCCUCCAUUUGCACAGGAACUGCUUCCAUUCGCGCGUGAGGAAAUAUAUGCGAACUGUGGUGGGUGGUCUGCUAUAGGGGGUUGAUGGAGUUUAUAUAUUUAACAUUGUGUUCAGUUUGAAAUAUAAUUUUUGGAGAGUUAAUAUUGCCUUCCAAAUGAUAAAUGUAAUUUAAUUAAAGCUAUUGUUUGAUUCCAAGUAUAAAUUACUUUCAAUAGGAUAUGUCUUCCAUUAAUUGUUUGUCCACCUGAUUUAUAUCUUUUGACCCAAUUAAUAAUAUCUUCCCAAUCCCAUAAUAUGGACGUGUGACGACAUGCCUUUUCCUAUCGCUUUGUACGAUGAUGAUGACGUAGAAAUUUAUUAAAGGAAAUUUAUUUUCUUUUCCUUCUCCAUGUGGUCAUCUCUCUCAUGGAUAUGGGAUUGAAUCCUUAUACGUACAAGCAUCUUAUCUUUCUAUAUCCCAACCAAAAGAUAUCUUGCAGAACGAAAAUGGUUUCCAUUUGACCAGCAAAAUCAUACUUACCAUUUGAUCAAUCUUCGGCAACAUAAUUAAUAUUGUUCAUUUCUUUUUAGUAACCCAAUAAAUUCAGGUCUCGCUAUAAUGAAGGCCAAGGCCAGUCUUCCAAGUGUUCGCAUUAUUUUUAGUAUCCCAAUACAUUCGGAUCUCCAUAUAAUAAAGGCGAGCCUCCCAAUCCUUCAGUGGUCACAAAAUAUAGAUAUUUCCCCUGAAUGCACCCGUGUCAUCUGUCUCAUGCGUGUAUAAGAAAAGUUUUUUUUAACUCUCACUAAUAUAAUAUAUAUACAAACAUACAUAUAUAUAUAAUGUGUCUAUUUUGGCGAAAAAUUAAACUUUGUGUUGGAUUGAGUGCAAGAGCAAGACAGUAAAUUUCUAGGAACAUAAGUUGAAAUCAUUGUGUGAUUUUACAUUCUUUUUGGCACAUUAUUAAUACUAAAAUGAAAUUAAAUUAAAUUUUCAAUGUUCGUGUGUCAAUUUGAUGCCAAUGAUGUCUUGCUGUUGUUGAAUAUAUAAUGAAAUGUUGUUGUAGUCAGCCUUUUCUUAUGCCACUAUGUUUUCUCUGAAGUAGAGUUUCUACAUUGGCUGACCAACCAUUUGCUAUUGACAUGCAUGUUUAAAAAUAAUUGAUACACCUUAACUGCAACAUCUUUAGGAUGUUGAUGCCAUAUGUAGAGUCAAGUAGUAAUAUCGACUAUAGAUUAAGGGGAGUCUUUUGAACUAUUAUUUCGAGAUACAAGUUAUUUUACCUGAGAUUGAUUUGUGAAAAACGCAAGUUGGUCUGGAUAAAUAAGAGAUAAAUAAAAUUAUAAUCACAUUUCAUUAUUCCUUAUGUAUAAUUUGACUUUGAACGAUUACAGCAUAAAUGUUGUCAAGGACCGAUGAAACGCCUAACAAUCUAACAUAUUAAUAUUAUAAAUUAUCUAAUAAUAUUGGACACAUCUUCAUGCUUGGUCUUUUGAAGGCGGUGGUGGCUUGCUGUCGCAGACUUUGAUAUGCUUAAAAACCAUCUCCCUCAACUGAGUAAUCUGCUCCAGUGAUAACCCACCAGUAUAGUGGAUGGCAACAGUUUUCGAGGGUAGAGUAUUCAACUCAAAUUUAUUGAUUCGACUCAAGGGGAGGCAAAGAAUAUUCACGAGUAUUAGCAGAUGAGUUGUCAAUUCAACCACACCUGAAAGACUUAAUAUCUGCAGCAAAGUAUUUAGUAGUAAAGUAGUAUGGAAGUAACUGUAACGGUGGCAAACGUGACAGUAGCAGUUUUGUAGUGAUUGUAACAUUAGCAACAGAAAAAGUAACUUGGCAAAGAUUAAUAUAUGGAAAGCUCGUAGGCAAUGGAUCAGUGAUGGAUAAUUAUGUCGUAUGGCAUUCAUCAUGCAACAGUCAUAACAUAGGGUGAUACAAGACUAGCUCCAAUUCAUCAAUGUAAUGUAGGCAUGUAUUGCAUAUAUAGUCAUACGUGCUUAUGGAAAAGAACUUGCAUGACAUCGUUUGUCCUACCCUCCCGUGGCAGCGGGGUCCUAAUGGAAACUAAGGGAUAUUAAGGGCUCCUUUCAAUAGAGAACCGGACCAAAGCAUUAGCACUUAGUGAAUACAUGAACUCCUCAAACUACGAUAAUCACCGGAAAGAAUCCGAGUUAUUGUCACCCUGGGGGAUGUGGAUCAUAACUCGUAAUAGGUGUCUACAACUUGCAAGAUAGGAUCAAGAACACAUAUAUAUUCAUGAAAACAUAAUAGUUUCAGAUCUGAAAUCAUGGCACUCGGGCUCUAGUGACAAGCAUUAAGCAUAGCAAAGUCAUAGCAACAUCAAUCUUAGAACAUAGUGGAUACUAGGGAUCAAACCAUAACAAAACUAACUUGAUUACAUGGUAAAUAUCAUCCAAACCAUCACCGUCCAGCAAGCCUACAAUGGAAUUUCUCAUGAAUGGCGGAGAGCAUCAUGAAAUUGGUGAUGAAGGAUGGUUGGUGAUGACGACGACGUCGAUUUCCCCUCUCCGGAGCCCAAAUCAGACUCCACAUCUGCCCUCCCGAGGAAGAACAGGAGGUGGCGGCUGAUUCGUAUCGUAAACACGAUGAAUUCUCCUCCUUGAUUUUUCCUCCCGUAAUAGGAAUAUAUAGAAGUGGAAACGAGGUCGGAGGAGACACAGGGCCCCACAAGAUAGGGGGCGCGCCCUGCAGGCUUGUGGCCAGGUGGUGGCCCCUCUCCGGUUGAUUCUUUCGCCAAUAUUUUUUAUUAAUUCCAUAAAUAUUCUCCGUAAAUUUUCAGGUCAAUCUGAGAACUUUUAUUUCUGCACAAAAAUAACACCAAGGAAAUUCUGGUAUCCCGGUAGCCCUUUAUGAGACCGCAAAACAUAAAUGCAGAGCACCUCUGAAGAACAAGGACUGACUAGACAUUGUAAUUCAUGGUAAAAGAGAUCCAUUCAUACCCGUUCUCAAUAUCAAUUGAUAACAAAGCAUACAAAUGAUGGAGAUGCUCUCUAACUGGUGCCUUUUAUAAGAAGAGGAUGACUCAAUAGUAAAGUAAAAAUAGAUUGGCCCUUCGCACAGGGAAGCAUUGAUUUAUAGAGGUGCGAGAGCUCUAGCUUUCAAAACAAGGAUGAAUCAAAAUUUUGGGCGGUAUGCUUUCAUUGUCAACGUAACAACUAAGAGAUCUCAAUAUCUUCCAUGCUAGAUACAUUAUAGGCGGUUCCCAAACAGAAUAGUAAAGAUUUUACUCUCCCUCCACCAAUCGGUCACACUGCACGGCGGGUCAAAUCCAUGGGUACCGUCCAUACAAACAAAAAUCCCGAGGGAGUUUUGUUUUAUUAUACUUUGAUUUGACUUUUGAGCAUGGAACUGGGCAUCCCGAAUACCAGCCACAUUCUCGUGAAUGAUAGUGAAUCAACACAUAUCGUGAGAAUAACCCACCUAGCAUGGAAGAUACUGACAACCCCUAGUCACUACAUGAGCUAUUCAGGCAUACAAAAUAGGAUAUUUAUUUGAAGGUUUAGAGUAUGGCACAUGCAAAUUUACUUGGGAUGGCAGGUAAAUACCGCAUAUAGGUAGGUAUGGUGGACUCAUACGAAACAACUUUGGGUUUAUAGAAAUGGAUGCACAAGAAGUAUUCCUGCUUAGUACAAGUGGAGGCUAGCAAGAGACUGGGAAGCGACCAACUAGAGAGCAACAACAGUCAUAAACAUGCUUUGAUAUUAACCAACAUUGAAUGCAAGCAUGAGUAGGAUAUAAAUCACCAUGAACAUAAACAUCGUGGAGGCCAUGUUGGUUUUGUUUCAACUACAUGCGUGAACAUGUGCCAAGUCAAGCCACUCGAAUCAUUCGGAGGAGGAUACCAUUCUAUCAUACUACAUCAACCAUUUUAAUAUGCAUGUUGGCACUCAAGACAAACCAUUAUUCACUCCUAGCGAAUUAAGCAUGGCAUAAGAAACUAUAAUCUCUAAUUGUCAUUGCAAACAUGUUCAAUCCAUAACGAGCUGAAUCUAGAACGAUGAGCUAAUAAUAUUUACAAAAAACAAAAUAGGUCGAGUUCAUACCAACUUUUCUCCAUCUCCGUCACUUUAUCAUAUAUCGUCAUUAUUGCUUUUCACUUGCACGACCGAAUGGUGUGAAUAAUAAUAAUAAGAGUGCAUGUGCAUUGGACUAAGCUAAAUAUGCAAGCAAUAACUCAAAGGAGAAGGCAAGGUAAUAUGAGCUAUGUGAUAGAUAAAUGAUAAUGCAUAUGAGAGCCACUCAACAUGUCAUCGUGCUCUUCUCCUUAUGACCCAAAGAAGAAAGAACAACUAUUUACACGGGAAAGCCCCCAACAAGCAAAAGAAGAACGAGAAAUAUUUUCGGUUUUUAUUUUAACACUUCAAGUAAACAAACUAGAAGGUAAAGCUAGAAUUUUUUUUUGGAUUUCCUCAAGGUUAAUGAAACACACAAGAAGAAAACAAAAAUGAGAAAUAAACUACCAUGGAUGGUACAAUGAAAAAGUAUGAACACGGACAACUGGAAUGAGUGUGUGAACAUGAAUUUAAUGUUGGUGAGAAAUACGUACUCUUCCAAGCUUAGGCUUUUGUCCUAAGUUGGUCUAGGGCCAUGGCUGGCCCGGAUAAUAUCCAAAAUCAUAGUUGGGGUUGUACUGGGUUGCGUCGGCUGCCGCCUGAAUGACUUCAGCGCGGAGGCGAGCGGCUUUCGCCUCUCUCUCAUACUCGUUUGCCUCCUCUCUGGUUAUAAAGUAUCUCCGUUUUUCCAGAAAUUUAAAGAAGGCCGGAGCAGGAACGGUAAUAUGGACAACAUGUUGUUUACCAAAAAUUAGUCGGUACAGGAGGGGUUGUUCAUUUCUCUUAAGAAAUUGGUAGCGCACCAUAGCCUCAUAAUCAAGAAAAGCAAGUGGUAACCCUAUAUCACUCUCCCUUAUAGGUAUCCCAAGAUAAUUAGCUACACGGGUGGCAUAAAUUACACCAAAGAAAUCUCCAUCCUUAGCAUUUUUAUGUAGCCUCCUAGCAAUAAUAGCUCCCAAGUUAUAUCGUCUAUCACCCAUGACCGCACUCUUAAGAAUACUAAGGUCAGGCACUCAAAGGUGGCUAUGCUCAUGUUUACCGUUAAUACUUCUACCUAUGAAGAGAGCAAGAUAAUGUAUGGCAGGGAAGUGAAUGCUCCCCAAGGUAGCCUGUGUAAUAUUUCUAGUUUCUCCCAUAGUGAUGAUAGCAAGAAAAACAUUAUAUUCAGUUUUGUGAGGAUCACUAUGGCUACCCCAUUGUGGAAUUUUGCAUGCAUGGUUAAAAUCCUCUAGGUCCAUAGUAUAAGAUUCAUCAUAAAGAUUAAAUAGAACGGAAUGCUUAUUACACCUGGAUGAAAAUUCAAACCUCCGCACGAAGGAAUCAGUGAGUUGGUAAUAUUGCUGGCAUUUGUGUGAAACAAAAUCUUCAAGGCCAACAUUUUGUAUGUACACUUAAAAUUCUUCCUCGAAUCCGGCCUCGACCAUCAAUGGAUCCAACAACCAUUCACAAGGCCGCACUUGAGCCUCCCUUGGUGGUUCAAAGUCGGACACGUGUAUCACGAGUCUCAGGGUCUUCUUGCUCGAGGAACCACCUUGGUAUAUUCUCCUUAACAUUUUUCUUUCUUCGAAAAAUUUCAUUAACAUGAAAAGGGAUGUUGCCUUUGUUGUAAUCAAUAACAGCCCCUGCAGUAUUCAGAAAGGGUCUACCAAGGAUAAUCUACAAACUAUCGUCCUUGGGGAUAUCAAGAAUAACAAAGUACGUUAGGAUAGUACGUUUGCAACCACAACACGCACAUUCUCACAAAUACCAAUGGGUAAAGCAGUUGAUGUAUCUACCAUUUGCAGAGAAAUUUCAGUAGGUGUCAACUUAUUCAAAUCAAAUCUACGAUAUAAAGAGAAUGGCAUAACACUGACACCAGCUCCGAGGUCACAUAAAGCAGUUUUAACAUCAUUUCCUUCAAUAGAGCAUGGUAUAGUAGGUACUCCGGGAUCUCCUAGUUUCUUUGGUAUUCCACCCUUAAAAGUAUAAUUAGCAAGCAUGGUGGAAAUCUCAGCUUCCGGUAUCUUUCUUUUAUUUGUAACAAUAUCUUUCAUAUACUUAGCAUAAGGAGACAUUUUCAGAAUAUCAGUUAAGUGCAUACAUAAAAAAGAGAGGUCUCAUCAUUUCAACAAAGCGAUCAAAAUCCUCAUCAUCCUUCUUCUUGGAUGAUUUAGGAGGAAAGAGCAUGGGUUUCUGAACCCAUGGUUCUAUUUCUCUACCAUGCUUCCUAGCAAUAAAAUCUCUUUUAUCAUAUCUCUUAUUCCUAGGUUGUGGGUUAUCAAGAUCAAUAGCAGGUUCAAUCUCCACAUCAUUGUCAUUACUAGGUUGAGCAUCAACAUGAACAUCAUCAUUAAUAUUAUCACUAGGUUCAUGUUCAUUACAAAAUUGUGUCUCAGCAUCAGAAAUAGAGAUAUCUUUUGGGUUUUCAUCUGACUCUACAACAGGUUCACUAGCAUCAUGCAAAGUCCUAUCGUUAUUAUUUUUCCUUUUAUUAGAAGGACCAGGUGCAUCAAUAUUAACUCUUUGAGAGUCUUGCUCAAUUCUCUUAGGAUGGCCCUCAGGAUACAAAGGUUCCUCAGUCAUUCUACCACCUCUAGUCACAACUCUAAUAGAAUGAUCAUUGUUCUUACUAAUCAUCUCAUUGAGCAAAUCAUUUUGUGCGCCUUAAGUACUUGUUCUACUUGAGUAGUUACCAUGGAAGCAUGUUUACUAAUAACCCUAAGGUCAUUACCAAUUCUACUCAUGUAAUCACCCAAGCGAUCAAGCAUGUAAGCAUUAUGUUUAAUUGUCUACUAACAUAAGCAUUGAAUUUUUCUUGUUUAACAACAAAGUUAUCAAAUUCAUCCAAGCAUUGGCUAGCAGACUUAUUAUAAGGAAUAUCACCUUCAUCAAAUCUACGAAGAGAGUUUAACUCAACUAACUGUGUUGGGUUAUCAAGACCGUGUAUUUCUUCAAUAGAUGGUAGAUUCUUAACAUCUUCAGCUUCAAUACCUUUUUCUUUCAUAGAUUUCUUUGCCUCUUUCAUAUGUUCAUGACUGAGGAAUAGAAUACAUAUUUUCUUCAAAGUUGGUUUUGGAGGUGGUUCGGGAAUAGUCCAAUCAUUAUCAUUGCUUAAUAUAUUAUUCAAUAGUAGUUCAGCUUGUUCAAUAGUUCAUUCCGUGAAAACACAACUAGCACAACUAUCUAGGUGGUCCCUAGAAGCAAAGGUUAGUCCAUUAUAAAAGAUAUCAAGUAUUUCAUUUUUUUGAGAGGAUGAUCAUGCAAAGCAUUAAGUAACUUAAGAAGCCUCCCCCAAGCUUGUGGGAGUCUCUCUUCUUCAAUUUGCACAAAGUUAAAUAUUUCCUGCAAGGCAGCUUGUUUCUUAUGGGCAGGAAAAUAUUUUUCACAGAAGUAGUAAAUCAUAUCGUGGGGACGACGAACACAACGAGUAGUAAGAGAAUUAAACCAUAUCUUAGCAUCACCCUUUAAUGAGAACAGAAACAACUUCAGAAUAUAGUAAUAACGAAUUUUUUCCUCAUGAGUAAAUAGGGUGGCUAUAUCAUUCAAUUUAGUAAGGUGUGCCACAACAGUUUAAGAUUCAUAACCAUGGAAAGGAUCACAUUCUACCAAAGUAAUUAACUUAGAAUUGACAGAGAAUUCAUAAUCCUUAUCAGUAACAAAGAUAGGUGAAGUAGCAAACUUGGGAUCAUAUUGCAUUCUAGCAUUCAAAGAUUUCUCCUUCCACUUGCAUAGCAAUUUCUUAAGAUCAUCUCUAUCCUUACAAGCAAGAAAGUCCCUAGCUACUUCUCCUUCAAUAACAUAACCCUUAGGUAUAUUAGGAAAUUCAUAUCUAGGAGAGCUAGGUCUAGAAAGUGCAUCAUUGUGUUCAGUUUCAAUAAUUUCAUCAGAUUCAGAAAUAUCAUCAGUUUCAGCAUUCACUCUAGCAAUUUGUUCAUCAAGAAAUUCACAAAGUGGCACAAUAGUAUCAAGCAAAGUAUCACCAUAAGUAUCAUGCAUAACAGAAGUAGCAUCAUCAGUUACUUGCAGCAUAUUAGAUUCAGUAGCAGGUGGUGAUGUCACAAAUUUACUCAUAACAGAAGGUGAAUCAAGUGCAGAGCUAGAUGGCAGUUACUUAUCUGUCCUCGUAGUUGAGGGGUAGAUAUUGGUUUUAGCGUCUUUCAGAUUCUUCAAAGUAAUCAACAUAUAUAAAUUCCAAGUGACUCAGAGAAUAGAGUUAUGCUCCUCGGCAACAGUGCCAGAAAAAGGUCUUGAUAACCCACAAGUAUAGGGGAUCGCAACAGUUUUCGAGGGUAGAGUAUUCAACCCAAAUUUGUUGAUUCGACUCAAGGGGAGCCAAAGAAUAUUCUCGAGUAUUAGCAGCUGAGUUGUCAAUUCAACCACACCUGAAAGACUUAAUAUCUGCAGCAAAGUAUUUAGUAGAGAAGUAGUAUGGAAGUAAUGGUAACGGUGGCAAACGUGACAGUAGCAGUUUUGUAGUGAUUGUAACAAUAGCAACGGAAAAGUAACUUGGCAAAGAUCAAUAUGUGGAAAGCUCGUAGACAAUGGAUUAGUGAUGGAUAAUUAUGUCACGUGGCAUUCAUCAUGCAACAGUCAUAACAUAGGGUGACAUAGAACUAGCUCCAAUUCAUCAAUAUAAUGUAGGCAUGUAUUCCAUAUAUAGUCAUACAUGCUUAUGGAAAAGAACUUGCAUGACAUUGCUUGUCCUACCCUCCCGUGGCAGCAGGGUCCUAAUGGAAACUAAGGGAUAUUAAGGCCUCCUUUUAAUAGAGAACCGGAGCAAAGCAUUAGCACUUAGGGAAUACAUGAACUCCUCAAACUACGGUAAUCACCGGAAAGAAUCACAGUUAUUGUCACCCUGGGGGAUGCGGAUCAUAACUCGUAAUUGGUGUCUACAACUUGCAACAUAGGAUCAAGAACACAUAUAUAUAUAUUCAUGAAAACAUAAUAGGUGAAGAUCUGAAAUCAUGGCACUCAGGCCCUAGUGACAAGCAUUAAGCAUAGCAAAGUCAUAGGAACAUCAAUCUCAGAACAUAGUGGAUACUAGGGAUCAAACCCUAACAAAACUAACUCGAAUACAUGGUAAAUCUCAUCCAACCAUCACCCUCCAACAAGACUAUGAUGGAAUUACUCACAAACGGAGGAGAGCAUCAUGAAAUUGAUGACGAAGGAUGGUUAGUGAUGACGACAGCGUCAAUAUACCCUCCCCGGAGCCCAAAUAAUACUCGAGAUCUGCCCUCUCGAGGUAGAAUAGGAGGUGACGGCGGCUCCGUAUCGUAAAGUGCGAUGAACUCUCCUCCUUGAUUUUUUCCUCCCCGAAUAGGAAUAUAUAGGAAACGAGGUCGGAGGAGCCAUAGGGGCCCCAGAGGACAGGGGGGCGCGCCCUAGAGGCUUGUGGCUAGGUGGUGGCCCGUGUCGAGUUGAUUCUUUUGCCAAUAUUUUUUAUUAAUUCCAAAAAUAUUCUCCGUAAAUUUUCAGGUCAAUCCGAGAAAUUUUAUUUCUGCACAAAAAUAAUAUCAAGGCAAUUGUGAUAAAAACAACGUCAGUCCGGGUUAGUUGAAUUCAAAUCAUGCAAAUUAUAGUCCAAAACAAGGGCAAAAGAGUUUGGAAAAGUAGAUACGUUGGAGACGUAUCAUAGAGCAAAGAUUCCAGCAAUAACCUAUUAUACUGGACUGCCUCCAUCACGUCACACAUGAGUUCAUAAUAAACUGAAUGUUGUUAACUUAUUGAGAAAAUGUACCUUUAGGUGUGUAGGGACAUAAUUAUCCACAACUAUUCCACCAACUUGAUAGUUACUCAUACAUCUCUUCACCUACGAAGAAGGAAUUAUGAAUCCGACACCCCAUUAUUUCAAAUCUUCCUCGGAGAAAUCACUACAGAAUUACUUAGUACACGGUUUCAGAAGAACUAAUAGGUACAUUUUUGUAAAUUUCUCAAAGGGUCAUGGUCCUGUCCCUGCAAAAAUCUUGCAAGGUUUGCAAAAAAGCAGAAUAAUCAUUGUCGCUCAUGUAAGAGCAUGCGUGCAGUCAUGAGGUAAUCGAAUAUCAAGUUAGCAACCUCAACCAAACAGAAGGAGCAACCAUGAGAAUUUUUUCACCACCUUCAGUUUGGAAAGAAAAACAAUUGAUUUUUGUAGCAAGGAAAGUGCAAUCAUGUCCUUAAUCAUAUUUUGAUGUUUCACACAACUAACAAACAUGAAACUAAUCAUCUUAAUCGAGUGUAUCUCAGGUUUCGUUCCCAUGAGAGUUUCUGUAUGGAUCAUGACUAAUUUGUCCAUGAUGCUCAAGAAUGAAGAAACAAGACGAAGAGGUCUAUCAUUUUAUUUGUCUUUCUUGAGUAUAGGGACCCUGCACUAUUAAGAGGCGAUCACUGAGUCUCGACAGAAACUUGCUCAAAACUAUUAGAAAAUCCUCUUUCUAUCUUCCUGGUUGAUCUGCUCCUAUUCGGUCAUCCGGUGGUUCUCGGACGUCCAGACCCCAGAUGGCCGAUGCCGUCCAGAAUCCUGAGCUAGCCAACAGAUCUAGAAUGACGGACUUCCGGCCCCUCCGGUCGUCCGAGGACCUGGUGUCCGGGUACGGUAGGAAUUCCGUGGCCACCCAACAAAUCCAAAAUGUCGGACUUCUGACCAUUCCGGGCUACCGUGCCCCCGACGGCCGAUGCCCUUCGGAUGUUCGUGCGUUGUUCACUUGUUCACCUCAUGCUGACCUAAUAUCUUCUAUGUCUUCGGACGACCGACGUCCUCUGGACGAUCGUAUGCUGAUCAUCUCUCCACCAAAUAAUGCGGUAAUCAGAUGCAUUUUGCAUCUUCGGACGAUCGACCACUAUCGGACGUCCGACCCUUCGUGUGUGGCCGGACGACCGUGAACUGCCGAACGUCCGGCAACUGCACAACAUAAGUGGCUCCAAUGGUCACUUUCCUACCACCACUAUAUAUAGGCUUCCCCCACCUCGAGUGAGGGUAGUUGAACACAGGUGAAACACUCUAAGAAUAUAUUUUUCUCUCACUCCCAUUUGCUUACACCAAAUCCUAGAUCCCAAGAGCAUUUGUGAGCCCCUUUGAGUGUUGUUCCAAUCAAAAGAUGGAUCGUCUCCCUCUCCUCCUCUCAACCCAAGCUAUUUGUGAUUUGAGAAAGUUUUGAUCAGUCCCCGUGAUAUUUUUACUCUUGGAGGUUGGAGACUCCUAGGCGGUAGGAGUUCUUCGGAGAGGAAUCAAACCUCUGUGAUUUCCCCUCGAAAGUUUGUGGGGGUUUGGAAGCCAGCUCAAAGGCUUACCACUAGUGGUUGAGAAACACCUUCGUGGUGUUGUCUCAAGAAUAGAAUAGGGUGAGCCUUCGUGGCGUUGGUGUUCCUUCAUGGUAACACCCACCUCGCUAAAUGGUGAUGUAGAUUCCCUCCAAGGAAGUGAAGAUCGGGAUACAUCCUUGUCUCUCAGAGUUGCGGUUAUCCCUAACCUUAACUUCCUACUUGUUGCUAGUCUUUGAUUACUUACUUGUGCUUUAUUAUAUCCUACUUGUUGUCGUGCUUGGUUCACAAACCUUACCCUUCACCCUUGCAAUUGUUAGGCUCAUUUUCAUAAUCCGCAUUAUUGCCUAAAAUUGCUAUGUAACCGAUAAAAUUUGUAACUGUACCUAUACACCCCCCCCCCCUCUAGGUCCAUCUCGAUCCCUUUCAUUUGGUAUCAAAGCCUCGUGCUCAAUUCUUUUGGCUUAAUCGCCCUAGAGCGAGAUGAACCCCGAUGGGACUCCCGUAGUUGCAGAUCAAAUGGAGAAGGGCGCGACUUCCACGGAAGUCAAGUCCUUCACUUCUGAGGAUCUAGAACGGGCCCUUGCUAAGAAAAAGUAGGAGCAUGAUGCUUCUCUUGAGGCCUUGGUCCAAAUGAGACUAGCCACAUUAUCCACGAUGAUGGCAUCACCUCCAAGUGGUGGGGCCUCAAGGCCAAAUGUGCCCAGUUCUUCACCUCGCCAACAACCUCCUGGCAAUGACCAAACUAGUAUUCCAUAGCUUUAUGCUAGACCUCAAGUUGAGAAACCUAAGUACAAUCCUCGAGGAAAACCUCCUUUGCUUGAUGACAAUUCCGAUUUUGCUUUGUGGAGAGUUGGUAUGCAAGAUCAUCUUAGGUAUGCCAAUGAUCAAAUGUUGGACAUUCUGGAGCAUGGCUACCAUCGUGUCGACCCAAAGAGUCUCACUCCAAGAGAAACUUAUGACAAGCAUCUCAAUGACACUGCAAUCAUGUGCAUAAGAAAAGGAAUGAAUGAUAAGAAACGGAGACCUUACAUACACAUCACAAGCGCCAAGGAAUUAUGGGACAACAUUGUAAGGACCAAGACCGGUACCUCCACCCUCCGGCUUGCUCAGUAGGAAAUUGCCAAGGGGCAAUUACAGAAAUUUUGUAUGGAAAAGGGUGAAUCCCCCAAGCAGCUUCUAGAAUGGCUCAUGACUCUCACCACCGACAUUGAGUCCUGUGACUGUGACAAGACACAAGAUGGAUUCAACCUGACCAAGAGAUUUCUCGUGGACAAGCUACUUCAUGCCCUUGCUCCAUAUCAUCACCAAAUGGUGUGGGAUACAAGACAACAAUACAGGUUCAAGGAAAUGACUCUGUAUGACAUCAUAUCCACUUUCCAACUAUUCGAAGAGUCAAAGGCAAAUGCUACAAAACAUCUUGCCAUGCAUGGUACCUCAACGUCAAAGAUCAAUGUUGCCUUGAAGGCCAAGCAUGAAUGUGAGGAAGAGCAAAGUGAAUAAGAAGGCGAUGUUGAUUAUGAAGAUGGAGAUGAGAUUGACUACGAAGGGAUCCCAUCAUAUGAAGAUAUUGCCCUUUUUGUAAAGAAGUUUAGUGCAGGAAAAUUCAAGGGAAGAUUCUAGAAGAAGGAGGUGAGAAAAUGCUACAACUGUGAGGAAACCAACCACUUCUCCAUGAUUUCCCUUAUGAGAAGAGAGAAGAUAAACCAAGGUUUCCCAAGACCUUUGCAAAGAAGAAGUUGCCAUACCCUAUGGACUCCAAGCUCAAGAGGAGAGAUGGGAAAGCAAUGGUUGCACAUAAAGAAUCAGAUCCAGAAGAUGUUGGUGGGGUUGCCGGAGUAGCUCAAGAUUCACAAAACACCUUGAGGUUAGUCAACAAGAGUGGUGAUGUUGUCGCCUAAAACUAUAUGACAGACUACAAGGGAAACGCUCACAAGUGCUUGAUGGCAAAGGCUGUUAUAGAAUAUGGGUGCUACCUCUUGAGCUUGAGUUGGUUUUUCGCUUGAAGAGGAAAGGGUGAUGCAGCACGGUAGCAGUAAGUAUUUCCCUCAGUUUGAGAACCAAGGUAUCAUUCCAGUAGGAGAAUCAAGCCAAGUCUCCAAAGUACAUGCGCACAAACAGCAAACUUGCACCCAACGCUACAAAGGGGUUGUCAAUCCGUUCACGAUUGAUUGCAAGGUGAGAUCUGAAGGCGGAAAGUGCAACAAAGUAAAAGUGUAAGGCUAAAAAUAUGAUGUAAAGUAGACCCGGGGGCCACAGUGUUCACUAGAGGCUUCUCUCAUGAUAACAAAUAUUACGGUGGGUGAACGAAUUACUGUCGAGCAAUUGAUAGAAUCGCGCAAAGUCAUGACGAUAUCUAAGGCAAUGAUCAUACAUAUAGGCAUCACGUCUGAGACAGGUAGACCGAUACUUUCUGCAUAUACUACUAUUACUCCACACAACGACUGCUAUCCAGCAUGCAUCUAGUGUAUUGAGUUCAUAACAAACAGAGUAAUGCCUUAAGCAAGAUGACAUGAUGUAGAGGGAUAAAUUCAUGCAAUAGAUAUAAACCCCAUCUUUUUACCCUUGAUGGCAACAACACGAUACGUGCCUCGCUACCCCUUCUGUCACUGGGUGAGAUCACCGCACGGUAUGAACACAAAACCAAGCACUUCUCCCAUUGCAAGAACUGUAGAUCAAGUUGGCCAAACGAAACCCACAACUCGAAGAGAAUUACGAGGAUAUGAAAUCAUGCAUAUAAGAGACCAGAAGAAACUCAAAUAAGAUUCGUAGAUAAUCUGAUCAUAAAUCCACAAUUCAUCGGAUCUCGACAAACACACCGCAAAAGAGGAUUACAUCGGAUAGAUCUCCAUGAAGAUCAUGGAGAACUUUGUAUUGAAGAUCCAAGAGAGAGAAGAAGCCAUCUAGCUACUAGCUAUGGACCCGAAUGUCUAUGCUGAACUACUCACGCAUCAUCGGAGAAGCAAUGGUGUUGAUGGACAAGCCCUCCGUGUCCGAAUCCCCCCUCCGGCAGGGCACCAGAACGUGCCCUAGAUGGGAUCUUGCGGAGACAGAAGCUUGCGGCGGCGAAAAAGUAUUUUCGUGGCUCUCUCCCGUGGUUUCAGAUUUUUAGGGGAUUUAUAGGCGGGAGAACUAGGGCAGGGGAGCCACAGGGGGCCCACAAGCCUGCUAGGGCCCCCCUAGUCCGGGCCUGGGUGGCUUGUGACCUCCUCCGAGGUCCCGUGCCUUGGUUCUCAAGUUUCCCGCGUGUAUUCUGUUCCUGAAAAAAUCUUUUCGGAGGUUUUAUUCUGUUUGGACUCCGUUUAAUAUUCUCCUAUGAAAAAGCUCAAAAACACAGAAAAAACAGGAACUAGCACUUUGCACUGAGUUAAUAGGUUAGUCCCAAAAAAGAUAUAAAAUAGCAUAUUCAUGCAUACAAAACAUCCAAAGAUGACAAGAUAAUAGCAUGGAACCAUAAAAAAUUAUAGAUACAUUGGAGACGUGUCAAUGGGGAGGACCAAAACUCCCCUCACAAGGUUAAGGUAACUCCACGCUCAACUUCCUUCCGUCUAUUGUCUACUCCUUUAGAUGAGUAUAUUGAUGCGGAGGAUCACUAUGAUGAUGACGAUAUAGAUAAUCCUAUGAUUGCUAAAAUAAAUAAAUAAAUUCAUGUGCUCCCUUAAAGGAAAGAAGCUCACUAUGUUUUGUAUGCUUAUGGAAAUGGUGAGUAAACACACCAAUACCAUUAAGGAAGUCGAAACCCUCUUCACUGAGGAAAAGUAAAAGAACAAAAUCCUUGAGAGGAAAGUCCAAUAUGAGGAAGCACAAAAUGAUGAUCUAUGCUUAAAAAUUGGUGCAAACCUUGAUAAUCAUGCUACCAAUCUUGCCUCCUUGGAAAUGGGUGAGAACUCGUGCAAGGAGUUAAUGAAUGAUAAAAGUAAGCUUGUGAAAUCUCAUGCUUCUCUCUCUAAGGAUUGUGAGCUUUUAUCUGUGUCCCUCAAGUCUACAGAAGAGGAGCUCACUCUUCUUACAAAGAGCUUUGAGACACUCAAACUUACUUAUCUUGAAACUCUAGCCAAGGUUUACUCCUCGCCUAUUAUCAAUGUUGAUACUUGUACUACUAACUCUAGUGGUGACCUAGCAUAUAUUCUUGAGGAAAACCAUUUUCUAAGGGCACAACUAGAGAUAGGACUCAUGACAUGUGCUCGAGGGCAAAAUAAUCUUAAUGAGAUUUUGAGCCAACAAAAUGAGGUGUUUGCCAAGGAAGGGCUCGGGUCUGACCCAAGCACAAGCAAGAAAAAUAUGUCUCCCCUCAAGUGCACCACCCCUCUCAAAGAAACAUUUGUAAGAGAAGGGCACAAGGAGAAAGGUAAGGUUGUGAGUGGAAAGACCACUAGGGGCAUGCCCGCUCUCAACAAGCCAAAAGAUUUCAUGCCUCCAUCCUAUGUACUUCGUAAAACAAAGGAUGGAGAGGUUUAUGCUAAAUUUGUAGGUCCUCGUAAUGCAUUCCGGUUCUAUGCUAUUUGGGUCCCUAAGACCCUUGUGAGUAACUUGAGAGGUCCCAUUGUAAAAUGGGUGCCUCUAACCAAGUCAUAAAUUGUGUGUACGUUGCUUUCUCUGGUGGAGUCAAAUGGGUGAUCGAUAGUGGAUGCACAAACCAUAUGACUGGAGAUAGCAAAUUGCUUUUUGAUUUCAUGGAAGCUAUUCCACCAUUUAUGAGCAUUGUGUUUGGUGGAGGACCAAAAGGACAGGAACUCGGGUUGGGCAAGGUGGCGAUCACAAAUGACAUGUCUCUUGCAAAUGUCAUGCUUGUCCAAUCCCUUAAAUGCCAUUUGCUUUAUUUUCGCCAAUUAGCUUGUGUUGGUUAUGAUACACUAUUUGGACUAACGGAUGUGAAUGUCUUUAAGAGAGAUACUCUCGAAGUGGCUUUUGUUGGAGAGUUGGAUGGCAACCUUUACACGGUUGAUUUCUGGAAAGAUAGCACAUUCCAUGCAACUUGUCUAAUGGCCAAGGCCCAUAAGGGAUGGCCAUGGGAUCGUCGGCUAGCCCAUGUCGGCAUGAGUAAUCUUUAAAAUCUCUUAAAGGGUAAUCACAUCCUUGGACUAACCAAUGUCUCUUUUGAGAAAGAUCGUGUGUGUAGUGCAUGCAUAUCCGGGAAGCAACAUCACUCAAAAGCACCCACCCAAGAAUAUUGUAUCUACUUCAAGGCCUUUGGAGCUCCUUCAUGUGGAUCUUUUUGGGCCUCCGCCAUGGGAUAGUCUUGGUGGGAAAUAGUAUGGACUUGUCAUUGUUGAUGAUUAUUCAAGAUAUACAUGGGUGUUUUUCCUCAAGUCCAAGGACGAGACGAAGAUCACCUUCAUUGAUUUUGCCAAGCAAGCCCAACGCAAGUUUGACAAAGCAAUCUUGGCAAUAAGAAGUGACAAUGGCUCCGAGUUCAAGAACUACACCUUGGAAGAAUUUCUUAGUGAUGAAGGGAUUGAGAAUCUAUAUUCGCACCCUACAGUCCUCAACAAAGUGGUGUAGCCGAGAGGAAGAACCGUACACUUGUGGAAAUGGUGAGGUCCAUGUUGGACGAAUACAAGUCACCACAUAGUUUUUUGGCUGAGGCUGUCAACACAUCAUGCCAUGCAUCAAACCGGCUCUUCCUCCGCCCAAUAUGAGAUAAGACUCCAUAUGAGCUCCUAAUCUGGAUCAAGCCAAAUGUCAAGUACUUACGUGUAUUCGGGUGCAAGUGUUUCAUAAUCAACAAACGAGAACGGUUAAGAAAAUUUCAAUCCAAGACAACUAAGGGGAUAUUUGUUGGUUAUGGAUCAAACUCUCACGCCUAUAGAGUCUACAACAAAUCCAAUGGUUGUGUUGUAGAAACUUGUGACGUGAUGUUUGAUGAAUUUAACGGCUCCCAUGGGGAGCAAGUUGAUCUAAGUGAUGCAGUUGAAGAAGAUCCCUCUCAAGAUAUUUUGACCAUGGGUAUUGGUGCCCUUCUUCCAAUGGAACAAGAAACUCAUGAUGAUGAAGAAUAAGAAGGAAGUUUACCUCAUCCUCAAGUCGACUCAACACCCAUACCUCCACAAGAUCCUAGUGCUCAAACCAUGAAGUUGUUCAGGAUCAAGAAGGAGAACACGUCCCUCACCACGAUCACAUUCAAGAACAAGAUCAUCGUCAAGAGCUGAAGUUGAACCUCGUGAAACCCUGACCUCCAUCAUGCCACGAGCAUGUGCUUGAUGGUUCUGACUGGCUCCUUGCUGCCCAUCACCGCCUUAAUCGUCAACACGCCCCCGGUAUAUAGCUGCUCGGCGAAAGUAUAUAUAUAGCCUUUAGCUUCAGCAUGCAGUCGUAUGGAAGAUUGGCGGCUCGUGAACCUACAAAGGACACAUCAGUAUGUGAUAGUUUUUUGGGAGACCAGAUUAUUUCUUCAACAGGCAAUGGUUAAUGCUUACCAAAAUAGCGACAAUCAUGUUGGAAAUGUGCUUUUUUAAGCCGGAAAGCUCUUGCUCGGCGGCUUCCAAUUUUUCCUCAGCUUGCUCAGCACGCUUAAGGAUGGUGGCUUGGUCAGCCUUGGCUUUCUUCUCCAGUUUUUGAUGGUCAGCCAUCAUCCUCUCCAGCUCAGCCACAAUCAAGCGGUAUUUCCUCUCUGACUCAGAUUGUGCAUCUUGUUGUUCAGCCAGAUUCUUCCUUAAGUCGGUUAAAGCCGACUCAGUCUGGGUCAUAGACUCCUGCACAUAAAAUUUGGGGAGACAAGUUUCAACAUUAUUGCAAGCAAUACUCCUGACACUUGGGGGCUAAUGUAUGGUUUUAUUCAAAGUCAUACCGUAUUUGAGACCCGGCUCAUCUUUCAAAAGAUGACCCGGCCCUUGGGGGCUACAGGUUGAAAAUUUUAACUAUAUUCAAGACCCGGCUCAUCUUUCAAAAUAUGACCCGGCCCUUGGGGGCUACAGGUUGAAGAUUUUAACUAUAUUCAAGACCCGGAUCAUCUUUCAAAAGAUGACCCGGCCCUUGGGGGCUACAGGUUGAAGAUUUUAACUAUAUUCAAGACCCGGAUCAUCUUUCAAAAGAUGACCCGGCCCUUGGGGGCUACAGGUUGGAGAUUUUAACUAUAUUCAAGACCCGACUCAUCUUUCAAAAGAUGACCCGGCCCUUGGGGGCUACAGGUUGAAGAUUUUAACUAUAUUCAAGACCCGGAUCAUCUUUCAAAAGAUGACCCGGCCCUUGGGGGCUACAGGUUGAAGAUUUUAACUAUAUUCAAGACCCGGCUCAUCUUUCAAAAGAUGAGCCAGCCCUUGUAAGGCUAAUGGGUGGAAGAGAAUACAUAAGUAGACGUACCUCAUGCUUAACCUUCAUAAGAUGAAUCAAGCUUUUGUUCAUCUCAUAAUCCCUCUCUAGGUGACUUGCGAAGCCACAGCAAAGUUGGUCAAACUCCAGCCUCUCAUAAUGGGGGAGCUUGAAUUUACUGGUGUCUUGAUCAGGGGAAGGACGAGAUUCCUUGGAGGUAUGCUUGGACAGUAUCGCAACUGGAGGAGUCGAGUAGCCAAUACCGGUGACUACGACAUCAUCUGGAUCUUCAGUCGCCUUGAGAGGGCUUUGUGGGUUAACUUUGUCAGCGGUUUCCUUCAAAAUUACGGGCGAGUCAUCCCGGACAUCGGGAAUAUCGUCCACAGGAAUAUCAUGAGUCGCCGCUUGCUCCUCAUCAAUCUCUGGGACAAAGGUGCUCGUGCCUAAGGCUUCAGUUGUUUUAGGAGCAGAAGAUAAGUCGCCAGUUUUCCUUCUCUUCGCUUGUGCUCUGAGAAAAAGGCACCAAGAUUAAAAGCACAUAUCGUUGUUUACAAGAAAUUGGGAUUAACAAAGGGACUCACCCUUGCACACGAACCAUCGGCGGGAGAGCUGAUAUUGCUGAGUCACCAGAUGUAGGGGGAGAAGUCUGGUAGAAUAAAGGCUUAAAAGUUAAAGAAGUGGCGAGUCAUAUUUUACACAAGGAAGGGUAUGAUAAAACAAAAGUGUAACUCGCUAGUGCGCUUCCCACUGGUUGUCUUCUCAGGCAGUCCGGAGAUUAAGUCGCCAGAGUGACUACGGGUUUUGCGCUUGGGGGUAUAUCUUGCUUUCUUCAAAAGGAAAUCAGGGUCCAUAUAAGCAUAUGGGUGAGAUAUGGGCACUUUCCCACAGAUCCGUCUGGCUGGUCUAGGAGAAGGAGAAGGUGAGUCGGAAGAAAUAAAAAUUACCUCGACUGCAUCAUCUUGGCUCUCAUUGUCCUCGCCCUACACAUAAAGACGCAUGGUAUAAUCAUAAGUCGGAAUACACAUGUAAUGAGUGAGGGGGAAGUCUUACCUCUAAGUGUUAAUCGUCAGCUCGUGACUCAUCGACAACAGAUGAAUCUUUGGCGGCGGCUUUACCUUUGCUUGUUUUCUUCCUCUUCUUUGGUGGCGGCUUGGUGGUCUUUUGGGCGGUCACUUUGGGGCCGCUUCGCCAAAAUGGAUCACUUUUCUGAUGAAUAGAAGUGAAUUUCAAACCAAGAUCAUUGGUAAGUAUAAAGAAACGAAAGGCGGCUUGGAUUCUUACUGGCGGCACAGGGUUGGAGCGGCAGAAGGCCUUGAGCCCAAUCUUGGCACAUUCUUCCAAAGGCUCACCGAUUAGCUUCUUGAUGAUUCCAGCAAUUUCACUCUCUGAGAGUCUUUUGUGGUGGAAGCACUACGGAUGGUUUACCAUACCAUCAUAUUCAUACAUUAGCCCGUCUCGGCGACUCAAGGGAAGAAUAUUCCACUCCACCCAGCAGCGGAACAGAUCAAUCUCGAUGAGCCUGUUGUUGGUCAAAGACUAACUCGGAGGAAAUGGGGAUAAAUUCCGACUCUUCCUCUUCUGUGAGCUUCUCGGGCAGUUUGAUGUCCAUAGGAAGGCGAUCUACUCUGAAACCCGAGAGUGGGUUUUCGCCAGGUGCAGAGGUGUCCCGGCAAUAAAACCAUGACUCGGCCCAGCCCUUGGGAUGGUUGGGCAGAAUGACUGAUGGAAAUCCACACUCGCGAUGUCUUUGAGUAUUGACUCCUCCAAGUUCAUGGUUGGGACCGUUGGGAAACUCGGUCUGGCGAUUCAAAUGGAAGAAGUUCCAAAAUAAAGGAACUAUGGGCUCUCUCAGCAAGUAUACUUCACAAAAGACCUGUAACUGGCAAAGGUUGCUGAUGGAGUUGGGUCCCAGGUCUUGAGGAUGAACGUUAAGGAAAUGCAAGACGUCUCGAAAAAACUUUGACUCGGGCGGUUUAAAACCUCGUUCACGGUAAUCGGUAAAGAUGACUACUUCUCCUGCAGCGGGAUUGGGAAUCAACUCGCCCGGGGCGGUUCUCCAACCAAUGGUUUCCUUGUUGUCAAGAAGACCCGCCUUAACAAACUUCUCGAGAGCAUCAUCAUCAAUUUUUGUUGGUAACCAAUUGCACUUUGAAAUAGCCAUGACUACAAAAGAGAGGGGAACGAGGCGAUUCAGCAAAAACUAUGAAGUAUUCUAACUCGCCAGUAUGGGUCUACAUGUGACAGCCCGAGACCAACGCCCCAGAAGAUUCUCUUUAUUUCCGUUUCCGUCGUGUGGUUAUUUUAUUUUGUGGCCUCGUCAUUUAGUUUGCAUCAUCGCAUCAUGCAUGGCAUCUUGCAUCGUCUGUCACGUGUGGUGUUUUNNNNNNNNNNNNNNNNNNNNNNNNNNNNNNNNNNNNNNNNNNNNNNNNNNNNNNNNNNNNNNNNNNNNNNNNNNNNNNNNNNNNNNNNNNNNNNNNNNNNNNNNNNNNNNNNNNNNNNNNNNNNNNNNNNNNNNNNNNNNNNNNNNNNNNNNNNNNNNNNNNNNNNNNNNNNNNNNNNNNNNNNNNNNNNNNNNNNNNNNNNNNNNNNNNNNNNNNNNNNNNNNNNNNNNNNNNNNNNNNNNNNNNNNNNNNNNNNNNNNNNNNNNNNNNNNNNNNNNNNNNNNNNNNNNNNNNNNNNNNNNNNNNNNNNNNNNNNNNNNNNNNNNNNNNNNNNNNNNNNNNNNNNNNNNNNNNNNNNNNNNNNNNNNNNNNNNNNNNNNNNNNNNNNNNNNNNNNNNNNNNNNNNNNNNNNNNNNNNNNNNNNNNNNNNNNNNNNNNNNNNNNNNNNNNNNNNNNNNNNNNNNNNNNNNNNNNNNNNNNNNNNNNNNNNNNNNNNNNNNNNNNNNNNNNNNNNNNNNNNNNNNNNNNNNNNNNNNNNNNNNNNNNNNNNNNNNNNNNNNNNNNNNNNNNNNNNNNNNNNNNNNNNNNNNNNNNNNNNNNNNNNNNNNNNNNNNNNNNNNNNNNNNNNNNNNNNNNNNNNNNNNNNNNNNNNNNNNNNNNNNNNNNNNNNNNNNNNNNNNNNNNNNNNNNNNNNNNNNNNNNNNNNNNNNNNNNNNNNNNNNNNNNNNNNNNNNNNNNNNNNNNNNNNNNNNNNNNNNNNNNNNNNNNNNNNNNNNNNNNNNNNNNNNNNNNNNNNNNNNNNNNNNNNNNNNNNNNNNNNNNNNNNNNNNNNNNNNNNNNNNNNNNNNNNNNNNNNNNNNNNNNNNNNNNNNNNNNNNNNNNNNNNNNNNNNNNNNNNNNNNNNNNNNNNNNNNNNNNNNNNNNNNNNNNNNNNNNNNNNNNNNNNNNNNNNNNNNNNNNNNNNNNNNNNNNNNNNNNNNNNNNNNNNNNNNNNNNNNNNNNNNNNNNNNNNNNNNNNNNNNUCGUUGCUCGUUGCUUGCUUGUGUUGCUGCUGCCUGAUGCUUUGCUAGUUGUUGUGUAGCUAGUCGAUGCUUGCCUGCUAGUGUUGCUGUUCCGGUUGCCUGCUAGUUGCUAUGCUAGCUGCUGGAGUUUGUUGCUUGCUGUUGCCCUAUUGCCGAUGCAUCGUGCCGCUGCCUGUGCAUGCUUGCCUGCCUGUGCUGUUGUUGUUUGCCUUGGUGGCUUUGCUAGAUGCAACUAGGUGUAGUUGCUAGGCCAGGUUAUUGUUGCUAGUGCUAGUUGUCACUUUGCUAGUUGAAGUUGUUGAUGUGUCGCGUGCCGUCGCCGCGUGCAACAUCCCCGCCUGCCAUGGUUCGUCGACAAGUUUGCCGUGAACAUCGUCGCCCGCGUCGACCCCGGGAACGUGUUCGACUACCGAUGUGAACACCGUAACCGACGCCGCAGACCGUGAACCACGGCACCGAGCGAACGACUACCUUCGACGAGACCCGACGACCACGACUUCCACGACGUCCGCUACGAACCGAUCCGCUUCGAAUCGCACGCUUCGAAGGUAUACCGAUGAGACGUGUCGUGUAACGAACGAAUGUGAUGUAUGAGUUGUAUCGUGUGUUGCACCGUAUAUGUUGCCCGUUGCACGUUGUCCCUCUUAUGUUGUGCCCCGACACAUGGGAACCCGGUAACCGGGAUCACCCCAUCUUUAUUUAUCGUUCCCACACGCGUUCCCAGUACGUUGGCACGAUAUCUCGACGAGUUAUUGGGAUAGGAACGUUGUCGUGGCAUCGUUUCCGUCUUGCCACCAUGGUUCCCUCUCGCUCACCGUGGCGACACCUGUUUCUUUCUCUUCUUGCUCGUGAUGUUUGAACUCGCAUGCAUGGCGCAUUCAUGGCAUAAUAUAUUGUGUUGCAUGUCUCUUGUGCCGUAGCUCCGUUCUAAGUCUCGUGUGUUAACCGUCUAGGAUGCCACGUAGAACCGUCGCUUCACCCCUUGCCAUGUUAACAACAAUUAAAUAUUGCCGUGUAAAUAAACGGGAGUGAAUUAAAUAAUUAAGCGUGAAGUUUCGUCGAUAUGUAACUCGUUGCAUAUCGAGCUUCAUUUAAAGCGUUCUGUGAGAUCNNNNNNNNNNNNNNNNNNNNNNNNNNNNNNNNNNNNNNNNNNNNNNNNNNNNNNNNNNNNNNNNNNNNNNNNNNNNNNNNNNNNNNNNNNNNNCGAACUGAUCAUGCAUCAUACUAGGUUGUGCAUCAUGUUGUGCAUCGUGUGGUGAAUAUCUAUGUUGAUGUUUGUUACCGGUUUGCUCCGUCUCGAUAGAGUUCCGCAAGCGUCUCAGAAUGUGAGGACCCGUUCGACUACGAUGGUUCGCCGACUUCUUGGAGUUGUUCUUCUUCCAAGCGGGAUCUGAGGCAAGAUGACCAUUUCCCCAGAUACCAUUACUAUCAUUGCCAUGCUAGUUUUAUCGCUUCUAUCGAUUAUGUCUCGUUGCCUACCACAUGUUAAAUAUCAACCUCUCAACAAUGCCAUGAAACCUUCAACCUAUUCAACCUAGCAAACCACUGAUUGGCUAUGUUACUGCUUGCUUAACCCUGUUGAUAGCGUUGCUAGUUGCAGGUGCAGAUGCUUCCAUGUGAAAGCAUGGGUUCCUUGUUAUAUCACCAUUUUAAAUGCUAUUUAAUUUAAUGGACCUAUAUACUUGGUAAAAGGUGGAAGGCUCGGCCUUUCUAGCCUGGUGUUUUGUUCCACCUUUGCCCCCUUAGUUUUCGGCUACCGGUGUUAUGUUCCAUAAACGAGCGCUCCUAACACGAUCGAGGUUGUUAGGGGGACCCCCUUGAUAAUUCGUUCUAGAUAAAAGCUGGUCUGGCAAGGCCCAACUUUGGUACUACAUUUGCCUAAUAACUAAUGAAUUGCAUAGGGAGUAAUUAACCCGAGGAUAAUUUAAUCAACCCCCGGGCCAGUGCUCCUCAUGAGUGUUGGCCCCACGUGAGCGAUGUCCAGCGCCCCUGUGGUCACCCGGAGGUUUAGCGAUCCCGACGUCUAGCUCAUCCGUCGUGUCGUGAGAACGAGGUACGCGACUCCUACCGGGAUCGUUGACACGUCAGGCGGCCUUGCUGGAUUAGUUUUACCUUUGACGAAAUAUCUUGUGCAUCGGGAUUCUGGUGAUGCUUUGGGUAAUCUCAGAGUUGAGGUUUUGCACUAGGGAAUCCGACGAGAUCGCGAGCUUCGUGAUUGAGGAUUUCUAUGCGUCUUGUGGUAAUUUGUGAUGGACUAGUUGGAGCACCCCUGCAGGGUUAAAUCUUGUCGGAAAGCCGUGCCCGCGGUUAUGUGGCAAAGUGGAAACUUUGUUUAACACUGGUUCUAGAUAACUUGAAGUUAACUUAAUUAAAACAUGCCAACUGUGUGCGUAACCGUGACUGUCUCUUUCAUGAGUUCUUUCUCCGAUCGAGGACACGGUGGGGUUAUGUCUGACGUAGGUAGGUGUUCAGGAUCAUUCAUUUGAUCAUCAGUAGUCACAUCCGUUAUGCGUAGAUCUUCCCCCUCUUAUUUCUUGUACUCGUAAGUUAGCCACCAAAUAUAUGCUUAGCCACUGCUGCAACCUCACUACUUAACCAUGCCUCACCCAGUAAGCUUUGCUAGUCUUGAUACCUUUGGAAAUGAGAUUGCUGAGUCCCUUGUGGCUCACAGAUUACUACAACACCAGUUGCAGGUACACGUAAAGGUUACUCGACGCGAAUGCAUUGAUUGUUCAUUUGGAGUUGCUUCUUCUUCUUCUUCAUCGAUCUAGGAUGGGUUCCAGGCCGGCAUCCUGGGAUAGCAAGGAUGGACGUCGUUCUUCUUUUCUCGUUUGUUUUCGUCCGUAGUCGGACCCUCCUCUUCUUCAUGAUGAUUAUGUACUGUACUGCUGUGACACUGAUGUAGCUUGUGGUGAGUGUAAGCCAACUCUCUCUAUAUAUAUAUAUCUUCAUUUUAGUACAUGUACUUGUAACGAUAUCCAUUCUUGCGACACGACGAGAUGCGCUUCUAUCCCUUACGGGGCCUUCGUGCCAAAUUGAGGAUAGGGUCGCAUCUUGGGCGUGACAAGUUGGUAUCAGAGCAGUACCGACCUAGCAGCCCCCUUGAUUGAUCGAACUUGGCCGAGUCGAGUCUAGUGAAAAACUGCUUUGAGUCUAGUUAUAUAUCGGAGAGUAGGAUUCUUUUUCUCCUCUUCUAUGCUCUGGUGAGGAAUCUUGACGUAAUAUUUUAAUUCUACUCCUGUUCUCACUCAAAAAAAAAUUAGGAUCACGUGAAUAUUUUUGGGAUCUAUAUGAUGCUGAUGUGACGGAGUUCUGUCUUGGUGCCUCCUAUCUGCUUUGAGUUUCAGGGGAGUUGAGCUCCAGGGGAUUCUUGAGCACAUCGUUAUCAUUCAGAUUUAUUAGUAUCUCAGAACGAAGGAUGUUCGUAAUUGCUUCAAUACUAGUAGUGGCGAGAUAACCCCAAUGUCCCCAGUACUGGUGCAGAUUGUUCGAGAGUACUGCCAUACUUUGUAUCGUUGUGAUCACGAGGGUCUGUUGUAGAUGAAGGUCCGAGAUUCUGGUUGUGUGUUGACGGAUGUGAUACAGGUGACGGGUUAGUAUUGGAGUUGUGUGAUUAUUACUCCUUGUAUCCGUGUACCAGCUUGCAUGACCAUAUAUUUCGGGAAUUCUUAGGUGGGAAUUCAAGUAGUUACUUAUAGGACGAUCUUCCAACAAAUUCGUGUUGCUUCGAUGUCAAGUGGUGAUUUCAGAUCUUUCCUAAGUGGUGUUCUCAUAUUUUUUAUGAGAGUACUAAUUCUGUUUCUCAAAUCAUAUUGUCAUGUCAAUUCCUUUUCAACCGGAGUCAUCGUAUCAAUUCUUUUCAACCGGUGUGCUUAUCUGCAACUGAAUUCAAUCUUCUCCAGUUUUUGCAGAUCAUUCUCUCAAUUCUUUCUGGAGUUCGUCUCAUCUGUCUCAAGUUGUCUUUGUUUUCCCCGCCCUCCCACNNNNNNNNNNNNNNNNNNNNNNNNNNNNNNNNNNNNNNNNNNNNNNNNNNNNNNNNNNNNNNNNNNNUUCUCAGUGAUUCAAUUUUUAUCCAAGAGUUUUCUUAUCUUUGUGCUUCCGCUGUCUGUUCUUUUCUCUCUUACCCGGUGAUUCAUUGUGAAUAUUCUCAGAAGUUCUAGUUCAUCAUUCCUUCAACCUGGUUAUCUUUUCCGGUGAAUUCAAUUCAGUUAUCCGUGUUCAUCAUAUCCUUGUCAUCCUUUAAAUUCUCUCUUGUGUUAGAAAUUCUUAUAUAGUCUUCUGUUGGCAUUUAUCUCUAUUCUAUCCGGAGUGUUGAAGAUAUCUCAGAGUUUCUUGUUUCAGAUCUUUAAUUAUUUCGAGGUUUCAACCUCAUCUACUUUCUUUUGUACCGGUGCAAUCUCUCUAUCUAUUCAAUUGUUUCAAUGGUGGUUUCUUUGAGUGGGCCCAUAACCCACAUGUUCUUUCCCGGGAUCUUAUCUGGCUUUUGUAAUCUUUCCCGGAGAUCGCUCAUUCUUUCAACUAUGAUGUAAGUAUGAUUUCCAUUAGUCAUAUUUAAUUCUUCAAGGUAUAUUCGAAUUAAUUCUUAUAUUUGGCUCAACCUUGCAUUAUUCUUUAUUCGGGAGUGUCUCAUUAAUUCUUGGUGGUGUUCUCCUCCUCAUUCUCAGCUUGCUAUCCGAAGGAGUGUUUCUCUCUAUCUUGGUUCAUUCUUUUGAAGAUUCAUCAUUUCAGCUUUGUGUCAUAAUCUUAAUUGUUGUCAAUCGUGGGUAUUCCUUUCUUGCUAUCCGGUGCUUUUCUGAGUUGUUUUCAGUUCUCGAUCCUCCGAAGGCCAUCAUUUUAGAAGAUUCUUCAUUCUCAGCUUUCAGUUUUCAUCCUCAAUUCUUCUCCAUUGGUGUCUCUUCGUCGUCUCUCGUUUCUGGUGUCUUGUUAAAUUUUCCUCUUAGGUGGCUCAUGAUCUCUUCAUUCUCAUGUAUCUCCAUUAAUUCGUGGUGUUCCCAUUCAAUUGUGAAUUCUUACCGGUGCUUCAUUCAUUUGUGCCUCAAAUGGUGCUUAUCUCUCUGCCUCUUCAAGAUUCUUUCAAGAAUAAGUGCUACGCUAAAUCCGUUGCUUGUCAUCAAUUAAACUUGAUGAAGGAUUAGCAUCACAUAAUUCUUAUUCUUGUUCAUAGUAAUGUGAAUUCUUCUUUCGGAGUGGCUCAUGAUAUCAAUUCCUUUCUCUCAAGUGUUCUUAUCUUUUCUUUUCCGGAGUUCCAAGUUUUCUCAAGUAUCUCUUUGUGAAGCUUCAUCUAAAUCAUUGCAAGGUCAUAAUCUUAUUCUUUUCUACCUUCAUAUCUUUGCAUCAUUCAUUUGUAUAUGGAGGUCCUUCUUGGUGGUUCGUCAAGAUUUCAUUCAUUCUGAAGUGUUCUUCAAGAUUCCUGUUGGAAUACCUCAAGUAUUCUUUCUCUUCCAUUUUCAGUGCAUUUGUUCUCCUUUAUCCUUUGAUGUGGUAUUAUAGCCUUCUUGUUAGUGUAGGAGCCUCGAAGAGAUUUCCUUUCAAGUAUGAGAUAAUUAAACCCACCAAUUCUAUGGUCAUGAGAUAUUUGCAACCCAUGAUUUAUUUAUUGAGAUAUCUUGGUUUGGAUUGCACCUAAAGCUUUUCCUAUGGAUUGUUGCUAUCAUGGUGCUUGUCAUUAAUCCAAGUUCUCAAUGUACCCUCUUGGUGUAAGAAGUUUUGAUAUCUUUGCUUUCUUCUAUCCUUGUUUCCGUUAGUGGUUGGUUGUCACCUCAUAGAUGUUGAGAUGAUUUUCAUAAGCCCACUUCUAUCUUGUUCUUUUCGUUGUUGGUUUUCUAACUAGUAAGUCAAUUCUCUGUCCAGAGGCUCUUCAAUUCUAUUGUGAUGGUAGUUGUCAUUCUUUUCUUCGUUCUCUUCUUCCGCUUGAGCUAGUUCAUAUUCUCUUGUUCCGGAGGCACUGUGAUGUUGCUCUUGGGUCUAUUAUGUUGUUCUAUCAAGAUGAUGGUGUUCCCUUGUUCUAUUUAGUUGUUUGUUAUGUAUAUUGUAUAAAACUCUCUUCUUAUCGAAUUUUUUGUCCCAUUUUCCUACCGAAGUGCUGCCGAAAUUUUCCGUGAAUUCUUGCUUGUUUCUCAUAUAAUUCCUCAUCUCUUUGUAACCUUCAAGGAUCGUUGGUUUCAUUUGUUUGUCAAGAAGCGACUAAGUUUUUUACCUCUUGCUCUUUCUCAUCCUCUCCCCCCUUUCAUUCUUGGAUCUCGGGGCGAGAUCCUCUUGUAGUGUAGGAGAUUUGUGACAGCCCGAGACCGACGCCCCAGAAGAUUCCCCUUUAUUUCCGUUUCCGUCGUGUGGUUAUUUUAUUUUGUGGCCUCAUCAUUUAGUUUGCAUCGUCGCAUCAUGCAUGGCAUCUUGCAUCGUCUGUCACGUGUGGUGUUUUGAGUGUUGUGCUUCGAGUGAUUACCGAGUCGUAGUGCGAUAGAAACUCCCCCUCUCUCCCCUCUUAUUUCAUUUUUUUUGUGGUUUUGCUAAAGUUCCGUUUUAACCCCUUUUAAAAAAAACGUCUUCUUUUAAAAAUCCUUUAAUCAAAUGUGGGGGCAACCCUUGGGUUUUCUCUUAUUUCCUCUUUUGUUUCAUUUCAAACUAGAGUUGCAUUUUUAUUUAUAAAAGGGGUUUGAAUUUUAUUCUUUUGUAAACGGGUUUUAAUUUUUAAUUCUUCAAAAGGUUUUAUUUUAGUUCUUUUAAAANNNNNNNNNNNNNNNNNNNNNNNNNNNNNNNNNNNNNNNNNNNNNNNNNNNNNNNNNNNNNNNNNNNNNNNNNNNNNNNNNNNNNNNNNNNNNNNNNNNNNNNNNNNNNNNNNNNNNNNNNNNNNNNNNNNNNNNNNNNNNNNNNNNNNNNNNNNNNNNNNNNNNNNNNNNNNNNNNNNNNNNNNNNNNNNNNNNNNNNNNNNNNNNNNNNNNNNNNNNNNNNNNNNNNNNNNNNNNNNNNNNNNNNNNNNNNNNNNNNNNNNNNNNNNNNNNNNNNNNNNNNNNNNNNNNNNNNNNNNNNNNNNNNNNNNNNNNNNNNNNNNNNNNNNNNNNNNNNNNNNNNNNNNNNNNNNNNNNNNNNNNNNNNNNNNNNNNNNNNNNNNNNNNNNNNNNNNNNNNNNNNNNNNNNNNNNNNNNNNNNNNNNNNNNNNNNNNNNNNNNNNNNNNNNNNNNNNNNNNNNNNNNNNNNNNNNNNNNNNNNNNNNNNNNNNNNNNNNNNNNNNNNNNNNNNNNNNNNNNNNNNNNNNNNNNNNNNNNNNNNNNNNNNNNNNNNNNNNNNNNNNNNNNNNNNNNNNNNNNNNNNNNNNNNNNNNNNNNNNNNNNNNNNNNUCGUUGCUCGUUGCUUGCUUGUGUUGCUGCUGCCUGAUGCUUUGCUAGUUGUUGUGUAGCUAGCCGAUGCUUGCCUGCUAGUGUUGCUAUUCCAGCUGCCUGCUAGUUGCUAUGCUAGCUGCUGUAGUUUGUUGCUUGUUGUUGCCCUGUUGCCGAUGCAUCGUGCCGCUGCCUGUGCAUGCUUGCCUGCCUGUGCUGUUGUUGUUUGCCUUGGUGGCUUUGCUAGAUGCAACUAGGUGUAGUUGCUAGGCCAGGUUAUUGUUGCUAGUGCUAGUUGUCGCUUUGCUAGUUGAAGUUGCUGAUGUGUUGCGUGCCGUCGCCGCGUGCAACAUCCCCGCCUGCCGUGGUUCGUCGACAACUUUGCCGUGAACAUCGUCGCCCGCGUCCACCCCGGGAACGUGUUCGACUACCGAUGUGAAGACCAUAACCGACGCCGAAGACCGUGAACCACGACGCCGAGCGAACGACUACCGUCGACGAGACCCGACGACCACGACUUCCACGACGUCCGCUACGAACCGAUCCGCUUCGAAUCGCACGCUUGGAAGGUAUACCGAUGAGACGUGUCGUGUAACGAACGAAUGUGAUGUAUGAGUUGUAUCGUGUGUUGCACCGUAUAUGUUGCCCGUUGCACGUUGUCCCUCUUAUAUUGUGCCCCGACACAUGGGAACCCGGUAACCGGGAUCACCCCAUCUUUAUUUACCGUUCCCGCAUGCGUUCCUAGUACGUUUGCACGAUAUCUCGACGAGUUAUCGGGAUAGGAACGUUGUCGUGGCAUCAUUUCCGUCUUGCCGCCAUGGUUCCCUCUCGCUCGCCGUGGGGACACCAGUUUCUUUCUCUUCUCACCCAUGAUGUUUGAACUCGCAUGCAUGGCGCAUUCAUGGCAUAAUAUAUUGUGUUGCAAGUCUCUUGUGUUGUAGCUCCGUUCUAAGUCCCGUGUGUUAACCGUCUAGGAUGCCACAUAGAACCGUCGCUUCACCCCUUGCCACGUUAACAACAAUUAAAUAUUGCCUUGUAAAUAAAUGGGAGUGAAUUAAAUAAUUAAGCGUGAAGUUUCGUCGAUAUGUAACUCGUUGCAUAUCGAGCUUCACUUAAUGUGUAGAGUUUGUGUGAGGUGAAUUGCCAUGCCAUCCCUUGCAUCGUUGAACUGAUCAUGCAUCAUAGUAGGUUGUGCAUCAUGCUGUGCAUUGUGUGGUGAAUAUUUAUGUUGAUGUUUGUUUCCGGUUUGCUCCGUCUCGAUAGAGUUCCGCAAGCAUGUCGGAUUGUGAGGACCCGUUCGACUACGAUGGUUCGCCGACUUCUUGGAGUUGUUCUUCUUCCUAGCGGGAUUUGAGGCAAGAUGACCAUUUCCCCAGAUACCAUUACUAUCAUUGCCAUGCUAGUUUUAUCGCUUCUAUCAAUUAUGUCUUGUUGCCUACCACCUGUUAAAUAUCAGCCUCUCAACAAUGCCAUGAAACCUUCAACCUAGCAAACCACUGAUUGGCUAUGUUACUGCUUGCUUAACCCUGUUGAUAGCGUUGCUAGUUGCACGUGCAGAUGCUUCCAUGUGAAAGCAUGAGUUCCUCGUUAUAUCACCAUUUUAAAUGCUAUUUAAUUUAAUGGACCUAUAUACUUGGUAAAAGGUGGAAGGCUCGGCCUUUCUAGCCUGGUGUUUUGUUCCACCUUUGCCCCCUUAGUUUUUGGCUACCGGUGUUAUCUUCCAUAAACGAGCGCUCCUAACACGAUCGGGGUUGUUAUGGGGACCCCCUUGAUAAUUCAUUUUAGAUUAAAGUUGGUCUGGCAACGCCCAACUUUGGUACUACAUUUGCCUAAGAACUAAUGAAUUGCAUAGGGAGUAAUUAACCCGAGGAUAAUUUAAUCAACCCCCGGGCCAGUGCUCCUCAUGAGUGUUGGCCCCACCUGAGCGAUGUCCAGUGCCCCUCUGGUCACCCGGAGGUUUAGCGAUCCCGACGUCUAGCUCAUCCGUCGUGUCCUGAGAACGAGGUACGCGACUCCUAUCGGGAUCGUCGACAUGACGGGCGGCCUUGCUAGAUUAGUUUUACCUUUGACGAAAUAUCUUGUGCAUCGGGAUUCCGGUGAUGCUUUGGGUAAUCCCAGAGUUGAGGUUUUCCACUAGGGAAUCCGACGAGAUCGCGAGCUUCGUGAUUGAGGAUUUCUAUGCGUCUUGUGGUAAUUUGUGAUGGACUAGUUGGAGCACCCCUGCAGGGUUAAAUCUUUUCGAAAAGUUGUGCCCGCGGUUAUGUGGCAACGUGGAAACUUUGUUUAACACUGGUUCUAGAUAACUUGAAGUUAACUUAAUUAAAACAUGCCAACUGUGUGCGUAAGCGUUAUUGUCUCUUUCGUGAGUUCUUUCUCCGAUCGAGGACAUGGUGGGGUUAUGCCUGACGUAGGUAGGUGUUCAGGAUCAUUCAUUUGAUCAUCAGUAGUCACGUCCGUUAUGCGUAGAUCUUCCCCCUCUUAUUUCUUGUACUCGUAAGUUAGCCACCAAAUAUAUGCUUAGCCACUGCUGCAACCUCACUACUUAACCAUACCUCACCCAGUAAGCUUUGCUAGUAUUGAUACCUUUGGAAAUGAGAUUGCUGAGUCCCUUGUGGCUCACAGAUUACUACAACACCAGUUGCAGGUACAUGUAAAGGUCACUCGACGCGAGCGUGUUGAUUGUUCAUUUGGAGUUGCUUCUUCUUCUUCUUCUUCAUCGAUCUAUGAUGGGUUCCAGGCCAGCAGCCUGGGAUAGCAAGGAUGGACGUCGUUCUUCUUUUCUCAUUUGUUUUCGUCCGUAGUCGGACCCUGCUCUUCUUCAUGAUGAUUAUGUACUGUACUGCUAUGACUCUGAUGUAGCUUGUGGCGAGUGUAAGCCAACUCUAUAUAUAUAUGUACUGAUGUGACUCUGAUGUAGCUUGUGGCGAGUGUAAGCCAAUUCUAUUUUUAUCUCAUCUUUUCAGUACAUGUACUUGUAACGAUAUCCAUUCUUGCGACACGACGAGAUGCGCUUCUAUCCCUGACGAGGCCUUCGUGCCAAAUUGAGGAUAGGGUCGCAUCUUGGGCGUGACACUACGGUAUGAUCAAAAAGGAUUUGGUGACUCGCCAAUGGGUGACAUACAUCAUAACCCGCUAUUCGGGCGAUUCAUGGAAGUAUAUUUGAAGUAUUGUAACUCGCUCUUCAAUUGGAAAGGAAGGGGGCAUAGCUAUGGUGAUAAAUUUAAGUCGCUAUGGAAGCUGGACCUAAACGGCGACUCUCAAGGGUCCUUUUUCCUUAGGGAUGUUCUCAGGAGACGAACAAACAUGUUUCUAAAAACAAGCAGUAAACUAUGGAUCUACGAGUGGAUCAAAAUAAAGGAAUACUGCUCAGAAAAAUGGUGAAAGGCUAUGAGCAUAAGGCAGUGACGGUAUUGGAUCCACGGCGUGAAGGCUUAAGAUAACAAAAGGACACGAUAAAGUGGCCAUGUUUUGCUACUGCCUAAGUCUAUUACGAAGAUAUAAAGCGGAUCUAGAGCAGGAAAGAACGUUUGUCGCGUCAUGGAGCUAGCUCGCGGGAACAAUGGCCAUGGCAUUCUCGUCUUAACCCUAAUAAGGGAAUGUGUGUACCUGAGGAAAGGAGAUCGGUGCCGGGGACGAAAGCGGAGGACUUCGUGCUUCUUGGCGCCCGGAAGACCACGGUCGACGGAGGAGCUCCACGAGCCGAUGACGACGCCGGUGUGCUGGCGCGGGAAGAGGAAGAGCGCGAUGAAGACAAGGGAAGAGAUGGAGGUAGGUGACAGUCCCCCCCCAUUUCUCGUGCGGUUAUUUAAAGGGCCGGAAUGGGAAUCGAGGCUGUGAAGGCGGAGAUCGAGGCGACAAGUCAGAAACUGCGAUAAUGGCGCCUAGAUUUUCGGGAUAAGUGAUUAUGGAGCAAAAGAUCCGUUGGAUGGUUGCGGUGUUAAAAACCCCGGAAUUAAGGGGAUAAGGUGAUGUCAUCAAAGAUUACACGGCGGGUCAGAUAAAAUUACAACGAGUGGCGAAUUAUUGUUCGUCGAAAGAUAGAAAUGGUAAGAGUCGCCCCAAAUUGGUGAAGGUUUAUUCACAUGAAUUAAUUCAAGACAAUCUGGGGCCUAAUGUUGGGGAUAUUACCUGCGGAUAACCCGCCCUUAGUGGGCCAGGUCAUCAAAGGGGCGACUUACCAUUCAACGCGUGUCUCGUGGCCCAGAAGCUGGAUGGCGGUUCAAGAGGUCGUGCGGAUGGAAGAUUACCAAGGGAGUUCCCAAUCGUUGAGAGCACGGCGACUUAGAGAUAGGGAAAGCCACAAGGAGUAGCAUGGCAGGACUUUGUAAACCCUAGGGCCUCAACCUGUAUAUAAAGGCGAGUCCCGGGGAAAGGUUAAGCGAGUUAGAGAGAAUCGAGAGCUAGGUCAGGUGAGUUAUGCCCUCCUUGUAAUUGAAAUCACCAUUAAUCCACACAAAGCAGGACGUAGGCUUUUACCUCCUCACGAGGGGCCGAACAUGGGUAAAUCUGAGUCUCGCUUUUGCUUACCCCCUUCUAGUCACCACCAAGGUGCGACGGCUCCAUCUUUAAGUCCUUUCACGAGGACAUCUGCCGUGACAAAACCACGACAAGUACCGAGCAGAGAUUUCUCCCAUUAACUUGUGAUGAGCAUCUGGGAUUGCUAUUUAGUUUGAAUGCUGAUAGCCGUUUCGGUAAAAUCCAUAUCGGUGUGCUUCAGGCACGCAAACAACGUAUCCCUAAGGGUGUUCGGACAUCAUCUGUCUCUGCUAAUAGCGAGCGUUCUCGCACUCCUUGUAGGCCGAGACCAAGUAAACCUAGUGGUUCUGAAAGCCACAACAUGCCGGCUGCCGCUAAUUCUGCCACUUCUCCUCUUCCUUCUGCACCUGAUGUAGAAGUAGAUGCGGAGCCUGACGAGGAAGUGCCUCGACAUGAUGAUGAGGAUGAGAUUCUAUUCCCUGAACUGGUAGAUAGAGUCAGGCAAGAGGCAAUGGAAGAUGAAUAUGCAGAGGAGCCUAGCAGACGUGCUAGAUUUGAUGACACUGAUGAUGAAGAGAGGGAGGAGAACAUCGACUCCUUAGUUUUACAAGAAUAUGAUGGUGAGUACAUGCCAACAAUUGAGUGGAAUACGGAGAAUCCUGACCUUACUCCAGGAACCGUAUUCGAUUCGAUGGUGGACUGUCGUAAUGCAGUGACUACAUAUUGCAUUAUCACUGAAAACUCUUAUGAGGUUGAUAGGAGUGAGCCAGGAAGAUUCACUGUUCAUUGCCCUUAUGAUAGGUGUAGGUGGAGGUUGCAUGCAUCCACUAUGCUAAAGAGCAAAUUGAUUCAGGUAUUACAACUCAAUAUUAAUUGUACUGUUUAUUAAUUGUAUUUGACAUCAUUUUUCAUUUUGUUUGAGAUAAAAAGCAACCCACACGGGCACACUUGCCCACAUGGAGGGGGAGGGGAAAGGACAAAUCUAAGCUUGUAAAGACUAGGUGGGUGUCAGAUGCAAUAUUGGAUUGGGUGAGGGAAACACCAACAAUUGGUCCAACAACACUCCAUGGGAAGCUAUUUGAUAAGUACAAGAUUAAUGUACAAUACAUGAAGAUUUUCUAUGCUAAGGAAACGGUUCUUGAUAGGAUUAAUGGUCCAUGGAAUGAGAGUUCUUAGUUGCUUUACACCUUCAAAGCUGAAGUGCAAACUAGUCCAGGUAGUGUUGUAGAGAUUGACAAGCAUACAGUUAAGUACAAAAUAAAAGGGAAGACAAUGGAGAAGGAGUGCUUUAGGAGGACUUUUGUUUGUUUCAAGGCUUGCUGGAAGGGGUUUCUGAAUGGUUGUAGGCCCUAUGUGGCUGUCGGUGCGAAGGCCCUAUGUGGCUGUCGGUGCGACUGCUUUGAAUGGAAGAUGGAGAGGACAGCUAGCAGCAGCUUGUGCAGUUGAUGGACACAACUGGCUAUUCCCAGUUGUUAGAGCAUAUAUCUCCAUAUGUGGUUUUGGUAAUUGAUGACAAUUCCUAUGUACUAAUGGUUGCCUUAAGUUACAUUUAUAGGAUUUGUGCAUAGGCACUUCUUGAAGUCCAUCUGUUGGGUUCAAGGAGUUUAUAUGAUGACCAAGAUGGUAUUCAAGGUAUUAUCCAAAGAAUGGUCAUAGAGACACAAGGUUGAUCAAGAUCUCAGACAAAGAGUAAAUCAAGAUGAUCGACACACAAAGCGUACAAGAUGUACCGAGAGGGAUCAAGUGAUCCCAUGGUAUGGUAAGCAUUGUCCAUUACGUGUUUGUGUACUAACCCAUGGUCUUUGUGAGACUCCUAUGUGGGGGUUAGGUGUGUUUCCAUUGGGCUUGCGUCAAAAGGAAGAUCUCAUACAACCCAUGAAGGAUGACGUCAAGUUGUGAUCGUCAUCAAGAUUGCGGUGUGCAAGUUCAAGUGGAUCAGCACGAAGAUAUCAUGCUUGAAGCUUGUCGUCCAUUGUGGUGGCAAUGGACUUGUGAAGAUAUGCUGAAGAGUGGAUCACCCAUAGUGAGUAAGGGGGAGCAAUCAAUUAGUCUUCAUCAAGCCAACGCAAUCAAGAAAGGCGGUCCAUCUUAAGGAAGCCAAGAUCAUCAUCAUCUAGCUCAAGAGGUCGAGGUGCAAGGUAUAGGUUUGCCCUUGAUAGGUUUUCUGUUUAGGAUAGAAUGUUGUAUUGUCAAGGGGGGCUCUCAAGUGAUUAGCUUGAUCGUAUCGUUCAUUGAGAGCUCAAACCAUUUGCAUCCUUGCAUCAUACUUCUUGGUUCUUAUUUCGUGUUUCUCUUUGUGAGUUUUAGAGCUUAUGGUCAUCUUCAUGACAAGCUCGAGUUCAUCCAAAAUGGAGUCCAUAUGCAACUACUAUGAUGUUAUUGAUGUUGGAGUUUUUGCCGGUUCUUCAUUCAUAGAGGUCUCACAUCUCUAGAUCAUUGGCAUUUUCAUAUCAGCUUGGGUUUGCUCGAUUCGGAGCUCGUAUGCGAAAGUUAUGGUUGUUUCAGUGGCGAGCGGUAGUACCGCUGGACCUAGCGGUAGUACCGCUAGAGCUCGCGGUAGUACCGCUGGCCCUAGCGGUAGUACCAUUAGAGCUGGCGGUAGUACCGCUGGCCCAGCGAUAGUACUGCCUCUGGUCAGCGGUAGUACCGCUCCAGGACUUUUAGUACCGUCAUCUUUGCGGUUGUAGUGCGUCGGACUUUUUGCGAAGACUUUCUUGGCGAUGGUUGGCCCGGUAGUAUCUUUGCGCUACCAUGGGCUCAGCGGUAGUACCGCUACAGCCAGCGGUAGUACCGCCGGAGGGUCAGCGGUAGUACCGCUCGAGCCAGCGGUAGUACCGCUGGGCUCGGGGUGUAAGUGGGGGUAACAGUCUGAUUCCUUCCCCCACUAUAUAAAGGGGGUCUUAUUCCCCUUGGUCUUAUCUAUCCGUUGAGCUCUUGUUCUACCUCCAUUGUUGACAUUCUUAGAGCUUGCUUACUCUCAAUCCCUCCAAUGAUUCUUGCUUGUUCUUGCGGGAAAAGAGAGAGGAGAUCUAGAUCCACAUCUCCACCAAUCACUUUCUCCUCUAUGUGAGGGGAACCCCUUGGAUCUAGAUCUUGGAGUUCUUUGUGAGCUCCUUGUUCUUCCUCUCAUAUUUCUCCAUAGCUUUUGUUGUUGUGGAGGGAUUUGAGUGUGAGGGACUUGACCAGUUCGUGUGUUCUUGCCAUUGCAUUAGUUGCAUCGGUUUGAUUUCUCCACGGUGAUACGUGGAAGUGAGAAGUUGAGAAGCUUAUUACCCUUUGGUACUUAGUACCCUAGAGAUUGUUCUUCGUGGAUGCUUUGGCGUCCUAGAAGCUUGGUGGUGUCUUGGAUCUCAAUCAUUGUGGUGUAAAGCUCCGGGCAAGCGUCAGGCUCUCCAAUUAGGUUGUGGAGAUUGCCCCGAGCAAUUUGUAAGGGUAUCGGUGACCGCCCCCAAGGUUUGCCAUUUGUACGGGUUCGGUGACCGCCCUCAAGGGUCCCUUAGUGGAAUCACGGCAUCUUGCAUUGUGCGAGAGCAUGAGGAGAUUACGGUGGCCUUAGUGGCAUCUUGGGGAGCAUUGUGCCUCCACACCGCUCCAAUGGAGAUUAGCAUUCGCAAGGGUGUGAACUUCGGGAUACAUCAUCGUCUCCCCGCGCCUCGGUUAUCUCUUACCCAAACCCUUUACUUAUGCACUUUACUUUGUGAUAGCCAUAUUGUUCAUUGUCAUAUAUCUUGUUAUCACUUAGUUGUUUAUCUUGCUUAGCAUAAGUUGUUGGUGCAACAAGAGGAACUCAAGACCCAACUUCUCCAAGACACUAAGUAUGCUUAUCAUGAGCACAUGGCUCUUGCGUCAAGGCAAUUCUGGGGCAACAAGAGGAACUCAAAACCCAACUUCUCCAAGAACAACUCAAGUGGGUUCAAAUCCAAGCAACGUGUGAGGACAUGUUAUAACUGCAGUAAUGUGAGUCACUUCGUGGCAGAAUGUCCCUAUGAGAAGAGGGAAGACAACGGGGGCAAGCUCAUUCGCAAAGACAAAACCAAGUCAUUCCCAAACAAGAACAACUUUGUCAAGAAACCCCACCCAAAGGGUAUGGUGGCACUUGAAGAGUACCCCUCCGAUGAUGAUGACGAUGACGAUAUGGUGGCAACUGCGACUGACGCCAUUGCCACCCCUUCUCCCAAGAAUGUGUCUCUCUUCAAUGCCCCCAACGAUAACCACAUCGCCAAGUGCCUCGUGGCCAAAGGUAUCGAUCAGGUAACACCCAGCAUUAAGACCAACAUCACUACUGCUCCUUCAUUGUUGAAUUGUGUUGAUGAUAGUGAUAUUGUGGAACUUGAGCAUGAUCUUGAAAAAUUUCUAUGUACGAUCAAAGGAGAACCCAAGAAGCAAUUUGUUGCUCUUUUGGAACAACUAGGUGAGGCUAAUGACCUCAUCGAGCCUCAUGAGGAGACCAUCUCCGAGCUGCAAGGACAUAGUCGUGACUAUGCCAAUGAGAUUGCUGAAUUAUCUAUUGCACUAGAAAAGGAGCGCACUCUUUGUUUGGCUCUUAAGGAUUCAUACUGUUAUAAAUUAAUUAGGAAAGGGUGUCCAACCCCGAAAAGUCAUGUCUAUUCUAUCUCUCUAUUGCCAACAGGCACCUGUUCUGGAGGGAUGCCUCCGAACAGGCACCUCUUCUUCGCACCUCUUCCAGAUGUAUAUAAACUUGAGAAUCAAUAGAAAUCAGUGAUGAUCGUCCAUUACUUUCAUUCAAUCUCGUUUUACUCUAACACGUUAUCAGCACGCUCUGCAUCUGAGCGAUUUCGAGAUCGAGAAGAACAAAAUAUCGGCGACUGGAUGCGGCCUUCGCGCCGCAGGACACAGCCGCCUGCGCCGCGUCGAGCGCCCAUUCGCCCGGCCGCCUCCCUUUGCCGCGUCCCAUGCCCGGCCGCCGCCCAGGCCGCACCACGCCCUGCGCGAGGCCGUGGCCGUGCCCGCGCCUGGCCNNNNNNNNNNNNNNNNNNNNNNNNNNNNNNNNNNNNNNNNNNNNNNNNNNNNNNNNNNNNGGCCCCGGCACCGCUCGCCAGAGUCCGCCCGCGCCUGGCCGCAGAGCCCUUGCCCGCACCCUCCCGCGCCUGGCCGUGGCAGCCUCGCCGGAGCCCGCCCGCGCCUGGCCGCGGCAGCGCCACGCCCGUGACCUCUCAACCUCUCCGGCCGAUGCCCAACGGUGCCACGCCUGUGGCCGCCCAUCCGCGCCGACCGCCGGAUUCUCCGCGCAACAACGCCCCAGAAGCAGCCCCGACCAUCAAGCAGUGUACGAUUCCCCGCGAACAUGGCGCUUCAUCUCCAGCGCGCAUCCUAGUGCGGCCCGUCGGCUCGCAUCAGAUGUGCUAGCCCGGCCAUCGGCCGCGUCGAGCACACCGCGACACAAGGCGACCUUGGAUGUAUGGCAUGGCGGGGUGGACACCAACGGCCGUGCCCGCAUCUGCGGCCUUCCUCGGCACAACCGUCUACGACGGCGGUGCUUUCACAGUGCAACGACGCCCGCUACCAAUAAGGGUCGUCGGCCUGGUUCCGCCCAUCCAACGCGCAGCACGACGAGUUCAUCGAGCGCGUGGCACGCUACAGCACGUAGCGCGAUGGCGGGGCCUUGCCCUCCCGGCUGACAGGACGGCCGGCAAGGCGGCGCAGCGCCCCGAGGUCGCGGACCUCCAUUGGGAGGCAGCGCAGUGCCCCAAGCAGCGUCCAGCGGACGACAACGGCUAAUGGCCGGCACCCAGCGUGAAGACAACCCAUGGGGAAGCACGACGGCCUCCAAUCGGAGACGUGGUGUUCCUUCUAAAUUCUCCAAGAUGGGGAUUUCUUCUGCACGCAGCCAAAGCGAACCGAAUCUCGUUCGUGGUCGUGGCUGUACAGAGAAUGACGAGAGCAUCUUAUCUCUUCGUAUACUUCACAUUUUAGCACUUCUCGUUACCCUUAAUGGCAUAUAAGUUCUAUAACUAGCAUAUAGGCCCACAGGCUUUAUGUUUUUACGCAAUUAGUACUACUUCAACACAAGCCAUCAGGCUUAUUGCUAUUUCAGAUUUUGGUGAAUACCUUGUAGUAUCAUAUUGAUUGAGUCCCAAGGCAUUAAGCCUAUAUUAUUGGAUGCGUCAAUCAUUCCAUCUAGAAUGGACCCAAGAUACUAACAUUACUUACAAUAAGUGCGACAAUCAUGUUUUGCAAUUGAUUUUCUUGCUCUUGCAAAUCUUGACGUAAAUUCAAAAUAUAGAUUACGCAAUGUCAUACUUAGUAUGACUACAUCGAUAUGUAUUUAUGAAUCACAGGUAUUGGUGGCAUCUACUGCAUAAUUCGCAGACUAUCCAUUAUUACUGCAAGGUCUACAUCAUGUCACUUCGACAAAUGAUUACCUUCAUAGUUAUUUUCUAAAAAAAUAGAUAACACAAGGUAAUAGAAUGAUGAACAUCUAGUGACAAUAGUCAGACUAUGUUUUCUAUUAUUGCAAGAUCUACACCAUAUUGGUGAUUAUCUUCAAACUGUUAUUCUAUAUCAAUUGAGGUCUACACAUAUAAGGCAUCAGCAAAACAAGAACAUGCUCCUCUGAAGCAUUUAUUGUUGUUGUUCACUAAAAUGAUUUACUAUCAUAGUAAAUUCAUGCAUGAUUAUUGCAUGUUGAAUGGUAUUAUCUACCAAUAUCAAUUAUUCAAUCCUCUUUUUGCUUGAAUAUGUCAUAGGGAACUACAUAAAUAUUUGCAUUUACUUGUGAUUACCUUCUAUUACAUUGGUAAAAUACAUGGCAAUGAAUCCUACGACAAUAUUUCUAAUUAUAGUGUCGUCCAUCCAUCAUGAUGGACCACAUAAUUUAUGACAAUGAUUAAGUGUCUCAGCACUUUCGCAAGGUCCACAGGAUAUCGUGGUUAUAAUUUCGUAGUGACUAACCAAUGUUAAGCAUGCAAGUCUAUAUGUUUUGGCAGUGACUCUAAAGUCACACACUUCCUCAAGAAUGAAGUCCAAAACAUUAGCAAUAAUUUAAUCACAUGUGUUAUAUUGAAGGAUACACCCAGGUUCACCAAGGAUCACCUUGACCAUGAUUGUUCUCAAACAAAUCAUUUAUUUAUAGAUGUCACUUACUCCUAGAAGUAAAUUAAAUAAAUGCAUUAGCAUUUUUAAGUAACACAUGGCUCACAUUUCCAAAUACAGUAAGUACAUGUUAGGUGAGAUUAUUUAUUGUAAUAUGAUUUACGACAUCAGUCGUUGUAUCCACCCGAGAUAUUAUUGCUACUAUAACCUCACCUUCGGAAUAUGUGUCAUGGCUAUUCUCUUAAUAGCUAAGUAUGAUCAUAUGCAUUUCAUCUCUCACCAACUUCACUUAGUUCUCAAACUAAGUACAUAAUGGAUGAAUAUUUAUUCACCUUGAAUAUUUCCCUUAAAAGAAACAUGCUGCCCCGAGCACAUUUGGAAUGAUCACCCAAUAAUUUUUCAAGACCUCAAGUCUAUCGCAACUUACAAUUUUGGUAAUUAUAAAAUCAACUUGAAGUUGAGAUCUCAUGAUCUGACAUUUUCAUAUGCAGAUCAGGUUGAAAAGCCUUUGAUACACUUCACAUCUCCUUAUGAUGGUAUUACCAUUUUCAUGAUAAAGAAACAUGUUAUUUCUUAAACUCAUCAUAUUCACCCAACGGGUGCUAUACCAUUAUUUCAAAUAUUUGCUAGUAUUGAUUAGCAAGUCACAUUUCACAAAAUAGAACCAUGAGGAAUUCAAAGUAAAGUGGAGGCUAAAGACAAUCGAUGUCAGGAUUACCUUUUAAUUGGGAAUUGAUCAUUUUCAAAUGAUCACAAAGACAACUCUCAAGUUUGUCAAAUGUGUGGUUACAUAAAUAUCGUACAUAUGAUUACCAAACCCUCAAACAUAUGGUCAAACCACACCAUGAAUUUAUUAAAAGGCAAAUAAGUUUAUGGGGAUAUUUGAAAAUUUGCAAACAUACGACCAGAAUCUAUUCUGGUAAAUGAUGUUCUCGAAUCUUCAUCAGAAGGAGAACCAAAAAUGUAGUGCAAUAAAAGAAUGGUCAAUUCGUUUGCACCUAUGAUAUGUUUGCAUUAUUCAAUUUUUUUCCAGUAAUAUGGGAGACCUCAUGUAAUAUCCCGAUUAUUCCCAAAAUAUUGUUUACCUAUAGUUGUAGUACUACAUGUAGUAUAAUGUCCAACAUCCUAUUUCUUGGACAUCAUGUUUGAUAAAUUUUGAAUGUAUGAAUCAAUUCAUACUCAGUUUUGUUGCGUACACAAUAAUUUUCUAAAUCUUACAAAAUAUUUGGUUUUAAGCCUUACAAUCCAGGUUUGGGGUUGUUUAGAAAAUUAUUGACAAUUCUAUUGGUCACAACUUAACAAGUUGCAAAAUUUCUUAGAUCAUCAGAUUUUAUGUGCACCACAUGUGCCAUAAGGAAAAUUAAUUUAAGGAACUCUCACCUUACAAUUCUAAAUGAGCCAACUCAUUUUUCCUUGAACACAUUCAGAAGAUAUGUGCAUUCUCAACCAUUGUGUGGCAUUUUAUAGAUACUUUAUGGUACUCGUGGAAACAUUUAUAAAAUGAUUUCUAGUGUGUCUCUUGUCACACAAACCAUGAAUGAUAUAACUAAAUCAAUUGCUCAAAUUCUCAAAGUAAGAGCAAGUUAUCCUAAACAAGGGAUAAAUCCAUUCGAAUGGACAACUUUGUUGAACUCAUUUCACAAGAAAUAUCUGAUUAUAUAUAAUAUUUUAUGUACAUACCCAAAAUGGUUUAGUUCAAUAUCUUAUCAAAGAUAGUGAAAUUAAUAAUAUGACCAAACUUAUAGAAUCAUGAUUUACUAGCCUCAUGCUAGACAAAUACGGCAUUACACACCGUAAGUAUGAUAUAAACCAUACCAACUGCAUAGCAUACUACUUUCCCCUUUUUAGUAAUUACGUGGAAAUCAACAAAGUAUUUCCUAUCUACGAUAAUUCGGUUACAUACCGAUAUCACCACUCCAGCAUACAUCAAUGGGCUCUCACAGAAAAUUAGGGAUCUAAGUGAGGAAUGACAAUUUAUCUGUCAAUCAAAAUUAUUCAUAGCUCGUAUGCUGAUUGCAUCAGCAAUAAGAACAUUUCUGGCAUUAGGGGGAGAUAAGUACCACAAAGAAUGCCAAGAAAUAAAUUAGGAAUGUUAUUCACAUUCAGUCCUUAUAUCCACGUACUCAAAGAAUCUGAACAAGAAGUUUAGAAUCACAUAUUUGCAACACAUUGCAAAUCUGCCACAUACAUUUACUGAUGACAAAGGUGUCACUCAAUUUUAUAUUCCUGCAGUAAAGUGUCAGAAAGAGUGGAGGUACCUGAUAAACCACUCUUCUCCCGAAAUGAGAGCAAGAGGGGGAGAAAUCUGACCACACGAGAUAUAAUCUCGCAUAUGCUUCCGCGGAAAUAGAGGAAAUCAAAUCCUCAACCAGUAAAUGUAAUUCAACAUCAAGUUGAAAGACACCUCACUGGAUGCUCAUCAUCCAAAGCCUGACAUAAAUGUGCACAAAUGUUUUCGUGACGGGACAUCGAAACACCUUGACUCCAUUGUUGUAGGAAAUCACAAGGAGUCAAAAGGAUUAAAUACAUUUCCACAAAUUUCAUUGAUUCCUUCAGAAUCAUAUAACAUAAGUCUACAUUUGUCGACGUAUAUUUCUUCUGAAAAUUGCUAAAACCUUUUGGGCCCUGAACCAAAAUCCAUGGUAGAGUGCCUCUUGUACUCAUAUUGGUUCACAUAAAAGGAAGCAAGUAAUGAAGAAUAGCACUCGCUCUACAAACGAGUGGUAUUUACCACAGUAAUACCUACUCCUCAUAAGUAUCUUCCAUAUGGAAUACUAAAAACUUCUCAUUCAUAGACAAAGUCAAUGAGGUGGUGAGAAAGCGAGUCUUGUAGCAAAAGGGUUCACGCAGAGACCUGACAUCAAAGUAUGAUGUAACAUACCUUCUUGGUAUGAGUGGAACUAUGUUUCGAUAAUAAAUACCAUUGGCAGUACAAAUAAUAUUAUCCAUAUAGUUAAUGGAUGAAGUGACUACAUACUCAUAUGGGUUACUCAUUUCGGAAAUUUAUAAUGAAGUACCUCAAGGGCUUACAAUUCCGAAUCCAAAAUAAAUCGCAACAUAUAUGUGUAAAAUUUCAGAAGUAACUCUAUGGCUUGAAGUAGUCGGAAAUCAUAUGGUACUACCGACUAAAUGAGUUCCUUCUUCAAAGGAUUACUCAAAGGAUGAUAAAUUGUUUAUGUGUUAAUAAAGGUAUCCCAAAUUUGAAUUCCUUAUAUCACCUCAGUGUAUAUCGAUGAUUUCAUCAUCAAUGUCUCUACAAGACCUAAACAUACACAAAAUCAUCUCAAGACAGAAAAUUUGGAUUUAACCAAAUUUAGCUUAAGUUUACAACUUGAGCAUUCUCUCAAGAAUACAUAUCAGUCUACAUAUAUUCAAACAUAUACGAGAAGUUCAAUUUGGAUAUAUCAUAUCAACAAAAGACAUGUAUGGUCAUACUACCUUUGAUAAGGUACAAAUCCAUUCAUACCUAGGGGUGAUAAUGAAGUGAUACUAGGACCUGAAGUUCAGUAUAUCACUAAUGUCAAAGCACUCAUAUACUUGCAAACUACGUCAGGCCUGACACUAUAUUUGCUAUCUUUAUUCAGAGUGCAACCCCCAACAAAAGGUAUAUGGUUGAUAUAAGUAAUAUCAUCUUAUAUCUAAAGAUUACAGUAAAUCUUGGAUAUUUCCAUCAGGAAAUAGAAGAUAUGACCAUGAUAUGAUGUAAUGAUAUUGGCUCUUUAUUUGAUCCCAACGAUGCCAUAUCAAUGACUGAAUUUGCAGGAAUAGCCUUCACAUGGAAGUCAUAUAAAUGGAUUUUAGUGGUUAUUUCAAGUUAUCAUUCUAACAUAAUUGUUUUAUCUAAAGGCAUUGCAAAAUAUGCAUAACUUAGUAGAAUGGUUAAUCACACUCAAAAUCAUGUGGUUGAGAUUCAUCAGAAUCACAUAACUUGAUUUAUCAAGAUACUUCCACUUGUGUUACUCAAUACCUAUAGGUUAUAUGAAGAGCAAUAUCAUAAAUCACAUUGCUAGGAAAUUACUUAGCCUCACGGAUUAUAGAAAAGUGAGGAAAUAAUUUGCAAACAAACUACUGUUAUAAUCCAACAGAUUAUACACAAUCUCAUGUUCAUGUCAAUGGAAUUGGUAUGAGACAUCCUUCAUAUUUGCAAAGUUCAGGGGGAGUAAUGUCCCAAACUAUAACCUAUUAACAAUCAUCAGAUUGCAUAUAUUGUACUCUUUUUCCCUUGAUGAGUUUUCCCUAUUGGUUUCUCAUAAAAGGUUUUUACCGAGACAAUAUAAACACAAGUGUCUUUAUAUGCUAUAUCAUUUUCUCCUUCUAUUUUUCCCAUUGGGUUUUAAAGGAGUUUUCAAUGGCAUGUACGAUUGCACUCUUUUCCCUUAUGAGUUUUCUCUCAAAGUUUCUCAUAAUGGUUUUUAGUGAGGCAAUAUCUUCUCAAAGAUCACAUGUCAUACUUUCUAUUUUCCCUACCAGGGUUUUUAAAGGAAGUACUCAAGACAUAUUAAUUGUUCUCUAAACUUAUCAAUGAGUUUUCUCCUUCUUCAAAGGUUUUUCUCAUAUGAGUUAUCAAGAGACAAUAAUCAUCAUAUGUUGCAUCAUUUUCUCCUUAUUUUUCACACUGGGUUUAAAGGAAUUUUAGCAACAUAUCUACUCUAUUCUCCUCAUAUUUUUCCCACAGGGUUUUUGGGGGAGACUCUCAAGAUUAUCUAAGAUUUCUCAAGAUGGAAGAUCUAUAUAUGCAAGACGCUUUCAACAAUGAAGCAUUCAAGGAACGGUGUUGUACAAGGGGGAGUGUUAUAAAUUAAUUAGGAAAGGGUGUUCAACCCCGAAAAGUCAUGUCUAUUCUAUCUCUCUAUUGCCAACACGCACCUGUUCUGGAGGGAUGCCUCCGAACAGGCACCUCUUCUUCGCACCUCUUCCAGAUGUAUAUAAACUUGAGAAUCAAUAGAAAUCAGUGAUGAUCGUCCAUUACUUUCAUUCAAUCUCGUUUUACUCUAACACAUACAACGAUGACUACGCUAAAUUGCAAAAGGAACUAGAUCAUGCUAUUGUUCUUACUCGUGUGCUUAAGUCUGAAAAGGCUACACUUGGGGUUGGCCAUGACAGACUCAAAGUGGAGUUUGACACACUUGACAAGGCCCACAAGGUCUUGAAAGGUACUCAUUUCCCCCUGAAAGGGUCUCAUGAUCAACUCCAAGCAAAGCUUACCAAGCAGAUCUCUACUUGUCCUCCUUUCGUUAUAAUUGAUAAUGCUUGUACAACUAACCCUUGUUGUGAGCAUGUCCAUCUUGUGGAGGAAAAUUCCAAGUUGAAGGAUCAACUUGAGGAGGGCCUUGUGUCAUGCAUCCAAGGCGAGAAGAACCUGAACGACCUCUUGAGCAAUCAAAAGGGUGUUGUAGGAAAGGAGGGACUUGGACUUACAUCCAAGUCAAAAAGAAAAGGGAAGAACAGGAACAAACGAUCCCCUACCCUCAUGGACAUCUUUGUCAAAGAGGGCGAAGGGACUCAGGAGGAGAACGGGAACAAGGUGGAGAAUGGUAGAGUCAAGAAGGGCAAAACCAUUCCUACCAACACAGCCGGCAAACUCAAUCCAUCCUAUGUUUUAUGUCGUGCUGGUGAUGGGCAUUUUAAGCCAGAUUUGUUGGUUCUUACUAUGAGUCCACUGAAUGGGCUAUUUGGGUUCAUAAGACCCUUGUCUCUAACAUUAAAGGACCCAUUCAAAAAUGGGUACCUAAAACCAAGCCUUGAUCUAUUGCAGGAGCUUGCUUCCGGUGGGGUGUCAUGGUUGCUCGAUAGUGGAGCAACGAAUCAUAUGAACGGAAGCAAGGACCUAGUGGUGGAUGUGCAUCCUUCCCCAUCUAUGCCCACCCAUGUCCAAUUCGUCGAUGCAUCAUCGUCAAAGGUAUUGGGAUUUGGUAAGGUGGUCAUCUCUCAAGACUUAUCUAUUGAGAAGGUCAUGCUUGUUGAGUCCCUUGCUUACAAUUUACUUUUGGUUCGUCAACUUGCAAUUAUGGGCUUUUCCACAUUAUUUAAUCUUGAUAUCGUGGUCCUUUUGUGGAGCAAGACUCUUAAAGUAGCCUAUGUUGGAUAUGUCGAAAAUGGUCUCUAUGUGGUGAACUUUUCAAAGCAACCCACUAAAACUGCAACUUGUCUAAUGGCUAAAGUUGAUGUGGGCUGGCUUUGGCAUCGCCGACUAGCUCAUGUCAAUAUGAGAUGUUUGCAAAGUCUCCUCAAAGGGGGCCAUAUUCGUGGACUAACAAAUGUGAGUUUUGCCAGAGAUCAUGCUUGUAGUGCCUGCAUUGAAGGGAAGAUUCAUGAAACUGCUCAUCGUCCAACGACUCUCAUUUACACUAAGAGGCCAUUGGAGCUCCUUCAUAUGGAUCUCUUCGGUCCUCCAUCAUUUGAUAGUCUUGGGGGCAGAAAGUACUGCUUGGUGAUUUUUGAUGACUACUCAAGAUACACUUGGGUAUAUUUCUUCAAGAGGAAGAGUGAGACUCAACAAACUGUCAUCAACUUUGCUAAUGAAGCUCAACGUCAACAUGAAGCAAAGAUUUUGAUGAUUAGAAGUGACAACGGCACCGAGUUCAAGAACUACACCUUGGAUGAGUUUCUAGGUGAUGAGGGAAUAAAACAUCAAUAUUCAGCACCAUACACCCCUCAACAAAAUGGUGUGGCAGAAAGGAAGAAUCAGACGUUGACGGACGCGGCAAGAACAAUGAUGGCGGAAUUCAAAUCUCCAUAUAACUUUUGGGCCGAAGCCAUCAACACAGCAUGUCAUGCAUCCAAUCGGCUCUAUAUCCGCAAAGGCUUGAACAAGACCCCAUAUGAGAUUCUCAUCGUAAACAAACCCAAUCUCAAGUACUUCCAGGUAUUCAGGUGUAAGUGUUUCAUUCUCAAGAAAGGUGCACGUUUAGCUAAAUUUGAUUCUAGAGCUCAAGAGGGCAUCUUUGUUGGUUAUGCUACAAACUCUCAUGCUUACUGUGUCCUCAACAAGUCCACCGGGCUCAUUGAGGAAACGUGUAACGUGGAGUUUGACGAAAAUAAUGGCUCCCAAGUGGAGCAAAAUGGUCUGUGUGAUGUAGGUGAUGAAAUUCCUCCUGAAGCCAUAAGAAGAAUGGGUAAUGGUCAAAUACUCCCCAUUGAGGAACCCCUUGUGGCCGAAGGAGAAGGACAAUGCUCUACUCAAGUGGAGCCAUCAUCCUCACAAGCCCCACACGCUUCCGAUGAACAAAGAGAAAACCCUCAACCAGUUGAACAAGUUCAAGGACAAGAUCAAUUGCUCAAAGAUGGUGAUGUGCCCCAUGAUGUCCAAGUGCUUACACAAGGUACCGAAUCUGGUCAAGAUCAAGAUCAAGUGCAACUACAAGAUCCAAACCAAAUAGAGGCACAAGAUCAAGAUCAAGAGCAACCACAAGAUCAAGGACAAACCAGUGAGCCUCCUCAAGUCAAAAAUCAAUUUGAUCAGGAUGUUGUCUCUCAAUUUCCUUCUGCAGCACCUAAGAGGGCUACUCGUGCCAGGGGAGGAUCAAAAUGCAAGUCCAAGCAAAGUAAUCAAGUCGCUGCUCCCUAGCUAUCAAAUGAAGAACUCUUGGAGUGUCGCGCAGCCAAGAUUGCAAACAAGCUCAGAGUCAAGUCACAUAUUAUGAAGAAUGUGCUUGGUAGUUUGAAAAGGGGAGUAUCCACUCGUCAACAAAUUUGGAAUUAUUGUGAGCAUCACACGUUUGUUUCGUAUUGUGAACCUCAACAGGUACAGGAAGCGCUCGAUGAUGAGGAUUGGCUUAUGGCCAUGCAUGAAGAACUCAACAACUUUGAGCGUAAUCAAGUCUGGAAUUUAGUGCCAAGACCGAAGGAGGAACAUAAUAUCAUCGGGACCAAAUGGAUCUUCAAAAACAAGCAAUAUGCCAAUGGGAUUGUGGUUCGAAACAAGGCAAGAUUGGUGGAUCAAGGCUACUCCCAAGUCGAGGGUAUCGACUACGGUGAAACCUUUGCCCCUGUUGCUCGUCUAGAAUCUAUUCGCAUGCUGCUUGCAUUUGCUUCUCAUCAUAAUUUCGAAUUACAACAAAUGGAUGUAAAAAGUGCUUUUCUUAAUGGUCCUUUAAAUGAGUUGGUCUAUGUCAAACAACCCCCGGGGUUCGAACAUCCCAAGCUCCACAAUCAUGUGUACAAACUUAAUAAGGCACUCUAUGACCUUAAACAAGCCCCACGUGCGUGGUAUGAGUACCUUACUGAGUUGUUACAAGAUCGUGGGUUUGAAAUUGGGAAGAUAGAUCCCACUCUUUUUACCAAGAAGGUCAAAGGGGAUUUGUUCAUAUGCCAACUAAAUGUUGAUGAUAUCAUUUUUGCUUCCCCUAACGAAUCUUUCAAUGAAGAAUUUGUUGCACUAAUGACCAAGAAAUUUGAGAUGCCUAUGAUGGGUGAGUUGAAGUUCUUCCUCGGGUUCGAGAUUAAACAAGGAUUAGAAGGGACCUUCAUCAAACAAGCUAAGUACACUCAAGACAUGCUCAAGAGGUUCGAGCUAGAGGAUGUCAAGCCGGUCAAGUUUCCCAUGCAAACAAGAUGCAAGCUGGACAGUGAUCCCAAUGGUAAAGUAGUGGAUCAAAAGGUAUAUCGCUCCAUGAUUGGAUCCCUUCUUUACCUUUGUGCAUCUAGACCGGAUAUCAUGUUGAGUGUAGGGAUUUGUGCACGGUUUCAAUCUGCACCAGAAGAAAGCCAUUAUAUGGCCGUUAAGCGAAUCUUUGGAUAUUUGGCUCAUAUCCCCAAACUUUGGUCUAUGGAAUCCCAAAGGAGCAAACUUCAACCUAGUGGGCUAUUCUGACUCAGAUUGGGCGGGAGACUGUGUGGAGAGGAAGUCAACUUCUGGAGGAUGUCAAUUCCUUGGUCGUUCAUUGGUAAGUUGGUCUUCAAAGAAGCACAAAUGUGUCUCACUAUCUUCCAUCGAAGCUGAGUAUGUGGUAGCUGCAAGUUGUUGUGCACAGUUGCUAUGGAUGAGGCAAACUUUAAAGUAUUAUGGUGUCACUUGUGACAAAGUGCCUCUUCUAUGUGACAAUCAAAGUGCUAUCAAGAUUUCCCUCAAUCUGGUGCAACAUAGCAAGACCAAGCACAUUGAUAUUCGCCAUCACUUCAUUCGUGAACAUAUCAAGCGAGGUGAUAUUGAGGUUCACUUCAUCAACACUGAAGAGCAACUUGCACAUAUUUUCACUAAGCCCCUAGAUGAAGCAAGGUUCCGGGAGUUAAGGCAUGAGCUAAAUAUCAUUGAUUCAAGUAAUGUGGAUUGAAACUAGGCACUUUGCACCUCACUUUGCAUUAUAUCUUGUUCUAGGUGUAGGCAUGGACAUAGGGGGAGUGUUGUUCUCUCAAUGAACUUUCCCUCCCCCCAUUAUGCAUAAAUCGAUCAAGUCUUUCACUUUGGCCAUUAUUAAAUGGCACUUGUGCUUCAAAGACGAGCGUUGGUCAUGAACCCAAGGAUAAUUCUUCGCGGUGUCAUACCUUUGUCUCAAACAUAGGUGGCUUCGGCCACCGCCCCACCUUUCUCUCGUGUUGAAGAAAGGAUACAAAAUGACUAGUUAGUAUAUCUUGCUGGUGUUAUCUUUUUUCACUGACUAGUCAUUGCCCACAUCAUAAGUCCUAAGUCUCUUUGUGCUUUCUGGAGUGGUACUACCGCCAGGGGUAGCGGUACUACCGCCAGGACCCCCAGCGGUACUACCGCCAGGGGGAGCGGUACUACCACAAGGACCCCAGCGGUACUACCGCUAGGGGGAGCGGUACUACCGCCAGGACCCGAGCCUAUCGUGGCUUGACUAGGGCUUUUUAGGGCUGUCUCAAGGGGAGCAGUACUACCGCGAGGAUGGCGGUACUACCGCUAUGACCCCAGCGGUACUACCGCCAGGGGGAGCGGUACUACCGCUAUGGCGCAGCGGUACUACCGCUGCGCCCGUACCCCUUGGACUAUAUAAAGGGAGGGGAGCCGUUUUUCUUGCCCCACUUCUUCUUCUUCGUGGCUCUCUCGCCCUCUACACCGAAUCCCCCCAGUUUAGAUCUCUCUGUGCGGAGCCUCUCCUCUCUUUUUAGUUGGAGGAUUUGCUCCCCUCCUCCUUCCUUCGUCAAGUGCCAUGGAACCCGGUAAAGCUCCUCCCCUUCUUCUCUUGGUUGGUGUGUUUGUUUCUAGGGUUAGGAGCUUGUUGAUUUGGAUCCAUGGAUAUGCUUUGUGCUUAGUUUUUGGAUGGAACAAGGGAGAAACCUUAGGGGAUUUUAGGUCUAAUGUUCUUCAUUGCAAAUAUUUUGGCAUGCCCUAGUUCUCCAUGUUUUAGAUCUAGUAGCCAUUAUCAUACAUCUCAUGGAUUUGACCUAAACUUGGAUCCCAUUGACUAGACUUGUCUCCAUCUAGAUGAUCUAGAGUUCCACAUGUUUUCGGGCUAUGGUGAUUCUUGUGAUAAGUUUAUUUGUUAGGCGUGGAUCUCUUGAAACGAUUCUAUUAAUUUUUAGUUGGUUCAAAUCUGUCCAGAUCUGAAAGUCAAUCCCUAGCGGUACUACCGCUCCACUCGGGCGGUACUACCGCUAAGGAGGUAGCGGUACUACUCCCAGCCUGGCGGUACUACCGCUAAGGGCCAGCGGUACUACCGCUAGCUUCGCGGUACUACCGCUAUGACCCCAGCGGUACUACCGCCAGGGCGAGUGGUACUACCGCCAGGAGGGCAUUUUUUUCAUUUCCCUUGGCAAUGUGUGUUUCUUCUUAUGAUUUUUGAACAUUGCCAUGACUCCUUUUGUCGCUCUUUUUGUGUGUGUGUCUUGUGUGUCACAGGUGGUUCUCGUCGCUCGAAUCCUGCACGUAACACCCAAUCAAAGCAGUACCGCAAUCAAGAGGCUCCAUAAGGUUUCACAACUUCCAUUCUAACCCCUAAAAAGAAGUCUUUCAAGAAGGUUGCCACCAAGUCCAAAGGGCUCAAUGUCCACACUAUGCCUCCUAAGGACUUUGCACACUCCGUACCCGUGAUCUCUAUGGUGAUGAAAAGGUUCAGCUCAUGGGCGUCGAUCAUGUUUGGUCACGGGAACAGGCAAUGAUCUUUCAUGACAUCAUCAUGCCCUUCAAGAAGAUUUAUGUCCUAGUGCAGUGGAUCGACCUCGCUCACCUUCGGCGGCAUCAGGACUACUUUGGCGAGGCUCUCUCCUUGGUUGACUGAUACGUCUCCAACGUAUCUAUAAUUUUUUAUGGUUUCAUGCUAUUAUCUUAUCAAACUUUGGAAGUUUUGCAUGCCUUUUAUAUAUUUUUUGGACUAACUUAUUGACUCAAUGCCAAGUGCCAGUUCCUGUUUUUUUCCAUGUUUUUGACCCCUUUCAGAGGAGAUUUUGAAACGGAGUCCAAACGGAAGAAAAUCCCCGAAAAGAUUUUUUUCAUAACGUAAGAAGAUCGGGAAGCUUGGGAGCCAAGGCAGGGGAGCCUCAGGGGCGCCACAAGCCCCCACCCCACGGCCACGGGGGUAGGCCGCGGCCCAUAGUCUUGUGGGCCCCCUGGGCACCCUUUGCCCUAGGGGUUGAGCCUAUAUAUUCCCUAAAAAUCCCAAAAAAAUCACGAGAUCAUCGAAAUCACUUUUCCGCCGCCGCAAGCUUUUGUCUCCGCAAGAUCCCAUCUGGGCACGUUCUGGUGCCCUGCCGGAGGUGGGAUUCAGACACGGAGGGCUUCUUCAUCAAUACCAUGACCUCUCCGAUGAUGCAUGAGUAGUUCACCAUAGACCUACGGGUCCAUACUUAGUAUCUAUAUGGCUUCUUCUCUCUAUUGGAUCUUCAAUACAAAGUUCUCCAUGAUCUUCAUGGAGAUCUAUCCGAUGUAAUCUUAUUUUGCGGUGUGUUUGUCGAGAUCCGACGAAUUGUGGAUUUAUGAUCAGAUUAUCUAUAAAUCUUAUUUGAGUUUCUUCUGAUCUCUCUUAUGCAUGAUUUCAUAUCCUUGUAAUUCUCUUCGAGUUGUGGGUUUUGUUUGGCCAACUAGAUCUAUUAUUCUUGCAAUGGGAGAAGUGCUUGGUUUUGGGUUCAUACCGUGCGGUGACCUCACCCAGUGACAGAAGGGGUAACGAGGCACGCAUCAUGUUGUUGCCACCAGGGGUAAAAAGAUGGGGUUUUCAUCAUUGGUUUGAGAUUUUCCCUCUACAUCAUGUCAUCUUGCUUAAGGCGUUACUCUGUUCGUCAUGAACUCAAUACACUAGAUGCAUGCUAGAUAGCGGUCGAUGUGUGGAGUAAUAGUAGUAGAUGCAGAAAGUAUCGGUCUACUUGUCUCGGACGUGAUGCCUAUAUGUAUGAUCAUUACCUUAGAUAUCGUCAUGAAUUUGCGCGGUUUUAUCAAUUGCUCGACAGUAAUUUGUUUACCCAUCGUGAUAUUUCCUAUUUUGAGAGAAGCCUCUAGUGAACACUAUGGCCCCCGGGUCUACUCCACACCAUAUUUUCGGCCUUACACUUUUUACUUCGUUGCACUUUCCGCCUUCAGAUCUCACUUUGCAAACAAUCUUGAAGGGAUUGACAACCCCUUUGAAGCGUUGGGUGCAAGCUCUUUUGUGUUUGCGCAGGUACUAUGGACUUGACGAGACCCUCCUUCUGGAUCGAUACCUUGGUUCUCAAACUAAGGGAAAUACUUACUGCUCGUGUGCUGCAUCACCCUUUCCUCUUCAAGGGAAAAACCAACGCAAGCCCAGUCUCCGUCAACGUGUCAAUUUUUGGCAGUGCUGUUUGAGAACUAGCAUUGACAAGCUUGGCAUUACGGAUAUCAUCACCAUUCUCUUCGAGUUGUGGGUUUUGUUUGGCCAACUAGAUCUAUUAUUCUUGCAAUGGGAGAAGUGCUUGGUUUUGGGUUCAUACCGUGCGGUGACCUCACCCAGUGACAGAAGGGGUAACGAGGCACGCAUCAUGUUGUUGCCACCAGGGGUAAAAAGAUGGGGUUUUCAUCAUUGGUUUGAGAUUUUCCCUCUACAUCAUGUCAUCUUGCUUAAGGCGUUACUCUGUUCGUCAUGAACUCAAUACACUAGAUGCAUGCUAGAUAGCGGUCGAUGUGUGGAGUAAUAGUAGUAGAUGCAGAAAGUAUCGGUCUACUUGUCUCGGACGUGAUGCCUAUAUGUAUGAUCAUUACCUUAGAUAUCGUCAUGAAUUUGCGCGGUUUUAUCAAUUGCUCGACAGUAAUUUGUUUACCCAUCGUGAUAUUUGCUAUUUUGAGAGAAGCCUCUAGUGAACACUAUGGCCCCCGGGUCUACUCCACACCAUAUUUUCAGCCUUACACUUUAUACUUCGUUGCACUUUCCGCCUUCAGAUCUCACUUUGCAAACAAUCUUGAAGGGAUUGACAACCCCUUUGAAGCGUUGGGUGCAAGCUCUUUUGUGUUUGCGCAGGUACUAUGGACUUGACGAGACCCUCCUUCUGGAUCGAUACCUUGGUUCUCAAACUAAGGGAAAUACUUACUGCUCGUGUGCUGCAUCACCCUUUCCUCUUCAAGGGAAAAACCAACGCAAGCCCAGUCUCCGUCAAUGCAUCAAUUUUUGGCGAUGUCGCUUGAGAAGUAGCAGAAGGAUUUCUGGCGCCGUUGCCACGGAGGAAGAUCAAGUCAAGAACUCAUCCAAGUAGGUGUCGCAAACUCAUCUCUUGCAUUUACUUUGUUUUCCAGUUGCCUCUCGUUUUCCUCUCCCCCACUUCACCAAUUUGCCUUUUUUGUUUGCCUUUUUCGUUCGUCUUUUCGUUCGCCCUUUUUCUCCCCUGCUCUUUGUUUGCUUGUGCGCCUGCUUGCUUGCCGAAGUCACCAUGAACGAAAACACCAAACUUUGUGACUUCUCGAAUACUAAUAAUAAUGAUUUUAUUAGAACUCCGAUUGCUCCCGCCACUAGUGAAAAGACCUCGAUGACGCCUAGAGGGGGGUGAAUAGGCUAUCUAAAAACUUCUUCGGAUUUGGCUUGAACCUAAUGCGGAAAUAAACUAAACGAGGCACGCAUCAUGUUGUUGCCACCAGGGGUAAAAAGAUGGGGUUUUCAUCAUUGGUUUGAGAUUUUCCCUCUACAUCAUGUCAUCUUGCUUAAGGCGUUACUCUGUUCGUCAUGAACUCAAUACACUAGAAAGCGUUCUGUAGAUCGGAAGNNNNNNNNNNNNNNNNNNNNNNNNNNNNNNNNNNNNNNNNNNNNNNNNNNNNNNNNNNNNNNNNNNNNNNNNNNNNNNNNNNNNNNNNNNNNNNNNNNNNNNNNNNNNNNNNNNNNNNNNNNNNNNNNNNNNNNNNNNNNNNNNNNNNNNNNNNNNNNNNNNNNNNNNNNNNNNNNNNNNNNNNNNNNNNNNNNNNNNNNNNNNNNNNNNNNNNNNNNNNNNNNNNNNNNNNNNNNNNNNNNNNNNNNNNNNNNNNNNNNNNNNNNNNNNNNNNNNNNNNNNNNNNNNNNNNNNNNNNNNNNNNNNNNNNNNNNNNNNNNNNNNNNNNNNNNNNNNNNNNNNNNNNNNNNNNNNNNNNNNNNNNNNNNNNNNNNNNNNNNNNNNNNNNNNNNNNNNNNNNNNNNNNNNNNNNNNNNNNNNNNNNNNNNNNNNNNNNNNNNNNNNNNNNNNNNNNNNNNNNNNNNNNNNNNNNNNNNNNNNNNNNNNNNNNNNNNNNNNNNNNNNNNNNNNNNNNNNNNNNNNNNNNNNNNNNNNNNNNNNNNNNNNNNNNNNNNNNNNNNNNNNNNNNNNNNNNNNNNNNNNNNNNNNNNNNNNNNNNNNNNNNNNNNNNNNNNNNNNNNNNNNNNNNNNNNNNNNNNNNNNNNNNNNNNNNNNNNNNNNNNNNNNNNNNNNNNNNNNNNNNNNNNNNNNNNNNNNNNNNNNNNNNNNNNNNNNNNNNNNNNNNNNNNNNNNNNNNNNNNNNNNNNNNNNNNNNNNNNNNNNNNNNNNNNNNNNNNNNNNNNNNNNNNNNNNNNNNNNNNNNNNNNNNNNNNNNNNNNNNNNNNNNNNNNNNNNNNNNNNNNNNNNNNNNNNNNNNNNNNNNNNNNNNNNNNNNNNNNNNNNNNNNNNNNNNNNNNNNNNNNNNNNNNNNNNNNNNNNNNNNNNNNNNNNNNNNNNNNNNNNNNNNNNNNNNNNNNNNNNNNNNNNNNNNNNNNNNNNNNNNNNNNNNNNNNNNNNNNNNNNNNNNNNNNNNNNNNNNNNNNNNNNNNNNNNNNNNNNNNNNNNNNNNNNNNNNNNNNNNNNNNNNNNNNNNNNNNNNNNNNNNNNNNNNNNNNNNNNNNNNNNNNNNNNNNNNNNNNNNNNNNNNNNNNNNNNNNNNNNNNNNNNNNNNNNNNNNNNNNNNNNNNNNNNNNNNNNNNNNNNNNNNNNNNNNNNNNNNNNNNNNNNNNNNNNNNNNNNNNNNNNNNNNNNNNNNNNNNNNNNNNNNNNNNNNNNNNNNNNNNNNNNNNNNNNNNNNNNNNNNNNNNNNNNNNNNNNNNNNNNNNNNNNNNNNNNNNNNNNNNNNNNNNNNNNNNNNNNNNNNNNNNNNNNNNNNNNNNNNNNNNNNNNNNNNNNNNNNNNNNNNNNNNNNNNNNNNNNNNNNNNNNNNNNNNNNNNNNNNNNNNNNNNNNNNNNNNNNNNNNNNNNNNNNNNNNNNNNNNNNNNNNNNNNNNNNNNNNNNNNNNNNNNNNNNNNNNNNNNNNNNNNNNNNNNNNNNNNNNNNNNNNNNNNNNNNNNNNNNNNNNNNNNNNNNNNNNNNNNNNNNNNNNNNNNNNNNNNNNNNNNNNNNNNNNNNNNNNNNNNNNNNNNNNNNNNNNNNNNNNNNNNNNNNNNNNNNNNNNNNNNNNNNNNNNNNNNNNNNNNNNNNNNNNNNNNNNNNNNNNNNNNNNNNNNNNNNNNNNNNNNNNNNNNNNNNNNNNNNNNNNNNNNNNNNNNNNNNNNNNNNNNNNNNNNNNNNNNNNNNNNNNNNNNNNNNNNNNNNNNNNNNNNNNNNNNNNNNNNNNNNNNNNNNNNNNNNNNNNNNNNNNNNNNNNNNNNNNNNNNNNNNNNNNNNNNNNNNNNNNNNNNNNNNNNNNNNNAUACCUUUGAGUUAGCCCUUUCACCUGAGCUUGAUGUUAUUGUUCCUUCUUGGCUCAAGUUGAAAGCAAGACAUGAUGAAGUCUUCAAGUAGUUUUCCCAUACACAAUGCGGAAAGCCUAGCUUAUGUAUUUAUCUUCAUUUGUCCACCAUGUGAACAUCCACAAGAAUCAAGCAUGUAGUGCUCAAGAAUGCUUAUCUUGAUCUUGUCCUGUCCACCAUGUGAACAUCCACAAGAAUCAAGCAUGUAGUGCUCAGGAAUGCUUAUCUUGAUCUUGUCCUUGUUAGCUCAUGAGAUUGUCCUUAUCAACACAUGAUCAUUGACAAUAGUUUCAAUGAUAUAUUCGUGUUGAUCCACUUGAACUUGCACACCACAAUCUUGAUGACGAUCACCACUUGACGUCAUCCUUCAUGGGUUGUAUGAGAUCUUCCUUUUGACGCAAGCCCAAUGGAAACACACCUAACCCCCACAUAGGAGUCUCACAAAGACCAUGGGUUAGUACACAAACACGUAAUGGACAAUGCUUACCAUACCAUGGGAUCACUUGAUCCCUCUCGGUACAUCUUAUACGCUUUGUGUGUUGAUCAUCUUGAUUUACUCUUAGUCUGAGAUCUUGAUCAACCUAGUUUUUAUAUGACCAUUCUUUGGAUAAUACCUUGAAUAACAUCUUGGUCAUCAUAUAAACUCCUUGAACCCAACAGAUGGGCUUCAAGAAGUGCCUAUGGACAAAUCCUAUAAAUAUAACAUAAGGCAACCAUUAGUCCAUCAGAAUUGUCAUCAAUUACCAAAACCACAUAUGGAGAUAUAUGCUCUAACAAUCUCCCCCAUUUUGGUAAUUGAAGACAACCACUUCAAGAGAAUUUAUGUAAAGAAAUAAGCAUAACCAAGCGCACACAUGUAAAUGCUUACGCAAUAAAAGCAAAACCCUCUAAACAUAUCCAAAGUAAACUCUCUAAACUUCUCCCCCAUUGGCAUCGAUUGCCAAAAUGGACGAAAAGUUUAGAAAGCCAAUAUAGUAGGUGGUCCUCCAAAAAGUGUGUACUUCUCAGCAAAUGAGUGCAGAAAAAAAACACAAAUACAAUGAUAAGUAGUUGGAGGAAAACAAACUAUAUUGAGGACCCAAAGAUUGCAAAUAAAAGGACCGUAUGCCACAAAGACAUACACAGAUAGAGGCAAGCAAUCAAAAGAUUCCAGAUGGAACAAACAAUCAUAUGGUCCUUCGAACCAUGUGAAUAAAAGAUAUUAUGAUAAAGGCAACAUAGUGUUUUAUCAAAAACUAGAGAAGCUCCCCAUGAUUUGUGCACUAAUAUGAGAUUUUUGUAUUUGACACAGGUGCACAAAAUAGGAUCGUUGCUCCCCCAGAAUUUAUAAAACACACAACGAGUGCAAGGGGAUAGAUGAGACACUAAGCACAUAAAUUGCACAAAACAAAUGGUUGAGCAACAUGUAAUAGAAGCAACUUAAGAAUAGGAUCAAACAAAGUAAUGUGUAUGAGUCAUGGCAAAGCACUUGAGAAGACUAAGAUAAGGAUGAGCAUUACUCAUCAACAUAGUCUUGAUGAAAUGAGAUACAAAGUGCAAGACAUAUCAUUCCCACACACACAUACUAGAAAAUGGGUUCACAAGCUUACUAAUAAACAAAAUAAGAACCAACGCUUGUGACAACCCAUUGUGAAGAUAGGAAGUAAGAACCUUGUCAAGAGGAGGGAUACUAAUUGAGAAUGGCAAAACCCUCAUCAAGACAAGCAUGAGGAAAAAAAUAAUCUUCACGGCCAACGAGUGCAUGAAGAAGUAGGAAAAUAAGAUACGCACUCAAAACAAAUCCUUUCACGAAACCAUCAAAAACUGAAAAAGGAGAUGUAACGAUGGACGUGAAAGAAAAAGAGGAUAUCAAUUAGAGAUGUAACUUCUCUUAUGUGUAAAAGAUUCUAAGUAGAAGACAAUCAUGAUGAUAUAUAUCCAUAAAGAAGGAUAUACACACAAAAUGGUUACAAUAAGGAACAAACUAGAUAUCCAAAAAGGAAGUCAUAAAUAUAUCAAUGAGAUCUUCUGCUUGGAAGCAUAGCACAUGGCCUAAUAUUUUCUUAUUGUAUAAUAUGAACUUCCAACAUACGAACAUCAAAGACAUCCCAACUAGCAGUAAGACAUCAUCGUUCGGAUGCUUUGAGAAAGCAAACAAGUACUACGAGAACAAAUCAAGAGAUUCAUGCCAUGAUGCAACCUGGAAAAGAAAAGACAGGUUGGGUCCUUUGCAAGGAAAGAAUGCAUGAAGUGGAUACUUGUUACCGAGACAACAUUGGAUUGAUGUAGUAUAUAGUUGUUCUUUGAUCAUCCUAACUUGGCUCCAAUAAUCAUAUGGUCUCAACAUCUUCCUUAUAGGUGAGCUGAGCAUCCAAUGCAUCUCCAGUUGUUCCUAGAACAACAAAAACAAACAAAAUGGUGCCCAAACUCAUUGGGACCAAAGAGUUAGAAAACCAGCAAUACAUAUGACAAACUCCACACACAUAUGUGCAUAUAGAUAUGAAUUUGAAUUUCAUGCACACCUUAGGCAAUUUAUGACAGGGUGGAGUUUCCCUUAUAUAUUGGGUCAAAGGAGGAAAGCAAGCAAAAGAAGUUGUAUAUAGUAGCUAGAUAUGCAUGCUCAAGACUCUCAAGAAUCAACUCAACACAAAGUUGAUAAGUCAUCAAGUAUCAAGUGAUAAUAAGAUCCUAAAACAAAAGAACUAUCACUUGAAAGAUAUCAAUUAAAAGAUACAUCAAGGAAUGAGAUAUCCAUUGACACAUGCCAAAUAGAAGGCAACAAGAAACCAAUUGAAGGAAAACAAACACAAGGUAUCUAGUUUCUAAGAGAGAGCUAGGUUCCAACAAACAAAGCCCUCUACAAAUUUUCAUGAUGGCACAAAGCAUCAUAAAGAGCAAGACUUGCCUCCCAUCAACACACACUUGAUGGGGAUCAAAUGGUUUUAUGAUGGGUGAAUAAAGAGAGUGUUUUUAAAGAGAAUAGGAUAGCUCCCCCAAGGGACGUGCAUUAUAUAGAAUUUGCAUUUGAAUACAAAACGCACACGAUGGGAUCAUCAUUUUCUCUAUAUCUAUAACCACACUAGACAUGUUAAAAAUAGAUUCAUAAGGGACAAGAAAGACAAACGAAACACAAAAUCCAAUGUAAAGAUGAUUAUCAAUUCCAAUCACAUGAUGGGAAUACCAAUUGUCAAGGACAAGAAGUAUUUUUGAAAUGAUACUCAUUGGUAGAUCACAAAUAUAUCCAAGAUCAUCUUUACCCAUAAAACGCAAGCAAAUGACACUUGUAGAGCUAACAUGCAACCUAGGAACAAGAUAGUUUACAAUAUCAACGCUAUGUGGCAAUACGUCAAAUGUACACAUUUUCUAGGUUUGUAAUAUGCACAUAGCAUAUUACUCCCCCAUAAUGUGAUAAACCAAUAACAUUAACAAGUGGCAAAUUAAAACCAACAAGAGAUACUUAAUGGACCAUAUAGAAUUUGAAUUUCACAUGAGUAAGACAUACCACAUAGACACUAGAUAAUCUUGAAGCAUAAAAACUAAGUGGUAUUCCCCAUGUAUACACAUUUAUAGGAUUGUGAGGUGUGCAAAGCACAUCACUCCCCCACAAUGGGAUAAUCCAUUAAACUCUCACAAGAGCCAACAAAAAUACAGACAAGAUGCAAAUAGGCUCAAUACAAGACUCACAUGUACAUGAUGUGCAAACCAACAUACACAUACUCGAUUACUCAAGAUAAGCAAGUUGGAAGCACAACAUAUACAAACGCAUGCAAGGUACAAAACCACAACAUGCAAAGGGGCAAGCACCUAACAAUGUAAAUAGUUUAAGUAUAAGUUACCGUAAGGAGGCACAUUGGAUAUAAGAUAGAAACUCGAUAAUCCAAAUGACUUGGCUUGAGAUAAUAUGAAUGAUGAACACCCCUUAAUUCUUCAUUAUGUAUCCAAGUCUCUAAUGUCCUCCAUAGUCACCUAUUGAUCAAGUUUGAGCUUGUUGGUUCCCAACUACGUUGGGUCCUAAGAGGUUAAUCACAAUAGGCUUGGCAACCCAAAUGGUUCUUUUCUUGACACCAUUUUGAGUACCAACAAACUUGGCAAACACAUUGCCAACCUUAUCCUUCCCAAGGGAAUAGAUAUCAUCAAUAGUGAUUGGGUUGGAUAAGUUACCUCUUGUGCAAGACGAAGCGACGUGACCCUUCUCACGACAUAAGUAGCAACACCUACCCUUUGCUUUCUUCCCAGUUGAUUUCUCACCUCGGGGAGUGUUGGCUUGGGUCUUAUUGAGAAGAGGCAUUCCUUAAACUUGUAGUUGAAUAUGUGAUUGAGUUUGUGGCCGCUUCCCUUGUUGCUUGUGACUUUGAGACCUCGUCUUCAGAGGGCAAGAUCUAACAUGGUGCCCUUUAAGUUUGCACUUGAAGCAAAUGAUUUUGGCCAAAUUCUUGACUUGUUCUAGGCCCCUCUUGUUCUUGUUUGCGUUUACUCCAAACUCAUUUUUGUCAUUCGGAGAUGUUUGCUCACACAGGACGUUGUUGAGUGUGGGCAUCCCUUCAUGACACUGUUCCAAGUCUUUCUUCAAGGAAGUGACUUGGGCCUUGAGCUCUUUGGUUUCCUCUGCACGGUUAGUAUCAAUGCAAGUACUAGAGGAAGUGUAAGCUUCAAUGUUAGAGCAACAAGGCAAGGAAAGUAAUUCAGCACACGAGGUAGCAACAUUAUGAGUAGACGAAUUACGAGGACUAGCACAUGGAAAUAUAGUACUUUGACUAGAAGUAGUGCCAUUGUCCACAUGAGGCUCGCUUGAUGUUACCUUGGUGAUGAUAGCCUCAUGAGCUAACUUUUGCACAUUAUGGGAUGUUAGAAGAUCGGCAUGAGAGCUUGUGAGCAUUACAUGGUUUUCUUCCAACUUCCCAUAAUUGCUAGUUAGUAAAUCAAGUUGAGCACGUAGCUCAACAUUCUCCAUCAAUGUUGAUACUUCAAAUGAGGUAGAGUUAGAUGUACAAGUAUCAUCAACAAUAUGAGAGGAGUAAGUAGCAAACAGAGACUUCUCAUGAGUAGAUUGAAGCUCCUCAUAGAUCUUAGAGGUUUUGAUGAGCUCUCCCUUGACAUUAUUGCAUUCAAGGAGAAGGACCUCAAAAUCCUUUUUAAGUUUAUCAUGAGCAACUUCAAUCUCUCCUUUUGAAGAUCUUAAGUCUCUACAUGCUUGAUGACUCUUCUCAAGUUCAUGUUCAAGUUGUUCACUUUUAGCUUGUUCAUGAUUAAGUGAAUCAUUACAAUUUUCAAAGUAAGCAAGAACAUCUUGGAAUCUUUGAAGAGCGUUAUUUUUAGCUUUAUGAAGAAUUUUACUGAUCACAUAGAUAUUUUCAGUCAAGUCAUCAUCAUCAUCCUCAUCGCAAAUAUCAUCGUUAUUGCACAGGGAAGAUGAUACCUCAUUAUUACCUCUUGCCAUGAGGCACAUGUGAACUGGAGGAGUUGAUGAUGAUUCUUUUGGUGAAUCAGAUUCUUCAUUAGUCAAAAGUACUUCAUAUUUCUUGAUAUCCCCUAAAUGAUUAGUCAUAGAGGAACUAGGGAGAAACAAGAUAUUUUGAUCAAGAGGACACGAGGAAGCAGGCAUAUCACCACAGACAUUUGUCGAGGAAUCUUUAGGUGAAAUGCAUGACCUAUCAGCACAAUAAUUUACACUAUGUGUGGUGCUAGAUAUGCUCGUGUCCAUAGAGGCUAUGACAUUUUCAUCAACAUAUAUUUCUUCACUCACCAUGUCAUUACCUUGUGAGAUUGAAGAUGCUGAGGUGUGCAAGCAAUCGGAUAUGGAAGUAGUGGUGGACUCUUUAAGAUCGAAAAGAGUGAAGAGCUCAUGCACCAACUCCUUCAUCAUAAUACCAUCUUCAUCAAGAUUGGACCCACCAUAUAUGUAUUCAAGUUUAGUCCAAACUUCAUGAGCUGACUUGCAAGUCGAGAUAGACUUAAACACUUUAGGACUUAUGGUUCGAUGAAUGGCAAGAAAGGCCUCACAAUCAAGAUACAUUUCAUUAGUAGAUGAAGAUGCAUCAUCAUUUUUGUCGGCAAUCCCUACAAGAACAAUUCGUAAAGUAUUUGGGCCCAUGGCCCGAAAGUGAUGAAGCAUACGAAUUCUCCAUAGGGUAUAAUUUGUGCCAUCAAAGUCAAAGAUGCCAUUGUGCACUAAUCCAAUAGUCAACAUCGAUACUCUCUAGGUCGUGAAACCUAAUUAAAGAGAGACCUUGCUCUGAUACCAAUUGAAAAGACCUCGAUGACGCCUAGAGGGGGGUGAAUAGGCUAUUUAAAAACUUCUUCGGAUUUGGCUUGAACCUAAUGCGGAAAUAAACUAAGAGGGUACUUGUCAAGCACAAAUCCUAAAUGCACUAGGCACUGCAACGUGUAUCAACAACACGAUCUACCAAGAUGGACACAAUACAAUUAGUAACAAGCACAAGUAAGUUACACAAACUUACUUGAGCUAUAUCACACGACAAGUAGGUGAACAACACAAGAUACUAGAUCACACUAUAUCAACACGAUAUAUCAAGGGCUGUAAGUAUGAACGUGUGGAUAUAGAGGGUAUGCUUGAAUGAUUAAUCUUGUACAAGAAAUAGGAAACACAAUAUAAUGAGCACAACCAAUAUGCAAUGUAUGUAUGCUCAAAUAACACAAGUAAACCACAAGUAAGGAGUUAGGGUUAAGGAUAACCAAGGUCACUGAGACGAAGAUGUAUCCCGAUGUUCACUUCCUUGGAGGGAAGCUAGUCACCGUUAGAGAGGUGGAUGUUACCACGAAGGCACACCAACGCCACGAAGUCUCACCCUAUUCUCCCUUUGAGAUAACACCACGAAGGCGUUUCUCAACCACUAGUGGUAAGCCUUUGAGGUGGCUUCCAAACCCUCACAAACUUUUCCGGGGGAAAUCACACGAAUUGAUUCCUCUCCGAAGAACUCCUACCGCCUAGGAGUCUCCAACCUCCAAGAGUAACAAGAUCACGGGGAAUGCUCAAAACUUGCUCAAAUCACAAAUAGCUUUGGUUGAGAGAAGGAGAGGAAGACGAUCUAUCUUUUGAUUGGAGCAACUCUCAAAGGGGCUCACAAAUGCUCUUGGGAUCUAAGAUUUGGAGUGAGCAAAUGUGUGUGAGGUGGAAAUGUGUUCUUAUGAGGAUAAGGCUCUGUUGGGCUACCCUCUCAUGAAGUGGGAGGGGGUUAUUUAUAGUGUGGAGUGAAAUCCAGCCGUUGGAGGUACUUUAAGACACACAGGGUCCGUACGUCCGACAGUUGUCGGAAGUCCGGGCGUCCGCGAGGGGUCGGACGUUCGACGGCGGUCGGUCGUCCGAGGCCUGAAGAUAUCACUGAAAAUACUGGGGACACUUUAAGUUACACAGGGUCCGGACGUCCGACAGUUGUCGGAAGUCCGGGCGUCCACGAGGGGUCAGACGUCCGACAGGGGUCGGACGUCCGAGGCCUGUAGAUACGACUGAAACUAUUUUGAAUUAAACAGUGACCGGACGUCCGAAGGGGACCGGAAAUCCGAGUUAUACAACUCAAAUUCUACUGGUGGUAGGUUCCGGAUUUCCGAUGGGGGUCGGACGUCCGGCCCUCGGACGUCCGGAGGGAGCCGGAAAUCCGAGUUAUAGAGCUCAUGUUCUUCUGGUGCAAGGCUCCGAAUUUCCGAGGCAGUCGGUCGUCCGACCCUCGGACGUCCGGAGGAAGCCGAAUGUCCAAGGCAUUGGUUCUGUUUUCAGAUAACAGCAAAGCAGCGGAGAUGUGGUGUGAGCAGAAAGUGAAGUUGUAGUUUGAGCAAGUUCAUCGCAAAACCUGUGAUCCCCUCUUAAUAGUGCGGGAUCCCUAAGGACUCAAGAAUCAUAAAAGAGUACUGAUGAUCCAUACUUGAGUGUAUACUUUUAUUCACUGAUCAUCACUCCGCACCAUUAACGUCAAAGGAACUCAUACCUUUGAGUUAGCCCUUUCACCUGAGCUUGAUGUUGUUGUUCCUUCUUGGCUCAAGUUGAAAGCAAGACAUGAUGAAGUCUUCAAGUAGUUUUCCCAUACACAAUGCGGAAAGCCUAGCUUAUGUAUUUAUCUUCAUUUGUCCACCAUGUGAACAUCCACAAGAAUCAAGCAUGUAGUGCUCAAGAAUGCUUAUCUUGAUCUUGUCCUGUCCACCAUGUGAACAUCCACAAGAAUCAAGCAUGUAGUGCUCAAGAAUGCUUAUCUUGAUCUUGUCCUGUCCACCAUGUGAACAUCCACAAGAAUCAAGCAUGUAGUGCUCAAGAAUGCUUAUCUUGAUCUUGUCCUGUCCACCAUGUGAACAUCCACAAGAAUCAAGCAUGUAGUGCUCAGGAAUGCUUAUCUUGAUCUUGUCCUUGUUAGCACAUGAGAUUGUCCUUAUCAACACAUGAUCAUUGACAAUAGUUUCAAUGAUAUAUUCGUGUUGAUCCACUUGAACUUGCACACCACAAUCUUGAUGACGAUCACCACUUGACGUCAUCCUUCAUGGGUUGUAUGAGAUCUUCCUUUUGACGCAAGCCCAAUGGAAACACACCUAACCCCCACAUAGGAGUCUCACAAAGACCAUGGGUUAGUACACAAACACGUAAUGGACAAUGCUUACCAUACCAUGGGAUCACUUGAUCCCUCUCGGUACAUCUUAUACGCUUUGUGUGUUGAUCAUCUUGAUUUACUCUUAGUCUGAGAUCUUGAUCAACCUAGUUUUUAUAUGACCAUUCUUUGGAUAAUACCUUGAAUAACAUCUUGGUCAUCAUAUAAACUCCUUGAACCCAACAGAUGGGCUUCAAGAAGUGCCUAUGGACAAAUCCUAUAAAUAUAACAUAAGGCAACCAUUAGUCCAUCAGAAUUGUCAUCAAUUACCAAAACCACAUAUGGAGAUAUAUGCUCUAACAACUAGUGCGGAGUCAUACGAAAUCAAUGCCGCUUUGCUGAAUCUUGUUAUGAAAGAGCAAUUCUCUGGCCUUCCUAGUGAAGAUGUCGCAUCCCAUCUCAAUACCUUCACUGAGCUUUGCGAUAUGCAAAAUAAGAAAGAUGUGGAUAAUGACGUGAUUAAAUUGAAGCUUUUUUCCUUUCUCGUUGCGAGAUCGCGCAAAAACUUGGUUUUCUUCUUUGCCCAAAAAUAGUAUCGAUUCUUGGGAUAAGUGCAAAGAUGCUUAUAUAUCCAAGUAUUUUCCGUCGGCUAAGAUCGUCUCUCUCCGUAAUGAUAUCAUGAAUUUCAAGCAACUUGAUCAUGAACAUGUUGCACAAUCUUGGGAGAGAAUGAAAUUAAUGAUUAGAAAUUGUCCCGCUGAUGGCUUGAGCCUUUGGAUGAUUACUCAGAUCUUUUACGCUGGCUUGAAGUUCGCUUCUAGAAAUAUCUUGGACUCCGCCUCAGGUGGAACGUUCAUGGAAAUCAUGUUAGGAGAAGCCACAAAGCUCUUAGACAACAUCAUGACGAACUACUCUCAGUGGCACACUGAAAGGUCACCUACUAGUAAGAAGGUACACGCUAUAUAGGAAAUUAACUCGUUGAGUGCUAAGAUGGACGAGUUAAUGAAUUUGUUUGCUAGUAUAAGUGCUCCUUUGGAUCCUAAUGAUAUGACUUUGUCUUCUUUGAUUGAGAGUAGCAACGCUAGCUUGGACGUUAAUUUUAUUGGUAGGAAUAACUUUGGCAACAACAAUGCUUUUAGAGGAAACUAUGUUCCUAUGCCUUUCCUAGUAACUCCUCUAAUAAUUUUGGCAACUCCUACAACAAUACUCAUGGAAAUUACAAUAGAUUACCCCCUGAUCUAGAGAGUAAUAUCAAAGAGUUCAUCAACUCUCAAAAGAUUUUCAAUGCGUCCAUAGAGGAAAAGCUACUCAAAAUUGACGAUUUGGCUAAGAGCGUUGAUAGAAUGUCUAGUGAUGCUGAUGCUUUGAAUGUUAGAUGUGCUCCUCCCAAAAUCAACAUGGAUGAAACUUUGACAGCUAUGCGUGUUUCCAUGAUUGAGAUCCAAGAAAGAACCGCCAAAAUUCGUGCUAGACAUGAAUGGCUUAGAAAGGCGUGUUCUCGUGAUGAGAAUCACGAAGAUCUUAAAGUGCUUGGUGUGACUCCCAUUGGAUCUUUGUUUUCUUGUGUCAAACCUAAUUAUUAUGGGGCUGGAUAUGAAUCCAUUUUGGUUGAAAAGUGCCCCAAUGAUUCAGAGUCCAUCUAUCUUGAUGCUAAAAGCAUUGAAAGUGGAGUAGAAGAGGUUAAAACUUUGAGUAGUAAUGAAAUUACUACCGUGGAUUUCAAGGAAUUCAAUUAUGAUAGUUUCUCCUUGAUUGAAUGCAUUUAUUUGAUGCAAUCCAUAUUAAACUCUCCACACGCUUAUAGCCAAAACAAGGCCUUUACUGAUCAUAUCGUCGAAGCUAUGAUAAAAUCUCUUGAAGAGAAACUUGAAUUGGAAGUCUCUAUCCGUAGAAAGCUUCAUGAUGAGUGGGAACCUACCAUCAAAAUCAAAAUAAAAAAACUAUGAGUGCAAUGCUUUGUGUCAUUUGGGUGCUAGUGUUUCUACGAUUCCAAAGUCUUUAUGUGAUGUUAUGGGUUUUAAUGAGAUUGAAGAGUGUUCUCUUAAUUUGCAUCUUGCUGAUUCUACUAUCAAGAAACCCAUGGGAAGGAUCAAUGAUGUUCUUAUUAUUGCAAAUAGGAAGUAUGUACCCGUGGAUUUCAUUGUGCUUGACAUUGAUUGCAAUCCUACUUGCCCUAUUAUUCUUGGUAGACCUUUCCUAAGGACUAUCGGUGCUAUCAUCGAUAUGAAGGAAGGGAAUAUUAGAUUUCAAUUUCCUUUAAGGAAGGGCAUGGAACACUUUCCAAGAAAGAAAAUAAGAUUGCCUUAUGAAUCCAUGAUGAGGGCCACUUAUGGUUUGAGCACCAAAGACGACGAUACGUGAUUCAAUCGCUUUUAUGCCUAGCUAAGGGCGUUAAACAAUAGCGCUUGUUGGGAGGCAACCCAAUGAAUUUAUAUUUUUUUCUUUCUGUUUUUUUGCAUCCACACCAUCAUAAUUCUGUUGUGAUUGUGUUUUUUUUGUGUUUCUUUUUGUGUUUGAGCCAAGCAAAACCUUUAUGACUAGUCUUGGUAAUGGUUGUUUGAUCCUGCUGGAAAAAAGAAAGAAAUGUUUCGCUCACGAGAUGAUUUUUCAUUUUUAUUCAGAAAGAGCUUUUGAGUUGAUUCUUUUUGCUGCUGGUUGAUAUGAUUUUUACCCAGGCCGUCGUAAUUUCUCAAUUUUUUUGAGAUACCACAAGUAUACGAAGUAUACAAAUUGCUACAGACUCGUCUUUUUUUGACAGAUUUUGUUUUUGUUGAGUUGGUUGCUUGUUUUGAUGAAACUAUGGUUAGUAUCGGGGGGUACUGGCCAUGGAAAAGUGAGAAUACAAUAGCCCAACACCAAUAUAGAUGGAAUUCAAGUUUGCUACAGUACCAAAAGAAGUGGUAGUUUGUUUUCUUGUACUAAUGUUAUCACGAGUUUCUGUUUAAGUUUUGUGUUGUGAAGUUUUCAUGUUUUGGGUGAUGUUCUCAUGGACGAUGAGAUAAGGAGUGGAAAGAGCUCACGCUUGGGGAUGCCCAAGACAUCCCAACCCAAAUUCAAGGACACCAAAAAGCCUAAGCUUGGGGAUGCCCCGGGAAGGCAUCCCCUCUUUCGUCUUCAAUCCAUCGGUAACAUUACUUGGAGCUAUAUUUUUAUUCACCACAUGAUAUGUGUUUUGCUUGGAGUGUCUUGUAUCGUAGGAGUCUUUUCUUUUUGUUGUGUCACAAUCAUCCUUGAUGCACACAUUUUUGAGAUAGAGAUACAUUCACUCAUCGUGAUUUUGCUAGAAUGCUCAUAGUGCUUCACUUAUAUCUUUUGAGCUAGAUACUUUUGCUCUUGUGCUUCACUUAUAUCUUUUAGAGCACGGCGGUGCGUGAUUUGGUAGUUGGCUUAUGCUAUGAAAGUAGUCCCAAAUGUGAUAGGUACCCAAAGAGGAUGCAAAAAAACCUCCAUCUUCAUGUGCAUUGAGUAGAAAGAGAAGUUUUGAUUCCUCUCAAUUAGUUUUGAGACGUGGAUUUGGUAAUAUUAAGAGCUAUGUUAGUAGGGUGUUGUGAAUCUAGAAAUACUUGUGUCGAAGUUAGUGAUUCCCGUAGCAUGCACGUAUGGUGAACCGCUAUGUUAGGAAGUCGGAGCAUAAUUGAUCUAUUGGUUGUCAUCCUUUGUGUUGAGGUCGGGAUCGCGCGAUGGUUAACACCUACCAACCCUUCCCCUAGGAGUAUGCGUUUAGCACUUUGUUUUGAUUACUAAUAAAAAUUUCGCAACAAGUAUGUGAGUUCUUCAUGACUAAUGUGAGUCCAUGGUAUAGAUGCACUUUCACCUUCCACCAUUGCUAGCCUCUUUAGUGCCGCGCAAUUCUCGCCGGUACACAAACCCACCAUAUGCUUUCCUCAAAACAGCCACCAUACCUACCUACUAUGGCAUUUUCAUAGCCAUUCCGAGAUAUAUUGCCAUGCAACUCCCAUCGUUUCGUCUCAUGACUUGUGCCGUCACUCUCAUAUUGCCAUUGCAUGAUCGUAAGAUAGCUAGCGAGAUGUUUUCAACGUCAUACGCCAUGCUAGAUCGUUGCACAUCCCGGUAUACUGUCGGAGGCAUUUCCUUUAGAGUCAUCAUCAUUUUGAGCUGUGAGUAAAUAAAAGUGUGAUGAUCAUCAUUAUUAGAGCAUUGUCCCAUGUGAGAAAAUAAAAUAAAAAAGGAGGACAAAGAGCCCAAAAAUAAAAAAGAGAAAAGAGAAAAAAAAGAGGCCUAAGAGCCCAAAUGAAAAAAGGAGAGAAAAAGAGAGAAGGGACAAUGCUACUAUCUUUUUCCACACUUGUGCUUCAUAAUAGCACCAUGUUCUUCAUGAUUUAGAGCUUCUUGCUUCGUCACCACCAUAUGCUAGUGGGAAUCUUCAUUAUAUAACUUGGCUUGUAUAUUCCAAUGAUGGGCUUCCUCAAAAUUGCCCUAGGUCUUCGUGAGCAAGCAAGUUGGAUGCACACCCACUAGUUUUCCUUUUGAGCUUUGACAUAGUUAUAGCUCUAGUGCAUCUCUUGUAUGGCAAUCCCUACUCAUUCACAUUGAUAUCUACUAAUGGGCAUCUCCAUAGCCCUUUGAUAUGCCGAGUCAAUGUGACCAUCUCCUCCUUUUUGUCUCACAACCACCACCACACUCUAUUCCACUUAUAGUGUUAUAUCCAUGGCUCGCGCUCAUGUAUUGCGUGAUAGUUAUAAAAAGUUUGAGAAAGUAAGAGUGCGAAAACAAUUACUUGUCCAAUACCGGGGUUGUGCAUGAUUAACAUUAGUUGUGUGAGGAUGAUGGAGCAUAGCCAGACUAUAUGAUUUUGUAGGAUAACUUUCCUUGGCCUUGUUAUUUUAAAAGUUCAUGAUUACCUUGCUAGUUCGCUUGAAGUAUUAUUGUUUUCAUGUCAAUAGCAAACUAUUGUUUUGAAUCUUACGGAUUUGAACAUUCUUGUCAUGUGAAAGAAGUUGCAAAGGACAACUAUGCUAGGUAGCAUUCCACGUCAAAAAUUCAUUUUUAUCACUUCCCUACUCGAGGACGAGCAGGAGUUAAGCUUGGGGAUGCUUGAUACGUCUCCAACGUAUCUAUAAUUUUUUAUGGUUUCAUGCUAUUAUCUUGUCAAACUUUGGAUGUUUUGCAUGCCUUUUAUAUAUUUUUGGGACUAACUUAUUGACUCAAUGCCAAGUGCCAGUUCCUGGUUUUUUUUCAUGUUUUUGACCCCUUUCAGAGGAGAUUUUGAAACGGAGUCCAAACGGAAGAAAAUCCCCGAAAAGAUUUUUUCUCGUAACGGAAGAAUAUCGGGAAGCUUGGGAGCCAAGGCAGGGGAGCCUCAGGGGCCCCACAAGCCCCCACCCCGCGGCCACGGGGUAGGCCGCGGCCCAUAGGCUUGUGGGCCCCCUGGGCGCCCUAUGCCCUAGGGGUUGCGCCUAUAUAUUCCCUAAAAAUCCCAAAAAAUCAGGAGAUCAUCGAAAUCACUUUUCCAUCGCCGCAAGCUUCUGUCUCCGCAAGAUCCCAUCUGGGCACAUUUUGGUGCCCUGCCGGAGGGGGGAUUCGGACACGGAGGGCUUCUUCAUGAACACCAUGACCUCUCCGAUGAUGCGUGAGUAGUUCACCAUAGACCUACAGGGCCAUAGUUAGUAUCUAGAUGGCUUCUUCACUCUCUUGGAUCUUCAAUACAAAGUUCUCCAUGAUCUUCAUGGAGAUCUAUCUGAUGAAAUCUUCUUUUGUGGUCUGUUUGUCGAGAUCCGAUGAAUUGUGGAUUUAUGAUUAAAUUAUCUAUGAAUCUUAUUUGAGUUUCUUCUGAUCUCUCUUAUGCAUGAUUUCAUAUCCUUGUAUUUCUCUUCGAGUUGUGGGUUUUGUUUGGCCAACUAGAUCUAUGAUUCUUGCAAUGGGAGAAGUGCUUGGUUUUGGGUUCAUACCGUGCGGUGACCUCACCCAGUGACAGAAGGGGUAGCGAGGCACGCAUCGUGUUGUUGCCAUCAAGGGUAAAAAGAUGGGGUUUUCAUCAUUGGUUUGAGAUUAUCCCUCUACAUCAUGUCAUCUUGCUUAAGGCGUUACUCUGUUCGUCAUGAACUCAAUACACUAGAUGCAUGCUGGACAGCGGUCGAUAUGUGGAGUAAUAGUAGUAGAUGCAGAAAGUAUCGGUCUACUUGUCUCGGACGUGAUGCCUAUAUGUAUGAUCAUUACCUUAGAUAUCGUCAUGAAUUUGCGUGGUUUUAUCAAUUGCUCGACAGUAAUUUGUUUACCCAUCGUGAUAUUUGCUAUUUUGAGAGAAGCCUCUAGUGAACACUAUGGCCCCCGGGUCUACUCCACACCAUAUUUUCAGCCUUACACUUUUUACUUCGUUGCACUUUCCGCCUUCAGAUCUCACUUUGCAAACAAUCUUGAAGGGAUUGACAACCCCUUUGAAGCGUUGGGUGCAAGCUCUUUUGUGUUUGCGCAGGUACUCUAGACUUGAAGAGACCCUCCUUCUGGAUCGAUACAUUGGUUCUCAAACUGAGGGAAAUACUUAUUGCUCCUGUGCUGCAUCACCCUUUCCUCUUCAAGGGAAAAACCAACGCAAGCCCAGUCUCCGUCAACGUGUCAAUUUUUGGCAGUGCUGUUUGAGAACUAGCAUUGACAAGCUUGGCAUUACGGAUAUCAUCACCUUCAGAAAGGACUUCGAUCGAGAUGUUGUGGCCCAGUUUUAUGUCACCGUUCACUUCCAACCUAAUUACGAGCGCACCAUGACCUGGAUGACAGGUAGUCAGAAGCUGACUGGUACAUGGGCGGAGUUCAUGCAGCUCCUAAACGUCGACUUGUAGGGGCAAGAAACUAUUCUUGGGCUGCGUCCUCAUGAUCCAGCUUCGUCUACUUCCACCCCUAAGGACAGGCUGCAACAUCUUUACAUCAAAAAAGGUGUGCUCCCCACGCAUCUAGCUAUCAUGCAUCGGAUCUUCCGCAACACCCUAUUCCCUCGUAUUGGCAACAAGGACGAGGUGCAUAGACAUCUGGCUGAGAUGCUUCUGCUGUGUGAGGAGGCAAGGAAUAAGGACACUGCGCCUCUCAACAUAUCUGAUGUGAUGUUCCAUGAGCUCUGGAAUUGCAUCAUGAACCGUAAGGUUCCCAUCUACGGGCCUUACAUGUUCGCCUUUAUUCAGAAGAAGUGGAAAGAUACCUAUCUGGUAGAGCCCCUCCCUGUUGAAGCUUACUAUUUUGUGCAUGAUCCUAUCAAGCUGCGUCUCAAGGACAAAUGGGCCAACACCUCAACUUCCUCUCAGCCCAUGGAUACUGACACAGAUAUUGCUGCUGGAGGAGGACCUGCUUCGCAUACCCGCUCUUCUGCUAUGCUAUCUUGGGCUAUGAAGCUGAAGGAUCAGAUGAAGACUCUCUUUUGUAUGCACGCCAAGGGGCGGUAUCAGUCUCAUGUGGCCCAGAAGGAGAACCGUCAGAGGCACAAGCGUGUCUUAAGGACACUUGAUGUGGCAAUCUCAAGCGGCUCAGAGGACGACAUCACUCCAGAGACUGACUGGAUGAGGGCUCAAGGUUACAAGUGGAAUGGGUGUGAUGCUGAGGAGGAGUCUUCUGACGAGGACAUUGAGGAGGAGCAGGACGAGCAGGAUCUGUAUGCCAUGGAUGAGUCUGAGGAUGAGGAGUGACCACCUGUGUCUUAGGUGUGCCCCUUUUUGGUGUCUUGGUGCCAAAGGGGGAGAGAGUCUAGGAAUUGGAUUUGCUUGCUUUAUCUUUAUCGUGUUUGCUUUGAACUUGGUUUGAUCGUAUUUGUUAUCUUUACUAUGUGUGAUGUGAGACUUGUUUUUAUUGUGAGACCUAUUUUAAUCAUAUGUUGUGAGUCAUAUGCUCUUAAAUUAUCUCUAUUAAAUUAUCUUUAUGAUCACAUGCUUUCUACUUUGCAAAUCCGGUAUUGUCAUCAAUCCACCAAAAAGGGGGAGAUUGUUAGGGCAUAUUUAUGCCUAAGUAAUUUUUGUGAUUGAUGACAGUACCUUAAUGGACUAAUCGUGUGCAUUGAGCAUUUCAGAUAAUACAUGACAAAGGCACAAGACGAUUUGGCACCCUCCGUGGAAUAGAAGCACGUUGUCUUCUACGAUUCUCUUUGGUGGUUUUUGAGUCGCAGGAACGCCGUACUAUUAAGAGGGGAUCCGUAUUGGGAAGGUUUGGGUGGAAUCCUGUUUUCCCAUGAUGUCGUGCAUGUUGUUGUCUAGUGCCUCGACCGCCUAUCGCUUAGUCAUGGUGGCCUCGUCCCAUAGUAUCAACGAGGCCAUCCUUAGCAGCAUUGCGGUCCCGCUCUGCUUGGCAAAGCUGCAUGAGGCACCAUCAUCGCAACUCAAUGGGAUCUUGAACCUCGAGUGGGCAGUCCUUCCUCCAUACAUGGUAGAAGCGGCGACGCCAGACAUUGUGGUAGCGAUAGCGAUGUUGCACUUGCUCCGAACCUCAUGGGCCAUCAACAAGGAAUACAUCUCCAUCACUGUGGUCAACUGCUCCUAGUAUCUCGUUGUAUGCAACACUGUGCUCCAAGUUUAGCGACAAUGCCAAUUUUGUGUCGUUCACAUCAAACUCGAUGGUGGAUUCCUCUAUCACCUCUCUGGCCUCGCCCCUGGUUGGGUCGAACGCAUUGUCAAUGCUCGGAAGANNNNNNNNNNNNNNNNNNNNNNNNNGGAAGAGCGAAAUCAACUAUGUCUUUACCCAUAAACUACAACAUACCCCUAAUGUCCAACAACACCAUCUGCUCCACCUCAUUCGGACAUGCGUGUAAUCGAUGAUAGUCAUCAUACAUAGACUCGAGGGGCCUAUCCCAUAAACCAUGCACAUCACAUGGCUCACAAUGCACCAAGAUUGUUACGAACAACCUCCUGAGCGAACACGACAUCGCCCACUCUUGUACCUCAGUAAGACAAUUGUCGAGCGUGUUGUGUGCCUCCAUGAGUCCCAACCUCUCAGCGGCCUCUUGAAAGCUCCCACAUAGCCUGCCAUCCACGGUGAGUAGGUCCUCGAAGGAUGUCUUUCCUGAAACAUGGUUUAGCAGGACGCGCACAUAGUAUAGCUCACCCUCAGUAGGAUUGGCAGACACAAUUCGGCCUAUUUGAUAACGCUCCGCCCAUGGCCUCCAAUACUUCUUACCCUUCUGCCAUGUGAAGCUUCCAGGAAAAUCCUUGUACAAUAUAUUCCUAGCCCACUGGUAGUCUUGGUUAGCCUUGAAAUACUUCGUCAACAUGGAUUUUGAAGCAUUCUCAGAGGCGACGACAUUGGUCAAGUCUUCUUGCUCAUUGAAUGCCACCCUAUGCAUAUUCGGGAGAUGAAGAGGCAAUUUUAGUAUAGACGGGGAGUUGGCCCAUAGGGGGGAACCAAAUAUCCUCCACAUCGCCUUCGGUGGAGUAACCCACCUCGCGUCGACGUAUCUUUUGAUCUCAUCAAUGUUACCAUUUGUGUCGGGUUGUUCAAUGAUGAAUGAAGCCCUAUCGUGGCCCUUGUAUAUGUACUUGUAAAGGUACUUGACGGCCUUUAGGCUGGAGCUGACCUCAACAUUGAUGUGACAAUUCAACAUCCAUAGAAGGUAAGGGUUAUAAUACACAACCCAUCUGUUCUCCAACAUUUUGCCCCGAACCUUAGCCCUUUGACCGUCGUCUCUGUGCCGAUAAACUGGCUAUGAGUGCUUGCCAUGUACCAUGUUUUCAUUGAACGGCCGAGGGUAUCUGCACUUGCACUCGUUCUGUUGCAUGCAGACAUUACUGGGGUUGAGAGCACCGCAAGGUCCGUGCAUCAUAUGUUUGACGACAAAGGUAUAGAGUUCCGGAUACUUUUGCUUCUCUGGGAGCUCGGCGGAAAUGACACGGUCAUACUGCUUUGGAACAACAAGCUUAUAUGUCAAAUCCAUGAUCAACAAAAAGUGUACGUGGGGGAGGCCCCUCUUGUGGAACUCGACUACAUAUACAUAUGCAGCAACAACACCCAGGAUAUGCUUCUUUAACAACAUAUCUUUCAUAGCCUCUAGCUUGCCAUGAAACACGCGAGCCACAAGAUCAGGUCAGUCAUGUGAUGUGUGACCAUGAAACAAUUCAUUUGAUAUCUCUUCCAAUUUAGGGUUGUGCGUCAUGGUCAAGAAGAUGACAGGCUUCCCGUAUGUAUGGACAAUUGCCAUUGCAUCCACAUGCCUCCGCUUCAUGUCCCGGUCGCCACUAGGGUGCAUUCCGGGUAGCACUAUCCUUAUGCCAAUUGCGCUUGCUCGCGUCUCCCCUAAAGUGAUAGCAUCAACAACUCCUUUAUAGAGGUCGGCAUGGAUCUUUUUCUGGUUCUUCCUCAGCCAUCUCAACCUACGACUCUCAAUAUUUAUGUACAUGUCGACACCCCAUUGCUGGAGCAAUCGUGCUCCAUAGAGUAUGGGAUUGAAUAUCGCAGGUCAUGUCUGUAGCCUGUAACAGUAGUAGUCUCUCACGGACACGCAUAACCUACUAUUCCCCUCUGCAAAUGGAUGAGUAACGCAAAUUAGGCUUCAUAUGAAAAAUAUACUAUUUUCAAAAGGACAUAAUACAAAAGAGGCCUACCUGCAUCCUCUUCAUUAUCAUGCCCCCUCUUGGAUGUUGUACAACCUCCCAAGGGACAUUACAUUUAGGUACUUUUGGAUGCCAACCGAGCUCGGCCCUUGGGUAGAAGAAGGUAUAAGACAGCGGGUCAUAUGAGCCAUCAGUCACACGUGUACUAUGCUUUUAGUUGUCAUUGCCGAAAAGUGUAAUACUAUGAUUAAACUUUUUUGCUAGGUUAGCACCCUUGACCCAGAUUGCAGCGAUCUCAGAUAACACCGGCCUAUUAUAUCUUUGCUGGUCAAGCCUCUGGUCGGUGUUGAGGUCUAACGUGUAAUCGUUGAGGUUAUCCUUGUGUGCACCCAAGCUCCUAAACUGCUGGGAGUACGGGUUCCCCCGGAGUAUGUCCACCAACUGCUUGACGACAUUAUGUUCCAAUUGCUUGGUGGCAACCAUGCGAUGGGUCAGGCCAGGGUCAUCGUCGUAGAAGUACAACUAGAGAUGUUCUAGACGAGAGCUUGGUCUGAAGGAAUGCAUGUUGUGGUAGAUGGUGUUGUGCGCCCGGAAAGUGUACACCCCAGACUUCAUGUGUUGGAUAUAUGCCCUAGAGGCAAUAAGUAAAUAGUUAUUAUUAUGUUUCAUGUUUAAAGAUAAUCGUUUAUUAUCCAUGCUAGAAUUGUAUUGAAUGGAAACACAAAUACAUAUGUGGAUACAUAGACAAAACAAUGUCCCUAGUAAGCCUCUAGUUGACUAGCUCGUUGAUCAAAGAUGGUUAAGGUUUCAUAGCCAUAGACAAGUGUUGUCACUUGAUAACGGGAUCACAUCAUUAGGAGAAUGAUGUGACAGACAAGAACCAAACUAUGAACGUAGCAUGUGAUCGUGUUAUUUUAUUGCUAUUAUUUUCUGGAUGUCAAGUAUACAUUCCUAUGACCAUCAGAUCAUGUAACUCACUCACACCGGAGAAUGCCUUGUGUGUAUCAAACGUUGCAACGUAACUGGGUGACUAUAAAGGUGCUCUACAGGUAUCUCUGAAGGUGUCCGUUGAGUUAGCAUGUAUAAAGACUAGGAUUUGUCACUCCGUAUGACAGAGAGGUAUCUCGGGGCCCACUCGGUAAUAGAACAUCACAAACAAGCCUUGCAAGCAAUGUGACUAAAGAGUUAGCCAGGGGAUUUGGUAUUGCAGAACGGGUGAAGAGACUUGUCAGUAACGAGAUUGAAAUAGGUGUAGAGAUACCGACGAUCCAAUCUAGGGCAAGUAACAUACCGAAGGACAAAGGGAAUGUUAUACGAGAUUAACUGAAUCCUUGACAUAUAGGUUCAAGCAAUAAAUAUAUUCUUAGAAUAUGUAGGAGCCAAUAUGGGCAUCCAGCUCCCGCUAUUGGUUAUUGACCAGAGAGUGUCUCAGGUCAUGUCUACAUAGUUCUCGAACCCGCGGGGUGUGCACACUUAAGGUUCGGUGACGUUUUGGUAUUAUUGAGUUAUGUAUGUUGGUGAUCGAAAGUUGUUCAGAGUCCCGGAUGAGAUCCCAGAAGUCACGAGGAGCUCGGGAAUGAUUCGGAGGUAAAUAUUGAUAUAUAGGAAAGUUGCAUUUGGCUUUCGGAAAGUUUUCACACAUUAUCGGUAAAGUAUCCGGAGUGACGAAUGGGAUCCGGGGUUUUACCGGGAGGGGCCACCCACCCGAGAGAGAACCUAAUAGGCCUAAAGGUGGUGCACCAACCCUUAGUGGGCUAGUGCGGCCAGCCCAAGAAGGCCAAUUUCGGCCAAAUGCAAAAGGAAAAGGAAGAAAGGAAAAAAGGAAGGAGGUGGCCAAGUAGGAAGGGAGUCCUCCACCAAACCGAAUUGAAGGAGGACUCUCCUCCCUUGGCUCGGCCGAAUGCUCCUCCUUGGAGUAGGAGGCAAGGCAGCCCUCCCUCCUAUUCCUCCUAUAUAUAGUGGAGGUUUUGAGGGAAAACGACACCAGAAAAGCCAUGUGCCGCCCUCUCCUCCAUAGAUCGUCUCCCUCGUCUAGAUUAGUCCGGGAUAACUUGGCGAAGCCCUGCUGGAUUAGUUCACCACUACCACCACCAUGUCGUCGUGCUGCGGGAGAACUCAUCUACCUCUCCGCCCCUCUUGCUGGAUCAAGAAGGUGGAGAUCGCCAUCAAGCUGUACGUGUGCUGAACGCGGAGGUGUCGUCCGUUCGGCGCUAGAUCGGGACGAAGAUCGUGGGACAGCUUGCGAUUUGGAUCACGAAGACGUUCGACUACAUCAACCACGUUUCUUAACGCUUCCCACUUAGCGAUCUACAAGGGUAUGUGGAUCCGAUCUCCCCUUUCAUAUAUGAUCAUCACCAUGGAUAGGUCUUGUGUGUGCGUAGAUUUUUUUUGUUUCCAUGCAACGUUCCCCAACAAUGGCAUCAUGAGCUAGGUCUAUGCGUAGAUGAUAUCUCGAGUCGAACACAAAAGAGUUUGUGGGCAUUGAUGUUCAAUUUGCUGCCCUCCUUAGUCUUUUCUUGAUUUGGCAGUAUUGUUGGAUGAAGCGGCCCGGACCAACAUUACUCGUACGCUUACGAGAGACCGGUUUCAUCGACUAACAUGCAACUUGUUGCAUAAAGAUGACUCACGGGUGUCUGUUUCUCCAACUUUAGCUGAAUCGGAUUCGACCGAGACAGUCCUUGGAGAAGGUUAAAUAGCAACUUGCACAUCACCGUUAUGGCUUUGCGUAAGUAAGAUGCGAUCAUACUAGAUACCCAUAGCAGCCACGUAAAAUUUGCAACAACAAAUUAGAGGACGUAUAACUUGUUUUUGCAGGGUAUGAUGUGAUAUGAUACGGCCAAAGACAUGAUAUGAUAUAUUGGAUGUAUGAGAUGAUCAUGUUGUAAUAGUUAAAUAUCGACUUGCACGUCGAUGCUACGGCAACCGGCAGGAGCCAUAGGGUUGUCUUUAAUUAUUUUGCUCUUGGUGAUGCUUUGCUUUAUCGCCAGUCAGUAGCUUUAGUAGUAACAUCAUAGUUAGCGCGACAACCUCGAUGGCAACACAAUGAUGGAUAUCAUGAUGAUUGAGAUCAUGGUGUGGUGCUCGUGACGAUGGAGAUCAUGUCGGUGCUUUGGUUAUGGAGAUCAAGAAGCACAAGUUCAUGGCCAUAUCAUGUCACUUAUUAUUUGCAUGUGAUGUUAAUCCUUUUAUGCACCUUAUUUUGCUUAGGACGACGGUGGCAUUAUAAGGUGAUCCGUCACUAAAAUUUCAAGAUAAAAUUGUGUUCCCCUGAGUGUGCACCGUUGCGGCAGCUCAUCGUUUCGAGACACCACGUGAUGAUCGGGUGUGAUAGACUCUACGUUCACAUACAACGGGUGUAAAACAGUUGCAUGCGUGGAACACUCGGGUUAAACUUGACGAGCCUAGCAUGUAUAGACAUGGCAUCAAAACACAAGAGAACGAAAGGUCGAUCAUGAGUCGUAUAGUGGAUAUGAUCAACAUGGAGAUGUUCACCAUUGAAGCUAACUCAACUCACGUGAAGAUCAGACUUGAGUUAGUGAAUUUGGAUCAUGUGACACUUGAGUGACUAGAGGGAUGUCAAUUUGACUGGGAGUUUAUUACUAAUAUUAUUAUCUAAACUCAAUCAUAUUGAAAAUAGUCUAAGUAAUCUUUGCAAAAUUAUGAUUACUAGAAGGAGGGCACUCUCUUCGGUGGCACUACAAUGGUACGCUGCUCCACCAAUGCGGCGCUUAUAAGAAUUUUGGUUUAAUAAUGCCUAGGAAUAAAAGUUGUGGAGUAUAGAUGGGUCAACAUACCGUGUGAUCCGAUUUUUUUGGGAGAAGGUGCUGGUAGAAGAUGUCCCCUCUAUGUCAGGACGCGGCAAUGCAAUGGAUUCAACACACGGUAUGUUCUGCUUAGUUAGAUAUCUCUGAUUGCGCUCGGAACUCCUCUCUCCCUUCUUCUCAGGAUUUAAGUUAGCCUGAUGUUCCCCAUCAGUUUCUCGUCUUUGCACGUUUAUUUGUUCUUUAUUUUGCCGGUAAGUUGCUCGUCUCAAUGCAUUUUUCAUCUCUUUUUUCUUCGGAUAACACAUCUUCCUUUUUGGUGUCAUCCUUUAUUCUUUUUUGAUAAUUUUCUCGCUUCCGUGCGUUUCUCUUACCCCUUUGUUGUUGCGCGUUCCUCAUUUUCCAUCUUAUAAGUUGCUCGUCUCCUUUCAUUUAUCUCAUCCCUUUGUUACUGGGUAAGACAACAACGGACUAUCCUUCAUCUUCUCUUUUCUUCUUAUAAGUUGCUCUUUUCCGCUCGUUUUUCAAAGCCUUUUUUGAUCUAAUAAGGUCUGAGCAUGUUGUCCAUCACCUUUACAUGUUGCUGCAUCAUUUAUUAUCAGAUUAUAAAAAUGAAAAGGAGGACGAAUACUAAAAUUAGAUCAUGCACAAUCAGAUCACUUCGCCAUAUUUUUCAUAAAACAUAUGUGAGACUGCUUAAACUUAUCGUCAGAACCAACUGUGGGAUUGCUUCGGUUAAGAAUGUUGGCAUUAGUUAAGGGUGGUACGUCUGCAAAUAGGCCAGACGAUGGACACGGUUGUUCUUCAUGAACAUUGCACGCUCAAAUUAGUAAAAACUAAUCAUCGAAUCAAUCAUUCAUAAUAAAUUGUAUGAAUAGGCCAGUUAAUAAAUUGUAUGCCAACAAAAUCAUCAGGUCAUAAAUAAGGUAUGUUUAUGUCGCCCAUCACUUCUACAUGUUGUUGCACCAUUUAUUAUCUAGAUUGACCACUCCUUCCCCUAUUUCUCCUGGCAUUUGUAGUUGGCCCUGUUUAUAAAUCUAACAGACAGGGUGGCAAACCACCAACAAGGAUACAAAGGUGAAAAUAGCAGCGCCUUUUGGAAGUCUAAAUAUAUGUUUCUGAUUGGGCAACUUAUUUUUUACAACCAUUUAAAGUAACUUAUUUUUUACAACCAUAUAAAGGAUAAAAACAGAUAGAAUAUCAUAUAGACUUUAAAAAAAUAAGUUUAAUCAAUAACAAAAAAAAUUGGAUGAUCUUGGUCUUGAUUAUGUUGUUGCUAAAGUAUAUUGUUGUAAAAUAAAUUUGCUUUAAUUUACAUGGACUACCUUUGGAGAGUUGAUCUACAUUGGUGAUAUCACAAAGAAUUCUAUCCUGGACAAUCUGCUCAGUUCUCUUGGACUUUUGUACUUGCUUAUCAAGAUUAACCCGUUCCCAUCGAGAUCCAAAUGGGGUUAAGCCUUUGGAUGUCACUACUUUUGUAGAGAAUUGUACAUACAAACCAGGCUACAUUUAUUUGUGGCUCGAUGCGAUAAACCAUAAGCAAUCAUGUGCACUUACGUGGCAUCGCAGACAUUGGCUAAUAAUGUUGAGAAUUAGAGAUAGCACGUAGAGGAGGACGAUGCCGAUUCGGCAAGUCUUCAUCUUCAAGUGUCAUGGUUUGUUGGUGCAAAACAAAGUAAUGUAGAAAACAAAUGGUCACCUUCAAGGAAAUUAUGUAGGAGGUAACAUCUAUGAACCAAAGAGUUGUGAUGAUGGCCGAACCAAAAUUAAUAAGGCAGUAAACAAGGUACAAACAUAUCCACCAUGGAAAAACAAACCACCAUGUGAAUUAUUGAUCAUAUACUAACAAUAAGAUUUUUUCUUAGAAGUACAUGGGAGUGAAAAUUACUAAACUAAAGCAAAACAACAUAGAUUUUGUUUGUAUCUAAAGAUGGUUGACAAUUUUUACGGACACACUUGACUUGUUACAUGGAUAGUGUUCUGCGUAGACAAACAUGAAGCCUAGACUUUGCUUAGAAACUCAACGGACGUCCACAGAAUAUGGUACUGGACAAUGACUAGCAAGAAGUCGACCUCAAGGACCGGCAACGACUACAAGAACAACCAGGUAGUUCUAGAUUGGGCAGGCCAUGACACCGCUUUACCCCUCCAUAGCUUGGGCACUAAACACAGCAAUGCCAAAAAGCAUCUCGAAGGAUAGAAUGUAACUUGCUUGACCUGCUUAUCGAGGUGCAAUCGAAUAUUGAAGAAGAACGAGGGCUCGCAGCAAUGCCGAGGGCGCGUGGAGAACGAUAGCUCGACGCCCGCCUAGAAGAAGUUUUUUAAAAUUUGCAUCGCUUGCCUAGAGUUUUGCUUUUAUUGCUUGAUUGAUGUUCUGGACGAUUCAACGAGCACAAUAUGGAAAGCAGUGCUGGACGAUAUCGAUUUGUGCGCCUGUGGGUUGAAAGAUUCACAAUAUUGCUUGAUUGAUGCAUAUAUAGGAGCUUCCUAUGGAAACUAAACCAUAUGCCUAUAAAUUCUACAACGUGUGCAGUAUAUGUGCCUCACUGAAUCAGAUUGAACAUUUCUUUAUAUGGAAAGUACUGAUUGAUUUGUAUAGAUGAUUGAUUUUUUCUUUUUAUGGAAAGUAUAGAUUAAUAUUUAUUUUAUAUGGGAAGUACAAAUUUAUUUUUAUAGAUGAUUGUUUUUUUCUUGUAUAUGGAAAGUAUAGAUUGGUUUGCGUGGAGGAUCAAUCUUAUAUGGAAAACAAAGAUUGGUAUGUGCUAAACGGUUUGGUUAAUUUACAAAAGUCGGAUUGGAUGCCCUCGCUUCGACCAAUGGUGUCAGAAAAAAUGAGUGGGAGAUCGAUCCCUCAAAAACCGGUGGGAGAUUGCUUCAAUCGGUGGUGUUGGAGAAAAUCGAUGGGAGAUCGAUCCCUCGAAAAAUGGUGGGAGAUCGAUCGAUGGGGUUGGGGAGGUACGAAGGGAUGAAACGACGUACCAGCUGCUCCAUUAGGAGUAGAGAUUUGCCUUCUUGUAUUGGACUUGUCUCACCCUACCUACUACCAAUAUCUACAUGCUAUGAUUCAGGGGGAGAGGAAAACCUACAUAUUUAUACUUAGGGGAUAAAGUUCCAGAUGUUCUUGGAGACAUAUGUAUCCUAACAAAUGGGGGAGAAACAUCUAUAAUCAAAUCCUAUUCUCAAUAUGUCUUCCAUGUCUUGGUACUAUUGAAGUUAUUUGCAUCUUUACAAUAGAAUACUCUCGUGUUAUCUAACAAUUAUUUUCACAAGUGUGUUUCCACUAUUAAUAUGCUCAAGAACUCCAAGGUAAGUAUAUGCAUCAUAUCCUUGUUCAGGAUGAUCUCUUGUGUCUUACACAUACUGUUUGCAAGAGUGAGUCCUCAACAUGCAUGGAGACAUUUAUUUCACAUAUGUUUGAUACAUAUAGACAAGAUUCACAUGACUUGUCUUGUCCCUUCUACUAUGUGAGUGCCCAUGCAGUCCAAAGCAAAUAUCCCUUAAAAAGGAUCACACACUUUUAGGGGGAGCCUGCCUUAGUCACGCGUCUCUCAAAGUUGUCAUACUUUACAACCUAUCUUUAUUUGAAGCUUUGAUUAUUUGUUGACAUCAAUUACCAAAAAGGGGAGACUGAAAGCACAUAUGCUCCUUGGAGGUUUUGAUAAUUCAUGACAACAUACAUUGUCUCUUGGAUUAAUACUUUUACGUAGUUUAUUUCAAAUAUAGUCCAGAGAGAGGAUUGGCCAAGUAUUGUGAGGAGAAGCCCAAGUAAAGAGAGUAAUAGGAUUGGCCAAGCUUGAAGCUUCAGAUUCUACAAUUUAUAUUUUGUGAAGAAUCACGUUUGAGUCCAUAGGAAGGCCAAUACUAUUAAAAGGGGAUAAGGUGACUAUGAUGAUCCGGUUGCUCAAGUGCUUAGAGUUAGCCACCAAAAAUACUCAUGAAAUUCUCCCACAAAUAUUUUGUCCCAUAUUAAAAUUCUAAAUAUCCAAAAUUCGAUGCCACCAACAAUUUCCUUUCGGCCCUACCGAGUUUUACCUCGGACGGAUCCUAUGCCAAACCUUAGCCUCUCGGUGACACCAAAUGUUCUUUCGAUCUGACCGAGAAUCAGUGUCUAACUUUUUUUCUACAUGUUUCUAGGAAUCCGAAUUUUCGAGUUUUAGGAAUCGGUGCCACCACGUGUGGUAACUACAUAGGCCAUCCAAUAUUGGACCCACCAAGAUUCAUAUAUCGGUCUCACCGAAAAGCCUAAAGUUGUCACAUUUUGCACUGGUCGAUGCAACCGAGUUUUACUUCGAUUUCACCGACUUUGGCAAUAAUGUUGUAACGGUUGGAUAUUUGGAGAUGCCUAUAUAUACCCCUCCACCUCCUCUCAUUCAUAGAGGAAGCACUCGGAGCGAACCAACACUUGCCCCAUUCUUUUUUCUGAAAAGAGAGCCACCUACUCAUGUGUUGAGAUCAAGAUAUUCGAAUCCUACCAUAUGAAUCUUGAUUUCCAGCCUCCCCAAGUUGCUUUCCACCCAAUCAAUCUCUUCUACCCAAGCCAAAUUUGUGAGAGUGAUUGAGUGUUGAGGAGGCUAUCUUUUGAAGCACAAGAGCAAGGAGUUCAUCAUACUACCACAUCUAUUACCUUUUGAAGAGUGUUGUCUCCUAGAUUGGUUAGGCGUCGCUUGGGAGCCUCCUACUUCAUGAUUUGGAGUUGAACCAAGAAGUUUGUAAGGGCAAGGAGAUGGCCUACUUAGCGAAGAUCUACCCGAGUGAGGCUAGUCCUUCGUGGACGUAAGCCAUGGUAGAAUAGACAAGGUUGCUUCUUCGUGGACCACUUGUGGGUGGAGCCCUUUGUGGACUCGCGCACCGUUACCCUUCGUGGGUUGAAGUCUCCAUCAACGUGGACAUAUGAUAGCACCACCUAUUGAAACCACGCCAAAAAUCAUCGUGUCAAUCUUUGCAUUUGAUCUUCCUAACUCUACUCCUUACUUUACAUGUGCAUGUCUUUACUUCCCGCUGCUAUACUUGUAGGCUUGCAUGUGUAGGGUGUGUUUGACUUGCUAUAGCUGCUAAAAUCUGCCAACAAUCAAAAUUGGGAAAAGGCUAUGUUUUAGUUUGUCAAGUAGUCUAUUCAUCCCCCUCUAGACAUCCCUUCUAGUGAUUCCAGAGGUGCAGGCAAUAGGAGGAGGUGGGGGCGGCAGCCUUGAGCCCGAAAUAGUUAGGGGCGAUGGCGGGCCAGGAGGAGGCGAGGGAGGCCUCGUGUUGGAAGAAGGCAGUGACAACGACGCACCAAGAGAAGGCGGGGAGGCAGGGGCGGUGGCAAGCCGGAAGGUGACGGGCGCGGGAGGUGCGUUGGAGCCGGGUGGGCGAUGACCAAUGGUGGGCUCGUGCAUUUGUUGGGAGGAUUGGUGAGGUUACGGGCUAAGGUGGGGCGAUGGGGAUAACGUACGGACCCUUGGUGUUUUCUUUUGGUUCACUUUGAUGUGAGGAAGAUCUCAUCGCGUCCUUACUCGGCUAGAAGUUAAUAAAAUAAUAUUCUAACUUUUGAAUUAGAAUAGUGUUACUCUCUCUUUCUCUUUCUCUCUCUCUCUAUAUAUACAAGAAUAGUUGGUAGUCUAUGAGAUUUGGGGCACUUGCAGUUUAUAAAUAUUUAUAAGACGUUUGAAUUGCCAAAACGUCUUACAUUUAAAAAUAAAAGGAUGUAUUUUUUAUAUAUCACAUACAUAACAUUAUCAUACUUGUCUAUAUGUUUUAUUUUAUCUAGCAAAAGAGAUCAUGCACUGCAACGGAUGAAAAAAUACGAGGUUAGCCUAACCCAAUAACCAUGACCCGGGACUCUUAACAAAUUCAUGUCCUUUAUUUCAACACAUGACAUUUCAUCGAUGUUGCCAUUUAUCCUCUUUAUUAGCAGAUAUAGAUCAGAUAACUCAAAAUGAGUUUCAGCGAAAUUCUAUUUGAGUCUGUAUUUAUAUUUUUGCACGGUAUGUUUUAGACAAUAUUUUUGCACAUAUACUGAAUUAUAUUUUUAUAUAACGCAAAAAUAACUACGCUGCUUGACUGGGCCUGGUCUAUUUAGGCAUCCACAUACAUUGGACACCAACGGGCCCAACGAACGACCCAUACUCGAUACCCCACAGCCCGCUAGGGUUUCUCUGGCAGGUAUAAAAUACCCGUUCUUCUCCUCUCCCAUUCCUCCCCCUAUCAACUCGACCACAGAGCGGCGGCGGCGGCGGCGGCAGCGGGAGAGAGAGGAGAGAGCUCCAGCAAUGGUGCACGUCAACUUCUACCGCAACUGUAAGACCGCGCUACGAUCCUCCUGUCUCCCCUACCCUCUGUGCUCCCUGCUCCAUUGUAUUCAGUCAUUUGUGUCUUCCUGCUCGCUGUGAUCUGAUGCGGUGCCGUGGGGGAGCUCGCAUAGGCUUAGCGGCAUCAAGUUGCUGUCGGUUAGUUUUCUGCUUCCUGCUACGGCAGUGGCUUGCCGCAACGCAGAGCUCAGAGAUCUCUUUGCUGUGGCCUCUGACUGCUGGCACCUCUUGUGUGAGGUCAUAGAUUCGAAGCUGAGAGUUGCUAUGAAGGAGGGGGAGCGGUUGAUUAGCGAGCGAAUGAUUUGCAUCGGCGUGAUGCCGUUGUGAGAACAGGUUUCUUUGCAUAAGAGUUUGUCAGAUCUUUUGGUCCGAAUGCCUGGAUUCGAGUUAUACAUGGCAUGCGGACUGCGCCCUAGAUCUAAUUAGAGGAGUCUUACUUGAAGUCUAAUUACCCAUAUAUCUGUUUCAUGGUGGAAUUUUUUCACCUCCAACUGUAACUGGUAUCACGUGCGAACGUUGAAUUUGGUAUCUAGUAUGCCAAUAGAAUUGUUAAAGAAAUUAUUCUGGUGCCUGAUAAUGGAGCCACCUGUUUAUGUUUGCGCUAUAGCCUAGAUGUGAGAACAUGUAGUUCAUACUAAAUACAGGAGUUCUAUGUAUUUACUUUAACAUGCUUUUAUAUAUGUGCUUUUGAAUUUAAUCAGAUCAAUUCUUCUGAAUUUAUAUAGUGAAUGUUCUAUGCUACAAAUUGGCCCAUAUUUGUUCUGUUUUACUGUAUCUCAUGCUUUAUUUCCAUAAUAUUGUUUCCUUGCAGAUGGUAAGACAUUCAAGAAACCAAGGCGUCCCUAUGAGAAGGAGCGUCUGGAUGCAGAACUAAAGCUGGUGGGUGAGUAUGGACUGAGGUGCAAGCGUGAGCUCUGGAGGGUCCAGUAUGCAUUGAGCAGGAUCCGUAAUGCUGCAAGGCACUUGCUCACACUGGAUGAGAAGAAUCCCCGCCGUAUCUUUGAGGGUGCAGCUCUUCUUCGUCGCAUGAACCGCUAUGGGCUCCUUGCUGAGGGCCAGGACAAGCUUGAUUACGUCCUUGCCCUGACUGCUGAGAACUUCCUUGCAAGGCGCCUUCAGACUCUUGUCUUCAAGGCUGGCAUGGCAAAGUCCAUCCACCAUGCCCGUGUCUUGAUCAGGCAACGCCACAUCAGGUAUGCUUCUGGUAUAUUUUUCUUGAAAUGCAUGUAUUUGUAUAUGCUUCCAUAUUUUUGAAUGUUGAUCUAGUGAUCUUAUUGGUUUGUGCUAGUUGUUUAAUAUCGGCCACCUGAUACUGUUUAUUACAUGCAUCUAUGAAUUACAUGUUGGCCUGAUACUGGUUACAUGCAUGCCUGAAUUACAUGUUGGCCUGAUACUGGUUACAUGCAUGCCUGAAUUACAUGUUGGCCUGAUAGUGGUUGCAGCUUGUUUGAAUUUUAUCAUCUUCCAGACGAAUUCUGUUUAUUGUGGCAUGUUCUUUAUGACAUCUACUUUACUUCCAUUCACUGCAAUGCCUACCUUGUAUCAUUGAACAUGUUCAUGGUCUCUGAUUACCAUGUCAAUAUUGUAUUUGUGACAAUAUAAUGUUAUCAGUAGGUUGUAUAUCUUGCUAAUACCUUGUAUCAUUGCACAUGUUCAUGGUCUCCGAUUACCAUGUCAAUAUUGUAUUUGUGACAAUAUAAUGUUAUCAGUAGGUUGUAUAUCUUGCUAAUACCUCAGCAAGCCAAGAGGUUGAACCUGUUUCCUUUAACUGAUAUUAUGUCAAUAUUGUUAAUCUUUGCUUCUUGCAUUAUACUGUCAGUGGUCUUGUUUUUAUGUGGCAUUCACAUUGAGAUUUCAUUGUGAAGUGGUACCUUCCAUGAAUGUGCCUUCUUGUUCACUUUGUGAAUGAAGUGAUAAAUGUAUUGUUCUUGAAACCAUAUUGCAGGGUUGGCAGGCAGAUCGUCAAUGUCCCCUCAUUCAUGGUGAGGGUUGAAUCUGAGAAGCACAUUGACUUCUCACUGACAAGUCCAUUCGGUGGAGGCCCUGCAGGCAGGGUGAAGAGGAAGAACCAGAAGAAGGCAAGUGGUGGCGGCGACGCUGGUGGUGAUGAGGAAGAGGAAUGAGGAACUAGUAGGGAUCACCUUAUAUUUAUCAAAUGUUGGUGUUGUGAGUGCUUUAGCUGAGAGGCCUGAGACUUUCAUGGAUUAUCCUCUUGUCGUUUCGUUGCAUUAUCUCUGUUGUUAGCAUGCAUGCACUUCGUUAUGUUUGGAGCUAUUUGUUCGUGAUGCAGUUAUCUAAAAAUGUUUUUGACUAUGACCUGGAAUUCUACAUCAAUUGCUUCUGUUUGCGUGCUUGUCUGACUAACUCUGUCCCAAAAUAAUUAGAAUUGUACUCCCUCUGUAAACUAUUUCUAAAAGCUUCAGACACUUAAUUUG